RNAcentral lists this long non-coding RNA (141610 nucleotides) under Olea europaea (common olive). Its description in RNAcentral is "long non-coding RNA (OEUR_LNC005427)". Lineage: Eukaryota; Viridiplantae; Streptophyta; Magnoliopsida; Lamiales; Oleaceae. The record is from RNAcentral.
UAGAGAAGCCCCGUGCCCGCCUUCGUCCCUUUACCUCUCAGCUCUCGGUGAUCGGCAAAACCCAUGAAAACACACGCAACGAAAAACUAUAGCGAGUGAAAAGAGCAACAAUGGCUUACAAUCUCAGUGCUUCACCAUUUACUUCACUUUCUCAUGACACCAAUCUCUUUUGCAACUCAAUGUCUCCUCCACACCUCCUUCAAAUCAGUCUCAGACAGUAAAAAACCCGUCGAUUUUCGCCUCAAAUUUCGUCCCCGGAAACCCCCUUUUCAUAUUUCCAAUGUCUCUUUACAAGAACGAGAGCACACCGCAAUUUCAGAAGAUUCACACAACCCAACUAAAAAAACCAAUUCUUUGACAAAAUCCUACAUCUCGGUCGAUCCCAAGAGCCACAGAGCAUCGAAAUUAAGGCAGAAGUCCUAUGAUUUCAGGUAUUCUUCUUUAGUUAAAAUUUCGGAAUCUUUGGAUUCUUGUUCCCCGUUAGAAGAAGAUAUAGUGAAUAUAUUGGAAAGCUUUGGGACUAAAAUUGUGAAACAAGAUGCUGUGAUUGUAUUGAACUACAUGUCGAACCUGGAAACUGCGCUAUUGGUGCUUAAGUAUUUUCAAGAAUGGUUGAAAUUGAGUGAAGAAGUUAUUUUGUAUAAUGUUACUUUGAAUGUUUUCAGGAAAUAUAGGGAUUUCGAUGGGGCAGAAAAUUUAUUUAAUCAAAUGCUUGAGAGAGGGGUUAAGCCUGAUAAUGUUACUUUCUCAACCAUAAUUAGCUGUGCUAGGGUGUGUUCUUUGCCUGAAAAGGCUGUUGAAUUGUUUGAAAAAAUGUCAUCUUUUUGGAUGUGAACCUGAUGUGGUGACUUACUAUGAUUGACGAAUAUGGGAAGGCAGGGAAUGUGGAUAUGGCUAUGAGUUUGUAUGAUCGUGCAAGGACUGAGAAAUGGUGUGUUGGCGUUGUCACCAUCUCAACGUUGGUUAAGAUUUAUGCGGCAUCCGUGAAUUUUGAUGGGUGCUUGAACGUUUUACGCUGGAUUGGGAGGGCCAGACUCCAAAAGUUGGCUAAUGAGGUUGGAAAAUCGAAACCAAUAUAAACCAUACAAAGGAAGCUUACACUUUCGAUGUGGGAUUCAGGUGCCCAUAUACCCCAAUGGGAACCAUGACAAACCAUCAUGCUUCCGACUUAACAUCCACGUCGAGCAGGUGCCCAUACACCCUAAGUGGUAACCGAGAUCAGAAGAGAUGAUGCUUGCUCUGGUACCAUUCUCAUGCUCAAUUGGGAGAGUUAGCCCUAAAAACUAGCCAAUGAGGUUGGAGAACCCAAACCAAUAUAAACUACGUAAAGAAAGCUUACACUUUCAAUGUGAAAUUCAGAUGUCCUUAGACCCCAAUGGAUACCAUGACACACACAAAGGAAGCUUACAGUCCAAUGUGGGAUUCAGGUACCCAUACACCCCAAUGGGAACCAUGACAAACGUGUACGAGGAAAUGAAGGCACUAGGAGUUAAGCCUAAUUUGGCUUUGUAUGACAAUUUACUGGAUGCUAUGGGAAGAGCAAAGAGGGCAUGGCAAGCAAGCGAAGAAUAUCUACAAGGAGAUGGUGAAUAAUAUGAUCGAUCCAAGUUGGGGUAGUUAUGCCACAUUGAUUAGGGCAUAUUGUAGGCUUGGUAUGGUGAUGACACACUUAAUGUUUACAGGGAGAUGAAGGAGAUGGGCAUGGAGUUUAUCGUUUUUUCAUAUAAUACUCUUUUGUAUAUGUGUGCUGAUGUAGGACAUACAGAUGAAGCUGUUGAAAUAUUUGAGGAUAUGAAGAGUUCAGGGACCUGCAUGCCUGACAGUUGGACAUUUUCUUCUUUGAUUACAAUUCAUUCCUGGAGUGGGAAAGUUGAGCAGGCAGAGGCUACGGUGAAUGAAAUGGUGGAAGCUGGGUUUGAGCCUAACAUCUUUGUCUCGACCUCACUCAUCCAGUGUUAAGGGAAAGCUGGCCAAAUAGAUGAUGUUGUAAGUAUAUUUAAUUGGUUGCUAGAGCUAAGUGUAACUCCAGAUGAGCGAUUCUGCGGUUGUCUUCUUAAUGUAAUGACUCAAGCACCAAAAGAAGAACUUUCUAAGUUGAUGGGUUGCAUUGAGAGGACUAAUGCGAAGCUUGGUCGUGUGGUCAAAAUCCUUACAGAUGAAGAUAAUUUUGAAGGAGAAAUCUUUAAGAAGGAAGCUGGUGAACUCUUUGAAUGUAUUGGUAAUGAUGUAAGAAAGGCCUAUUGCAAUUGUUUAAUUGAUUUCUGUGUCAACCUUAAUCAUUUGGAGAGAGCUUGUCAGUUGUUAGACCUUGGGCUCGCACGUGGAAUAUAUGAUGAUGUACAGUCUAGACCUCUAACCCAGUGGUCUUUUCACUUGAAGAGCCACUCUCUAGGGGCGGCUUUAACUGCACUGCACAUCUGGGUGAAUGACUUAUCGAGAACAUUCGAAGAUGGGGAAGAACUUCCAUCAUUGCUUGGGAUCAACACAGGGCAUGGGAAAUAUAAAUACUCUGAGAAAGGAUUGGCAGGUGUUUUUGAAUCCCAUCUGAAGGAGCUAAAUGCUCCAUUUCAUGAGGCACAAGACUAAGGUUGGUUGGUUUUUGACGAUGAAGGUUGCAGCCACAUCUUGGUUGAAGUCUAGAAGUUCCCAGGAGGCAGUUGGUGCUUAGGUGGAGUUCUUAGCCUUUUUGUUGAUACAUGACACCUCAAAUUAUUGUUUCUCUGGCCUUGUGCAGUUAUGCUUAGUCUACAAUAGAGAAUUUUCUUCUUCUUCAUUUUUUUUUUUUUUUGGGUCACGUGGAUUGGCUUAUACUGAUUGUUUCAUGAUUGUUUCGCCCUUUUAAGAUAGUUUCAUGAUUGUAUACGAGUUCAUUGAAUGCCUGCAUUUGUAUGAUGGCAUGGUUUUGACCAGAAUGCAUAUUUUCUUGGAUAAUUCAAAAUUUAGAAUGCAUAUUUUCUUGGAUAAUUCAAAAUUUUGUCCCGGCUUCAAUUUUUAUGCUCAUUUUCCAGUUCGGUUGCUAAUUUGUAGCCAGAUCCGUUGAUAACCCUUCAUUAAUAUGUUGUUGAGUUGGGAGAAAAUGAUGGACCAUAAAAGAAAAAGAUUGAAGAAGAAUCUCUUGUAUAUAAUGUACCCAUAGCACAACCCUUUUGACCUUGCAAGGCUCUUUUUUCUCUAUGUGCAAAGUCAAAAUUGCCGCAUAUGACACCAUACUGCCGCCCUCUAACACCACCAAAAGUCACAAAGGAAGCCGGAGAGUAAGAAUAGUAGACACUAAGAAGCAGUUGGAGCUGCUGAUCAUUAGUACAAAAAAUCUCAAAUCGAGGCAAAUUGCACUUCGAUCCUCAUCUUUAGCUACCAUUCCAGAGUUGUAGUAUUGUUUAAACAGCAUGGAAGGUUUUUUCUUUCAGUUUAUUAUUCGAUUUGCUCCCCGAUUUCUGGUGGAACUGUACAUGUGAACAAACAGGAAGAGUAUCCACUUUUGGAUGAAUAUAGAGGUGUUCAUUUCUGCUAUAAUAUGUACCCUCCGAAGAAUUCUACGGAAAAGGGAGGUGGGGGUUCCUACUUAAUCAAGUUACCUCAAACGCCCCCACCAAGCCCCGAGGUUCUAUCUGUAUUUUUAUGUCAAUCAUGUUUGAAUGAAGAGAUCUCUUCAAAGGCUAUCGAUUAUACAAAUGCAAAUGUUUCAGAACUUUGCAGUUUCUUAGUUGAUGAUGUCAAUGAGGAAUACAUUCAACUUUUAUACUGCAAAUGUCUCAGAAUUAGUCACUAAUUGUUAAGUUGUAGCAAUGUCUGUUUCCCCUGUUUAGUGACUCCAACAAUUUUCAGGUUCUUGAAUUUAUCAUAUGCUCAACCAUUCAGAAUAUAGAUUAUAAUUACUUGUUUGAAUUAUUUACAAGAGCUUUUCAGUUGGAUUGAAUAUCAUCCCUUUGAAUCUUAGCUGAAAAUAACUCCCAAAUUCAUCCUCUAAAACGCUUGACAAUCCCAUUUACAAAUCAAUUGAAAACAUUAUUUCUUCUGACUUGAAUCACUCAUAUUCUGUGCAUAACUGGUAUGAUACACCUACUGAUUUCCAAGCUCAUUUUCUCUCUCUCUCUCUCAAAAUGCAUCUACAGGAGGCACUUAGGACCUGAAACAAUUCGCAAAAAUAGUAAAUAUCUCAUGAGUGGAUAUAAUCAUACAAAUUUGGAUCAACGGAAAAGUACACAGGGAACGGCCAAAGGGUUGGUGGGACAGAGACGAAAUGCUAACCUUCUUGAGGAGUUUGUUUUUCUUGUCUUGUCAUCCACCUUAGCUGAUACUGAAUCAGUCUCUCUUAUUGCAGCUUCUCUCUUUGUUUUCUUAGACUCAAUUUGUAUUGCUUUUGACAGGGUUUCUAUCUUCUUCAUGAGCAUCUGUAAAUAACUCAAAUAUACUAGUUAAACAAUGGAAGAAGCACACUGCAGGUGCCUUGGGGUUGAGCGGAGUUGCCAAUAGGUACUUUACCUUGAUUUCUUCAUCCUUAGCAUUCAAAGAGCUAUCUUGAAACUCGCAAUACUUCCUCAAAUUCAUAACCUCUUUCUGAAGCUUAUCAUACAGAAAUCCUGAUACCACAUCAUCACUAUUGCUGUUAGCACUAUCCGCAUUCUUCAUCUCUCCAUUGCUGCCAACUAUACUUUUUGCGUUCACCAUGUCUCCAAUUUCAUUGCUGUUAUACUUCUCAAGAGUCACAGUAGUAAUUUUAUUCAUCUCUGCGUUCUCCUUUUCGCUGUCUAUGAAUUUAUUCCUAGAAGCCCACAUACUCUUUUUCAGCAAAGUCUCUCCCGUAGGAUCUCUCCUUUUUGUACCAUCCCCUGGCUUAAUUUCUCCUUUAGCAGUCAAAGUUUGUUUCUCGUCUCCUGGCAUUGAUGAGCUUUUGUUGAUAGUGGAACCCCUUGGUUGUGAUGUAGAUCUCUUUCUCAUUCGGGUAUUACUCACUAGGAUCCCAAAAAAGUGAUUGGUCUUUUCAGUUUUCGGGCAUCCACCGUUUGCAUUAGGAUUGACUGAGAAAUAUGACACAUGCUUUAAGCCUUCUUCCAGUGUCUUCAGCCUCAAAUUCAACUUAUCCUGGCGAAAAUGAUUUUAACAUCUUCAAUUUACUCAAUCAAGAAGCAAGAAGCACAACAUGUCUUAUAGUAUAGUAGAGAAUACAAGUUUUAACCUUGAGUUGUGCUUCAGCCUUUGCCGUUCUCUCUGAAAUCGCCAGCUUGUCUCUUAACCGUUGCAUUUCUGCCUACAAUGUAUAAAUCCAAUAAUUAAUAAAAAACUGAAAACUCAUUUUAGAUUUUUCGUUUGAAUUGUAAAGUUUUUGAUGUGCAGAUAAGGAAAAGUGAUCGAGCAUCUGAGAUUGGGACACCGGUCGAUACCUGCAACAGCCUUCUCUCUUCCAGCCAUUGCUUGACCGGCAUUACUUUGUCAUUCUCGUCUUUCCACUCGUUAGCCACAACAGUUGCUACUCGGUUUGCUGAAACCUUUAUUCUUGCUAGUUCUCUUUCAGUGUCCUCUUUUCCUCCUAUGAAGUUUCAUAGAAAUAAGAUCAGUUGAUAUAAACUACAUGUCUUAUUGUGACUACCUUGUGUUUGGUAAAUUAUUAACUGUAAGAGACACAAACAUUCAGAAAACGUUAAACAAGUUCUACAUUUAACCCCGAAAUCUGUCGUUUGUAAUCACGAAUAGUGUUGGCUGCUGCUCCACCAGCAAGAAUGGCCUCCUCAAGCUCCUGAAUAGUUUGGCUAAGCUUUUCAACCUCUAAAACUUUUUGCCUAUUUGUCUUAUCAAGUAUUUUGUUCUCCUCCUGUGCAUGAAAUUCUGUUAGUUUUCUCGAAAAACAUUUCAUGGAUUAACCUCGUAAAAAUUCAGUCUGAAAAUUUACCUGGCAGAUUUCAAUUUGUCUUCUAAGCUCGAAGUUUUGAUUUUGAACCUCCUCCACUACAAGUGCCCUUUCUAGAGCACUUUUCAGUAUCCUUUCUGCUUCAAGCAGAGCCGCUUCUUUCGACUUGGUGAGACGAUCCAAAGCCCUCUUAUUUUCCUGCAGUGCUGCAACCUAAAGAGCUCCAAGGCAAUGAUAUCAGAUAAAAAGCAAGUCAGUUUUGCUCGUGUGUGUUUUUCAGCACAAGCGUAUGAUUAUAAAUUUCUAAUUCCCACUUUCUCUUCCAUUUUAGGAAAUUUUUACAUCAAUUUAGUCGAAGGAGCAUCAGAAGAGUUUUCCUUCUUGAUCAAUGCUUAUAGUAUAAUUCAUUGAAUAGAAACUAUCUUUAAUCAUCCAUGUAUGCACCUCGUUCUUAUACUUUUUGAGUUCUGCCUCAAGAGGAGCAAUAACUGACUCAAUAGGAAUAGAAUCAUCGUCCUUUUGAUUCGCAUACACCCUCCUAAGAGUUGCUUCAGCUGCAUAUUGUGCACUCAAUGCCCCUCUCUUCUCAUUUGUGAGUUUCGUAGUUUCAAGAUUCUGCAUCAAUCCGACUCAAAAUAAGUACCUUCUCAGACAAUUCAGAUAAAGAUAUAUAAAUAUUGUUUCAUAGAAGAGAGACUAUAUCACACACCUUCUGUUCAAGAAGGUUUUCAGUGACUCUGAGCUUCUCUUCAAAUCUUUUUAAUUCACUUCCAAUCUAGAAAAACAAAUAGCAUAUAUAGAAAACAUAUCAUGGCAACUAUAUUCGAUAUUUUUGUGCGUCAAAGCUGAAUUUAUUUUGUAUUAUUUUUUGUUUUAAUAAUAAGAUGAGGAAAAUAUUUUUCGAAUACCUCGUCUAAAGCCUUGUCCUUUAAGACUUUUGUUGCUCUCAGUGCUUUGAUUUCAUUUUGGACCUCUCCCAACUCCUGAUCCUUCUCUGAAAUUGCGAGACAAAUUUAUCGUUCUUAUCAUCGUGAUUGCAGAUUGUAAUAGUAAAACAAGUUUGUCGCCAUCCAAGUAGGAAUUUAGCGGAGGAGAAUGUAACCAAUAACCAGUAAGAUGUUCAAUAUUAUCAGUGAACCUACAAUCCAGGACACCUUUCCUUGCCAGGAGAAAAUAUGCAGAAGAUGGCAAAUGUAUGUAGAUUGACGAAUAAAGAACCUCUUGCGAAAUUUUAGUGUACAAAACCAGCUAAGAAAGGUCUAAACGACCCCAAUGCAUCAACACCACUAGCAGGGUGUUCUUACUAGAAAUUCUGGACAUAUACAGAGCUAUGAAACUAUGUUUUAGGUGUCAGAUUAAUGACCGUAUUGCUCAAUAUAAUAAGUUAAUUUGCUACACCAAAGUGCAAAAUUCAAUUUUUUUUCUCUAAUAUGUUCUAAGUACUUGAUUCAAAUUUUGAGGAAUUUGGAAAGUCCCCUUCGAUAAACAGAAUUCCUUUACCUUCUGCCUUAAUCCUAAGCUGAUGAUACUGCCGAAGAAGGUAAAGUUGAACCGGUAUUCAUAAAUAAGAAGAGGCAUUAACCACGAGCGACAGGUGACAACUCGAGCCUUAUCAAAUACAUGGUAAAUUUUUGUGUGACAUCCUCUUAUUUAGUCAUCUAUUUUAGCAUAUUCACUGAAUAAAACAGCAAAAUAAUUGCACUUUUAUAGUGGAAUUUACUAAAAAAAUUCCCAUUAUGGUAUCAUAGUGUGCAAAAGUCUUGAGUCCAUGUAUCACUGCCACCCAUUUAUAAGAAAUCGUGCAUGUCUACAAAAAAGGCAGCAUGUUGAAGCCAAUUUAAAUAAAUAAAAUUAUUUCGUCUUUAACAGCUUAUGCUAUUAGACUAGGUGGUUCACCAGUUACGAUCAGUUACCUUUGAGUUGGUUUUGCAAUCUGGUGAGCUCUAAAAUGAGAGGGUCGGAACGAGAAAGAGGGACUUCUCCUCCACCAAUUUCCUCCAAGCCAUGCAUUUUCUGGGCUCUGUUUAUGGCAAAGAAAAACAAAUAGCUUCCUUAAGAACAAUAUCAAAGACAAAGUUUACAGGUUCAGUAUAUGUAGAAUGAAAAAAAUGAAUACUGAUCCAUAAAAAGAGUCCAUACUUGUAACGAAUGGACCGUAAAGAGAGGAAUGGAUUUCCCUCAUUUUGAAGCAAUCCUGAAAGGAACAGAUCAGAAGCCGGCCAAGCCGGCUAGCCACCCUUCUUUUUCUUCUAAUUUUGAAAUAAUUACCGUUGCUGGUCUCAUUACACAUGGUAAUUAAUUCAUACAAUUUUUUCAUUAAUUCCAUACGAGAAAUUUCCUAUCCUUUAAAACUUGAACAACUCCAGAGACUCGGUGUUAGACUCCAAAAGUUCAAAUGAGCUGUUGAUUUUCAAAAUUGGUGUUCUCAAACGAGUCACCAUUUUUUGCGGGUGUCUUGAGAAAAUUUUGAAAAAUAGUCAAGAUGGUAGGUGAAAGCAAAACGAAAAUUUUUAUUUUAUCAAAGCUUCUUAUUUACAUAUUCCUAAUUAAAUAAAGAUUAACAAGAAGUUCUUCUUAAAUAUAAUUAUAUUCUAAGCCUGAGGUGUCUGCAAUGAUCAUUAUCUGAAAAGCACUUGGUUUUGGAGUAAAUCAAUUGCUUAAGCGUUAAACCCUCCUGAAGUUAAUCAAAACAGUAUAUGGAUAUGAAACCAAGAAAAUGAAAUGCUCAUAUACUGUAAAAUUGAAAAGGGUUCAAAUGAAGUGGCUUAAAAGUAUAUAAAAAGGUAAAGAUUAAGCCCCGAUUUUUGCUUGUAAGUAUGGAUGAAAAUGAAAAUAUUUGAACUCCAGCUAGCUACCUAGUUUUGAUGGGAUAUUGCCAAAUGGCAAUUUAAAAAUUGUUAAGAGGAAACUAUAUAUUUUUUGGUGAGACUACAAAGGGAAGACAUUAUCUCUACCAACACCAAGUAAACUACUCUUAGAAUAAUUGAUUAUUGUCAAUGCAGAAUUGAUUAUCUUAUAGGAUUAAUGGGAGGAUUAUUCCUUAAUGGAAUUGCCACUUAAUUAUGUUUAGAAAGUGACUUUGAAUUAUUUGUUUUAAGCCAAGCUGCUAACCAUAAAAGCCGGUUCCUUAUCCUUUUGAGUAGGUAAACACUUUCUUUUUUUUCUUUUUUCUUUUUUUUUAAUGAAUACAAAUAUACUCAAAAUAUUUGGUACUUUGGACUAUAAAGUUUGUUGUCUUCUUCGAUCAUCUCUAUUAUAAUGCGUUAGACAUAUUUAAAGAUUUCAAAAUGUGUCAACUGAUGAAAAGCACGCUCUAGUGACCUCUAUAGCGGACUAUCUGCAAAAAAUAUAUAUAUAUGAAAAUCGACAAAGGCCAUACUCGAGCCUAAGCAUAAACCACACUAAAAUUGAAUGGUGCUGAAUUGAUACAGACCCAUAUGCACAUGUAAACUUGCCCAUUUUGAUGACAAGCAAAUUAUAUCAUUCCAAUUUUUCCUAAAGCUAAUUAUAAAGUACAGUAGUGAGAUGAUGAAACUAAUGGAAGAAUUUAAGAGGGUAUUAGUCAUAAUCAUAUAAUUGUAAUUAGACCAAAAAUCAAUGAAAUUGAAAACAUUUUAAGACCCUACUUAGUCCUCCAAAUUAUGAUGGAUUAUGAAAUUAAUCCAUAAAAGAUGAUUAAUUCAUUUACUUUGGUUUUUUCUUGCCACUUUUGAUAGUGAAAGGGCUAUGUAGAGCAUUAACAACCACAUAUAUGCUUGUUGUUCUCACUCAAACCUUUAAUUCCUAUAUGAAUAUUUAUUCCAUGAUACCUAUUUAGCUCAUGUGUACAGUUUUUAAAAGAUCAUGACCUUCAACAUGCCAUACGACGGAAGAACAACACAAUGGUGCCUAAAUUCAUAAGCUUAGUUACAUAAAAAGGAAGACACAACAAAUAUUAGCCCAAAGGCUAGGAAACAUUUCUACCUGAGUAUGGUUUAAUCAGUAUGUAUUCGCUAUUUAAUUGAGACUUAAACAUGUAUAAAUAAUACGUAUAUCAGUAAAAAAAGUAAUAGAAAACGCUGAAUGCUAUAUGCCGAGAGUAUUACCCAAAGAACAUCAUAAAACCGGCCCAAUUGAGAUGAGCGGCCCACUUUAAUCUAUUGUUCAGUAGCAAUUUGGCAUCUAAGUUUUAAAAUUAAACAAAUUGAUCUCCAAUAUUUACUAUAAUUGCAAAACCAUCAAUAAUGGAAACUCUACCAAUCUGUAUUAAUUCAGCACGUGACUUUCUCGCAUCAUUUUACUUAGACUUGUGCCCAAAAUUUUAAAUGUCUCGUGUUUCAUUAAGGCAUGUCAUAAUUUAAUAAAAAAUUGGCGAAAUUUUGUUACUUGUAUAUUAUUGUUCAUCACCUUGUUGACAAAUGUUGAGCCGAUGGCAAGUAAAUCAAGUUGAAUGUAAGAUGUAAGUAAAUUGAAAUAAAAUUCAAAUUCAUCUAGGAAGUGAAUGAAAUUCAAAUUUAAUUCGAAAGUAAUUUAAAUUACAUUUAAUUUAUAGCGAUCCUAAAAUUUUUAAACCAUACUCCAUGUAAAUUUGCUAAAAAAUGGUGUAAAUUAUAUUGAAAAAUUUGUUGUGCAAAAAUAAUAAACGUUAAUGAAAUAAUUUAAAAAAUAAAAAAAAAGACAAGUUAGACAUCUUUUUUAGAGAUAUACGUUUGAUGCACGUUUAACUCUUUUCCAUAUCCAUUUGAACCAUUCGAUAUAACUACCAUGUAGUUCUCGAAACGAUCUUCUAAAUGACGUAGGUGAUUUGUGUAUUCGGCUAAAGUACGAUUGUCGACGAAUUUUAAAGUUAGCUGUUAUCGUAAUUCUUGAAAUACUAGUUUGUAAUAGUCGACUUUGACGCUCCGUAACUUUUGCUAUGGUUGGCCAUUUCAUGCGUCAUUAAUGAGCGAAAAACUAAGCCGUGAGCAAUUCGAAAUGGUUUUAAUAAUGUAAUAUUUUGACUUCGUUUGAUAUUCCAUAAUGAGUGCAUCAAAGUAAACCGUGAAGAAAACAGUUACAAAUUUUUGAAAAAACAAAAAAAUAAAAAUAAAAAUAAAAAUAAAAAUAUUAUGGGAUCAUUUGACCCCAUAUGGGUCCGCCCAUGCAUAUACUAUAAAGAUAGAUAGACAGGUGAUCAAGUACUAGUGACUUUGAAGUCUUUCAAAUUUUGAGGUGAACAAGAUACAUCAGAAGUGUGAGUUUCGGCUUUGAUUUCUCCAUUUGCAGAUAGACAGUUUCUGAGUUUCUCGUGGUUUGAGGUUCAUCAAUCAUCCCUUCUAGAUCCCUCCUCCAUCUGUAAGUGAAGUUGCAGGUAAGCAGACAGGAUUCUGUCAAAUAGAACUUGUUGAACAUAAUUUAGGAACCGCAUUCUUAGGUCAUUUUCAAAGACAAAUGAGUUUAAAGGCGAGAUCCACAUAAUUUUGGAACCUCAUUCUUAGGUCAGUUUCAAACCACUGUACAGUUUUAUUCAGGACAAAGGGGCAUACUCCGCAAAGGAAAUAGUGGCUAAUGACUGCCCCACUCGGCCAUUUUUUCAAAAUGGUCUUUGACCGGAUUCAUUAAUAAAAAGAGAGAGAGAGAGAGAAUGUAAACUAAACCCAAAGGGUUGAAAAUACCCUCAUUUGGAAAGAAGAGAAGAGGGAAAAGAAAAAAAAAAAAAAAAGGGGAGUCUAGACCUAGCCCACUUCGACCAAGACUGGACCCACGUCGAACAGCCGGAAAUCGCCAUUUCUGGAAUGUUAGAUUUUUGUAAAUAAUUACUCUCCAUUGUAAUAUGUGGAAGUUCAAAUGUUUAGGGUUUGAAUAUGAGUUAAAUUCAAUUUUUAUGGUUAAAAUGGAAGAAAAUGUCGAAUUUGAGAUUAAGAAGUGGAAAAAAUGAGACGAAACUCGUCGAAAAUGGAGUUUUUCGACGACCCCGUAGGCACCGAAUGGUCCGUUACAGACUCAUAUUUUCCAUAACGGACCACGUAGUUCGGACCUGGAUCGUCCGGUCCGGGCGGGCCGGACUUUUUUUUUGUUUUUUUUUGUAAAGGAACAAAAUUUGAAUCUUAUAAUUUAAAAAAAAUAAUUCUAAUUUAAUUCGUUUUCCAUAAUUUAUUUUUCAUUUUCAAUUUUUUUCUUCUUUUAAUUUUUUUGCUCAUUCAUGCAUGUAUUUUUUCUUGAAUUUAAUUUAUUUUCAUUAAUUUAAUUCAAUUUAUGUAUUAUUUAAUUUUUAUUUACUCUUUCUAAUGUGCGAGGAAAUGAUUUUAUUUCUUACGUACACAUAAUUUGAUUUGUUAAAUUUUAAAAUAUAAAAAAUGUUGAUAAUUUCUUAUAAAUGUCUUUAACGUGUAUUAUUUUUGCAGAAUGGAGUACCACCUAGACAAUGUCAUGAGAGCUCAUUUUGAGAAAAGUUACGUUGUAUCGGUAUUGGAAGGACUCGAUGAGGAACAUAUAGCUAUACUCCGUCGAUCAUUCCUAUGGUCCUUCUAUCCGUUGAAGGACGUGCAAUUUUUCAGUCAGAUUAUUAAUUCCUUAUUACUUUGGCUUUGAAAGCCAGUUGAUGUCAAUCGACCUUUGAAUACAACUGUGACUAAAUAAAUAAUUAAAUAAACGAAAUAAAUAUUAAAUAAAUAAUAUACACAAGCAAUUAAAAUAAAUAAUUAAAUAAAGCAAAUAAAUAUUAAAUAAAUAAUUAAAAUAACUGUGAAUUUCAUUUUGUAAGAUUGUAUAUUUAGUUUCUUUUGUAAUUACCAAAUAAUUGUAAAUUUUAUAUCAAUAUUGUACGUUUAAUUUCUUCUGUAAUUACGAUGAAGAUUAUUAAUUAAUGAAAUAUUUAAAUAAGAAAUCAAAUUAAAUAUAAAUUUUUUAUUUAAACAAGUGAUUAAAUAAAUAAUUAAAUAAAGUAAUUAAGUAUACAUAACCAAUUAAGGUAAUUAAAAAAAUAUUUCAUCGAGAAAUUAAAUUAAAUAUUAAUUUUUAUUUAAAUAAAUAAUUAAAAUAAUAUUUAAAUAAGGUAAUGAAAUAUGAAAUAAUAUUUAAACGAGAAAUCAAAUAAGGUAAUGAUUAAAAUAUCCAAUUAAGAUUAUUAAUUAAUGAAAUAUUUAAAGAAUAAAGUAAAUUAAAUAUUUGUUUUUUAUUUGAGUAAGUGUUUAAAAUAAAUAAUUAUAUACACAACCAAUUACGAUAAUUAAUUAAUGAAAUAUCUAAAUAAGAAAUCAAAUAAAAUACUAUUUUUUUAUUUAAACAAGCGAUUAAAUAAAUAAUUACAUAAAGUAAUUAAAUAUUAAAUAAAUAAUAUACAUAAAAAAUUAAAGAUAUAUUUAGAGGAGGAUUAAAAUUAAAUAUUUUUAUUUUUAUUUAAAUAAGUAAUUAAAUUAAUUAAACAAUAUACAUAACCAAUUAAGAUAAUUAAUUAGUGAAAUAUUUAAAUGAGAAAUCAAAUGAAAUAUUAAUUUUUUAUUUAAAUAAAGUAAUUAAAUAUUAAGUAAAUAAUGUACAUAACCAAUUAAGGUAACUAAAAAAAUUAUUUAAAGGAGAAAUUAAAUUAAAUAUUAGUUUUUAUUUAAAUAAAUGAUCAAAAUAAUAAUUAAAUAAGGUAAUGAAAUAUGAAAUAAAGAAAAAAAGGUAAUAAAGACUAAAUAUACAUAACCAAUUAAUGUAAUUAAAAAAAAUUUAAACGAGAUAUUAAAUAAUUAAAUAAUGUAAUGAAAUAUUAAAUACAUAAUAUACAGAACCAAUUAAUAUUAAAUACAUAAUAUGAAAUUUUUAUUUAAAUAAGUGAUUAAAUAAAUAAUUACAUAAAGUAAUUAAAUUUUAAAUAAAUAAUAUACACAACAAAUUAAGGAAGAAAUUAUUUAAAUUAAAUAUUAAUUUUUAAUUUAAAUAAGUGAUUAAAGUAAUAAUUAAAUAAAAUAAUGAAAUAAUAAAUACAUAAUAUACAUAACCAAUUAAGAUAAUUAAUUAAAUAAAUAUUAAUUUUUAAUUUACAUAAGUAAUUAAAGAGCAUGUCUGUUUCUCAUUUUCAUGGUAAAAAUGCAUUUUGUAAUAGUGAUUGUUGAAAAAUGUGUGGUUAAAAAAUAAAGAAAAGUUUUAGUUUUGCGUGUAAUAUUAUUUUAUUGAAGAAUGUAUGGUUGAAAAUAAGAGAGAGAGAAAUGUAUUUUGGGAAAAAUGGGUGCCAAACAAGGGCUAAAAUAAAAGAGGCGUGGCAGAGGUGUGGGAGGUCUCGGAGGGGAACGAAGAGGACCCCUGGCUUUUUUAAACUGUAAGCAUUAUUUUAUGUACAUUAUGAUUCGUAGUUGUAAAAUCACUGUUGUAACUUGUUACGAAUGUUCUCAAUCGUUGUAAGAAUUGGUAACUUUAAAUCCUUCUUAAAUAAAAUAUUGAGCGACUCCGCAUUGAAGAACCAAGGCAUCGCUAGAUCAUCUAUUCGAAUUGGUAACUCUAGAUCCUUUUUAAUUAAUAAAAUAUUUAAAGGAAUAAAUUAAAGUAAUUAUGAUUUAGGGAAAUGAAAGUUUAUUUCAAUAAAAGUUUUAUGAUUUAUUUCAGUAAUUAUAAUUUAGGGAAAUGAAAGCUUUGAUUACAAAAUUUAAAAGCCGUUAAGUUCGAUUUGUGCGGUCUUUGAAAAUAAAACCAUUGUUCGACGUCAUCAUGUUAUAUCGAUAUCCUGGAAAAUGUUACCAUGCUUAAUGUUCGACUUCCAUAUUUGUUAGAUAUUCUCAUGUACCCGUGUGAUUUAUGUUCUAUUUCGCUCAUGAACUUAUCAAACUCUUCAAAACUGUAAGCUUCCGCGACUUUCCUAAACAAUAUACAUAACCAAUUAAAAUAAUUAAUUAAUGAAAUAUUUAAACAAAAAAUUAAAUUAAAUAUUAAUUUUUUAUUUCAGUAAGUCUUUAAAAUAUAUAAUUAAAUAAAGUAAUUAUGAUCCUGUUUGAUUACGAUCCUAUGAACAAAUUAGAAGAUCGUGUACUCGAUCCAGCCUGUGAAUUCCCACCAGACUCAUGUCUCUGUCUGAUUACAAUCCUGUGAACAAAUUACGUGUGUAACGGUGAAACCAUGGUGAAUAGCAUCUAUCUCGAGAAUAAUGUUUAGAUGUAAAAUGAUUGAUAGAGUUUCGACUUAUUGUGAACUAAUGAAUUUCAUUCUCUAAAUAUUUUAUGAAAGUAGAAGGUAGUAAUACUAGUUAAGGAAUUUUAACAUUUUAACAAGCUCUGUCUUUCGUUCUUUUCAAAUUACAAACAAGUUCAUUAAUCAUUUAGGUAUACAAGCAGUUAUUUUUCUAUCCAAACCACAACUUAUAAGUGUUUAUUAACUUUAAAAACAACAAAUAAAAGAAAGAACAACGAAAAAAUGACUUGAAUGGAAAUCUGAGACUUGUGAAAGAAAAGAGAGAAAUAUGCAAUUCAGGUAAAAAUUAGCAGACUAACACGUAAAGGCGACUGGCGAUUCAUUCAGAAGGGCAGACAAGCGUCAAAUGUUAGGGAAAUGAAAGUUUACGUCGAGGUUUCUGAAACUUUAGACGUGAUUUGUUGACGUAGUUUGUUAAAUUAUGAUUUGGAUUGUUGAAAAUAUAUGUUUUUUUUUUUUUCAUUUCAUAUAAUUUUGGAACAAUUUUAGUUUAGUUUAGAUAUCGGAUGAGAACUUGUGUUGUGAACUUGUUAAACUAUAGGCCAAUACUGAUAAAUCUAAUUUACUAUCUACGAUUAUUUUAUUUCAAUAGGCUGGUUGUAAUUUGUAUUGUUAAAUUGGUAUUUUUCUGAAAAGUAAAAACUAUAAAUUUUUUAAGUUAAUAAAAUUAAUGUUUUUGUUGUUCUUUCUUUUAUUUGUUGUUUUAAAACUUAUUAUUUACUUAUGAGUUUUGGUUUGAAUAGAAAAAUGACUGCUUGUAUGCUUAAACAAUUAAUGAACAUAUUUGUGGUUUGGAAAGAAAGAAAGACAGAACGUAUUGAUAGUGUGGAAAUGUCAAAAUUACCUAAUUAGUAAUACUACCUUUUACUUUCAUAAAAUAGUUAGAAAAUGUACUAAUUUUAAUUCCCAGUAAGUCGAAAUUCUAUCAAUCUUUUACAUCUAAACAUUAUUUUCGAGAUAGUUGUUACUUACCGUGAUCUCACUAUUACACACAAAAUUAAUUCAUAGAAUCAUAAUCAGAUAGACACAUGAGUCUGGUGGGAGUUCACAUGCUGGAUCGAAUACACUGUCUUCUAAUUUACUCAUAGGAUCGUAAUCAGACAUGAUCAUAAUUACUUUAUUUAAUUAUUUAUUUUAAAGACUUACUGAAAUCAAAAAUUAAUAUUUAAUUUAAUUUCUUCUUUAAAUAUUUCAUUGAUUAUUUUGUUUAUUUAAUCAAUUAUUUAAUCACAGUUGUAUUCAAAGGUCGAUCGACAUCGACUGGCUUUCGAAGCCAAAAUAAUAAGGUAUCAAUAAUCUGGCUAAAAAAUUGCAUGUCCUUUAACGGAUAAAAGGACCAUAGGAAUGAUCGACGGAGUAUGGCUAUAUGUUCCUCAUCGAGUCCUUCCAAUACCGAUACAACGUAACUUUUCCCAAAAUGAGCUCUCUUGAUAUUGUCGAGGUGGUACUCCAUUCUACAAAAAUAAUACAUGUUCAAAACAUUUAUAAGAAAUUAUCAACAUUUAUUAUAUUUUAAAAUUUAACAAAUCAAAUUACAUGAUUUAGUACGUAAGAAAUAAAAUCAUUUCCUCGCACAUUAAAAAGAGUAAAUAAAAAUUAAAUAAUACAUAAAUUGAAUUAAAUUAAUGAAAAAUAAAUUAUAUUCAAGAAAAAAUAUAUACAAAAAGAAGAAAAAAUAAAAAUGAAAAAUAAAUUAUGGAAAACGAAUUAAAUUAGAAUUUGUUUAAAAAUUAUAAGAUUCAAAUUUUAUUCCCUAUAAAAAAAAAAAAGGCCAGGCGAGUCCGUAACAAACUACACGAGACUGUCCGGAAAACUUUUUUUCGAUUUCAUUUUUAUUUAUUUUUGUAAAUAUUUAAAGAAGAAAUUAAAUUAAAUAUUAAUUUUUUUUAUUGAAGUAAGCGUUUAAAAUAAAUAAUCAAAUAUACUUAACCAGUUAAAUUAAAUAUUAAUUUUUUCAUUAAUUUUUUUGAAUAUUUUAAGAAGAAAUUGAAUUAAAAUAAUUUAAUUUUUUUUAUUGAAGUAAGUGUUUGAAAAAAAAAAGUUUUUUUAUCAUAUUAAAUAAAGUAAUUAAAUAUAUAGUAGUGAGAAUUGUUUGAUUUUUAAAUUUUUAACUUAUGGGUAUUUUUGUCUUUUUCAAACAAAAAUAUCUUUGUAAUUGUAUAAAUUAAUUAAGGGUGUUUUUAUCUUUUAAUCAACAAAAGGUUAUUUUGAUAAAUGGCAAAGUUUUUUGAUUAAAGUUGAAAUGUGGCAUGUUGACAUGGCCCAUUUUAAAAGUACCCCAUACGACGCAUGGGGUACUUUUCAAAUUGGCUUGGUCAAACAAAAAUGUUUUAAACUUUGACUAAUUUAUUAUUAUUAUUAUUUUUUUUUUUUUUUGCAUUCACCACAUUGGCCUCUUGUAUUGAAAAAGACAAUUGUGCCCUUAUUUAUGUUCCACAAUUACAAAAAUAUGUUAAUUCUUUGAAAAACAAUAAUACCCUUAAAAAUUUAAAUAAAUUCAAUCACUUCCAUACGUAAAUUUCAAAAUUAAUUUUGCUUAUCAGUUUCUCCAAUACAGUGAAAAAGAAAUUUUUUUCUUCCAUCUGCUAGAAUAUUGAAAUCUCACAAAAUUAUCAAAGGUUCAACAAAAAAAUAAUACUCACAGUUGGCAUUGAAAAUUGGUAAGUGUAAAUACGUAUUUUUAAUUUUGUUUUAGUUAAAUUUACUGUUUGAAUCUUUAAAUCUUACUUUGACGAAGGCAGAUGAAUUAUUACAGUAUUUAAACACAGAUAUAUAAUUUUUUAUAGCAAAAAGGAAAAAAAUUCAUCUCUGUUUGCAUAUAUUUUACAGGAAAAAUUUAUAGGUGUCUGUAAAAUAAAUAUUUAAACAUUAUUUCGUUGAAAAAGGAAAAAAAAUAAAAAACUUCAGCGUAAGUUCCAGGAUGAAAACAGUAGGUCCGAAAAUUCCCAGCCGGCCCAGAUAACUGAGCUGCUGGUAACAGCCGGCUGUUCGGUUUUUUUUUUCUUUCAUAUUUAAUAAUUUAUUUGUUCAUAUUUAAUAUAUGUUUAUUAAAGUAAAUAUUAAUAAAUAUUUAAUACUAAUUGAAAUAAAUAUUUUUGAAAUAAUUAAAAUAAUCAAUGAAUUAUUUAAAGUAUAAAAUUAAAUUAAAUAUGGAAUGAAAUAUUUAAAAAAUUAUACAUUAAUUCCUUAUUUUUAAUUUGAUAUAACAUCAACAUGUGUCCCAAUUUGUUACUUCGGUAAAUUUCAAAUGAAUGAAAAUGUUUAGUGGGAAUGGAAAUGGACGAGUGAAGGAGAUGGGGUUAAAGCAAUUUUUAUAACAAGGAGUACAUCGUUUCCAGAAAUGUACCAUGAUAUACAAAACAUGCUUAACUUCGAUCCCUCUCAGUACGAUAUGAAAUUGAGAUUUUUGUUUCAUAAGCAUUCAACCAUUCCAAUUCCACCUAUGAAAUUUACUUCUGAAGUGGAAAUGAAACAUCUAAUUAAAUUGAACCAAGGUCGAAAGUCGACUCCUAUUUGCGUAACUUUAUUGGGGAAGAAUGUCCACGAGGGUAAACACGAAAUUUCAAAUGAAGAGAAUCGUAAUGUAAAUGAUGUUUGAUAUACAAUUCAGAUUGUUUGUGAAGAUUAUGUGGUUAUUCCCGAGACCACUGCUACUCACCAUGAUCACACUGUUACGGACAGAAUUCCAUCGAUAGUUGAAGACAAUGAGAAUGAAAAUGCAUUUACAAACGAUGAUUUGAUUGCAUUAUCUCGUAGGAGACAUAAGUCGGGUGGGAGCUCACAUGCCGGACCGAGUACACGGUCCUCUAAUUGUUCGCGUGCAGUUCCCAAUGAUGAAGAUGUAUAUGUCGAGCAACUAUUCGAAUUAAAGAAAGAAUUGUAAGAAGUUGUGUAUCGGAUUGCUUUAAAACAUAACUUCGAGUUUAAAGUGAAGAAAUCAAACAAGUCGACGUACACAAUUAUCUGCGUUGACGACAGUUGUCAUUGGCGUUUGCGAGCGACUAAGAUGGACACGAAUGAGUUCUUUGUAGUUCGUAAGUAUACACGGGAACAUACUUGCGAAGUAGGUAUUCGUCGAAAUGAUCAUAGGCAGGCCCGAUCAUGGUUCAUUGGUUGAGAAAUAAUGCACAAGUUCCAGGACCCUUGAACAAUCUACAGACCUUCAGAUAUCAUUAAUGACGUUCGACGAGAGUACGGGGUGAUCAUGAGCUAUCAAAAGAUUUGGAAGGGUAAAGAAUGUGCAUUAGAGGAUUUGAUGGGUUCGACCGAGGAGAGUUAUGCUAAAUUAGCCAGAUAUUUCAUUGUUUAAGUGUUUGUUUCUUUAUUAUUUUAAUUUUUAAUUAUUUUAUUUCAAUUGUUUAUUUAUAUGUAAUUAAUUAUUGAAUUGAAUUGUUUAUUUUUCUGUUUAUUUAAUAUUUAAUAGAUUAUCUAAAUUAUGAUUAUUUUUAUUUACAUUGACCAGGUAUUGCUAUAAUAUGGGAAGAAUUAACAUUGGGUCGGCAUUUUUUAUUGAGAAGGAUAACGAUAAUCGCUUCAAAUAUUUCUUUAUGGCUCUUGGACAAUGUGUUCGAGGAUUUCGAAAUGCAAUGUGACCCCUAAUCUUAGUCGACGGUACAACCUUUAAGGCGAGAUAUGGGGGCAAGUUGAUUAUUGCAACAUGUUAAGAUGCGAACAUCCAAAUUUACCCUCUUGCGUUUGGUAUAGUCGACGGAGAAAAUGAUGUAGCGAUGAGUUGGUUUUUCAUGAAGUUGAGGAAAGUAAUUUGGGAUGUCGAAAACCUUGCAUUCGUUACCAAUCAAGGGCAGUCAAUAAUAAAUGGUAUCGCUGAAGUCUUCUCCGAGUCAUAUCAUGGUUAUUGUAUGUACCAUAUACAGGGAAACCUGAAGACUAGGUAUCGAGGCAAGGGCAUCGUUGCGUUAUUUAGGAGAGCUGCAGAAGCUUAUAGUUUUGAAAAGUUUGAAAAGUUCAUGGUCGAAAUAGAUAGUAAAUCGCAUGCUACAUGGGAGUAUCUAACAGAGAUGGGGAUUGAACAUUGGGCACGAUCACAUUUUCCAGGACGUUGAUACAUCAUGAUGACGUCGAACAAUGCAGAGUUGCUUAACGCUUUAUUCAAGAAAGAUCGAGAGUUACCAAUUCUCGCAAUGAUUGAGAACAUUCGUGACAAGUUACAACAGUGGUUUCAUGAUCGAUGUGAGGAAUCACAGAGUUGUGAAAGUGUGCUAACCCCGGCUCAAGAAGAUAAGGUCUUCAAGACUCUAGAUGUGGCGAGAAAUGUAUAUGUAGAACCAUUGGAUCAGGUUCGCUUCUCCGUGAGACGUGCACGUAAUUUCGGAUACAUCGUGGACUUGAAUGAUAACACGUGCAUGUGUAGACGGUUUCAGUUGGAGAGUUUUCCGUGUACAAAUGCAGUGGCAGUGGCUAUGCAUAGAGGAUUUUCACCGCACCUUAUGCAGUGUGUAUUACAUGACUGAUUAUUGGAGAGCAGCGUAUGCGAAAACAAUAUUUUCUGUACCAAACGAAGUUGAGUGGGAAGUUUCCGACCACAUUCCCUCACUGAAUAACUUGUUGCCACCAACAGUUGGAUCACGUACUCCUAGGCAUACACGUAUGUCUAGAAUACCAUCUAUCGGAGAGUUUCCCCAGCCUCGUAAAUGCGGUAGGUGCGGUGCAACAGGGCAUACUAGAAGAUAUUGUACAAGUCAGAUUCCUCUGCAUGACUAUGUAACGGAUGUGUAAUUUUAAUAACUAUUGACAAUGUAAUUAUUUAUAACAUUGACGUUAAUUAUUUAUACAUAUUAUUUAUAUUAAUUAUUAGAUUUAGUUUUUUUUAAACAUUUUAUUCAUUACUUUCAUUUGUUACACACAUUAUUUAUACAUAUUAUUUAAGUUAAUUAUUUGAAAUCGAAGUUUUUUCUAGACAUUGCGUUAUCCACAAUACACACAAAUAUUAUAAAUAAAUACAUAAAUUGUAAAAUAAAUAUUUAAAUAUUACAUAAAUAAUUAAUAUUUUACAAUUCUUUCGUAAUUACAAAUGAAUGAAUGAAAUGUACAAUGUUUAAAUAAAGGUAAAAAUAUGUACAAUUAUUUACGGAUCCCUAUUAAAUUCAAAUAAAUCACAUACUAAUUUAUUUCUCCAAUUUUGUAUCCAUGCCUGGUUGAUUGCAUCAACCUUAUGUGCAACACUAAAAAAUUCUAUGUAUUUGAUGACGAACAUGCCGCAAUCACCCCUACAAUUAAACAAUGUUGUAUUAGUACAUCGAAAAUUAGUUAGAACCUAAGAUGUAAAUGACAAAAAUAAAAUUACAAACACUUACGGUAUUUGCUGCCUCGUCGUCGUGUUCCGCACGAUGGUCAAUCUGUCCUGCACAGUGAUGUUCGCUCGUCUAGCCAUCAUGGGAACGAUCACAGACACCGACUCUAGAUUUUGCUCGAGUUGACCUUGUGUUAGGCAUGAAUGAUCGGGGUCGUACACAUACAUAGUGGAGUCGGCGAAUACAAUUUCCAUUGCAAUAUAGUGAUGAUUCACACAUAUUGGCAUGUACAUAUGCGUACAACCCUCCCAUGGCUUUCCUCCGACACUCGACCACAUCCCUAUGACCCACUCCAUCAUAUAUGUUGACACCGUGUACUCGUUACCCAUAACUUGGAACGACUGGUACUCAAUGUCAACGGCACGGAUGAACUCGGUGUUCAAUAUGAGUCUGUCAGGAAUGUUGAACGAUUUUGGAUAUCUUUCAGCUCGAUCUCAUAGCAAAUCCAUGACCAAAUCGAUGUGCUACAUCAAGAAACACCAAUAAAGAAAGGAGUUUAUCUAUGAAUUUGAUUCAAAAAUUUGAUUUUCAACAUACAUAAUAAAUAACAAUAUUUUCAUUUCACUUACAUCGUCGGCGAGCCAAGCCCCCGAAGUGCUGAUGUCGUGGAACCACUUGUAAGCAGUUGAGAUCGUCUUCCGAGCAAUCGUGCGACUGACCCUAAAAAAAUAAGAACAUAAUUUUUAGUUACAAGAAGUAUACAUGUGUCAGCGUCUACGUACUAUACUAAUUCUAUAAAAUACAAAACUUAACCAGACUUUAUUGCCCUCCACUCUGUCUCAAAGGCUUUCCACAUGGUGUGGUCCACCUCCCUGAAUAAAUUCGGGUGCGUCCCGUCGACGAACCUUCUCCUCUUCGCCUCCACGGUAAAGAGAGAAACGACGUAUUGUGAUGGCACCCUCAGCCCUCUGCCGACCACCCGCUCCAGCACGUCAACAGCCAUUGUCCUCUCCUCAUCCGUCUUGGGAACCUCCAUCUCCCCAGCCAUCGGGACGACCCCCUUGCCCGUUAUCGGGACCACCUCAUCCGACACAAAGACAACGUCGACGAGUCUGGCGUCAUCUCGGGUACCACCUCCACCUCCGGUACCCUCUCCUACUCCGGUACCCCAUCGGCAUCACCGGAUAUCCCCUGCAUGGGUACCACCUCCACCUCCGGUACCCUCUCGACGUCUUCAGGUAUCCCCUGUACGGGCACCCUCAUCUCUGCCUCGGGUGACGUCAUCUCAGGUACCACUUCCACCUUCGAUACCCCCUCAACGUCCUCAGGUAUCCCCUGCACGGGCACUCUCACCUCCUCAGGUAUCCCCUCUGCCUCGGGUGACGUCAUCUCGAAUACCACCUCCACCUUCGAUACCCUCUCCUCCUCGGGUAUCCCCUCGAUGUCCUCAGGUAUCCCCUGCACGGGCAUCGCCUCCUCCUCGGGUACCCCCUCCACCACAAGUAUCCCCUCUCGCUCCUCCAUCCCCAUCGUGUCAUUUAAAAAUGAAUCAAAUGCAGCAACUGAUGGCCACGACGAGUCAACAUACGCCAUUUGACCCCCUCCCCCCGAUAACCACCGACCCCUCCGUCACGAUAGCCGCCAGUCCCUCCGUCCCAAUAGCCACCAUUCCCUCCGUCACCCCCUCCAUCCCGAUAGUGACCUAUACCUCCACUAGCUCCUCCAUCUCGAUAAUCGCCCGUCCCACGCAGGCCUGCUAUGUCACCUCGUAUCGCUGCAACCUCAACAUGAAGGUCUCCUAACCCAGCUCGUAAUAUCGCGACAUCAUAUCGUAACUUUGUCAUGUCCCCGAACUCAGCUCGUAGUGUCACGACAUUAUCCCAUAACUCUGUCAUGUCUCCUCUCAUCUCCAUCAGGAGUUCGAACAAAUCAAUCGUCGAAGCACGUUGACUAGGUGUAGGAGGUGAUACUAGACGGCCCUCCUGAAAAAAUAACUAUUACAAAUGAAUAACCUAACAAAUAAAUUAAAAUGACAAUCGAAAAAUUAUUUUUAAGUAACAUACUCUAUCUCGAUCAAUGCUGGACUCAGGCAUCUGAACCUCUGGCGUAGCCGGACGUGAUCUUCUCGGUAGAGGUGACAUCCUCGCCAGACGUGAUCUCCUCGGUGGAGGUGACAUCCUCGACGGAGGUAGUACUGAACGACCCUCCUGAAAAAAGAAAUAUUACAAGUGAAGCACUUAAUUACAAGAUCAAAAUGAUAUUCAACAAAUCCUGCACAAUAACAUACCCUGGACUCAGGCAUAUAAUCGUCAUGCGCAGUCUGAACAGGCAAUUCACGAAUAUAAAACUGACUCUCCUCCUCGAUCGACGGUGCCAAUUCAGUGAGAAUUUCAAGCUGACAUUUUGACAUGUCACAGUUAAUGACUAUGUAUUGAGAUUGUAAAAUGACAUACAACAUAAAUAGCAAUUGUAUAAUACGUACCUUAGGAUCGUCGAGGAGAGCCGAUAACUGUCUGGCAAGCGCCUUGUCUUGUGCUCGCCAGUGAUGCAUCCGAGGACAGCGUGUCUCUCCUCUUCUCACAUACCGACUGGCCAAGAUGGGGACAGUCUCGUACACCCAUAUCUGCAGUAAUUGCAAUUAUUAUAUAUAAAAUUUAAUAAAAAAAGUGUAGGUAAUUCAUUAACUUAAACAUAUACCUGCAGCACCAACGGCAGUCCAUAUGCAUCGUACUUGCGCUCGGGCUUAUCUCCCUUUAGCAUCGAAAACUCCCUCCUAAACAUGCGUAAUGUAUCUAGAAAACAUCUCCGGUCCCAUGGGUAGUUGUUGAAGGCAUCAAUAUCAUCAACAACCUCCAAAUGGAAAAUGUCAAUCGAUGUCUUCUUGUGAUGACACCGGAGUACGGUCUCAAUGAUAAGCACCAAGCCCAGCUUCAGCCUAUCAGACAUCUGAUCACAUCUCCUUAAUGCAUCUCCCAAUUGUGCUAGAGUAACCGUCGUCUGUCCACAAAAAUAUUCAUUCAACAGCCUCCUGUUCCUCGGAACACAGGCCCUCGCCUCUUCUUCGUUCGUACAUCGCAGUCCAGUGACGAGGGCAAACUCAAAUAUGGAGAACGUCGCUACCUUGCCCCCAAGAUCAAAAUAGAGGGCGUCUCCGUCAACUGGCUUCAGCAACCGACAUAGCAGGGCAUCGAGCAGCUGCCCAGACCACUGUAUAUCACGCAACGAAUACAAUGGCCAUAAGCAUGAUCGACAUUAUAUGUCCGCGUGCUCGUCAUCCAGCAAAUCUAAUACCAAAGCGAAGUUGGUAAAGUUACAAUUUGACGUAACUUUACCAAGAAUCUGUCUGACAGCGUCGUCCUGAUAAUAUUCCAUUCUGCAAAUUUUCAAAUAUUAGAACUCUGUGCAAAUGAUGUUUGAUAAACAAAAAUUUUUGUUCAUAGGUAAUUGAUAAACAAAAAUAUUACAAAAAUAUAAUAACACAUUGCUAUUAUAUGCAAUAACCUAUCGAUAAUGAAAUAAAGAAAAUGAACGUAAAUUACUAUUUUCCAUACACUUAAUUUGCUAAUUUGAUUGAUAUUACUUAUUUAAUAUUUAAUUAUUUAUUUUAAUUAUUUCACUAACACUUAUUUUAAUUCUUUACGCAUAAUGCUUAUUUCAUAUUUACAAAUUUAUUUUAAUUACUUUGCAAAAAAUUAAUUUUAUUGCGAUUUUAAUUUUCAAAUUUAAUUGCUUAUUUUUAUUAUUUUACAAAUGUUUAAAUAUUUUAAUGAAUGUUUAAAUACUUAUUUUAAUUCUUUACGUAUAAUGUUUAUUUCAUAUUUACAAAUUUAUUUUAAUUGCUUAGCAAAAAAUUAAUUUUAUUGCUAUUUUAAUUUUCAAAUUUAAUUGCUUAUUUUUAUUAUUUUACAAAUGUUUAAAUAUUUAUUUAAAUUCUCUAUAUAUAUUACUUAUUUAAUAUGUAAUUAUUUCUUUUAAUUAUUUUACUAUUACUUAAUAUAAAAUAAUUAAUUAAUCUAAAUUAGCAACUAAUAAAUAUUUUGAUAAAUAAUAAAACAUUUAUGUCUUACAUUUCAAAUAAAUAAUUUUAAAUACAUAAUAUACAUUAAAAUUAAACAAUUCAAAUAAAUAAUUAAAUAUUAGAGAACACAAUAAGAAAUUAAUAGUUAUUUAAUUAACUUCAAUAAUUACGAAAAAUAAUUAAAAAAAAUUGUAGGCCCACGACCCAAAUAACGAGCGGCCCAGUCAACUGGGUCAACUGGGGUGCCCAAUUGACUGGGCGCAAACAUGCUUUUUCUUCGUAUAAAAAUCUUACCUUCUUCAGAGAAAAAUGGCCAACUAGGUUUCCUGUUUUUCUUUUUUUGUCGGUGACUGGGUCGACGGUGCUAUAGUAAUUUUCCACUCUCCUUACUGUCUUCUAUUUCUUUUUCAAAUGGUAAGGGUAAAUUUGGAUUUUUCUUGAUUUUUGUUGGUUUUCAAGAUUUUAAACAUUUUUGCUUUUUUUUUUUAACUGGUCAAAGACCUCUUUGGAAAAAUGGCCGGGUCAACUGGCCAUUGGCCACUAUUUCCUCUACGGCACAUACCCGGUGUAAUGUUCUUGUCAUAAAUAUAUCAACCUGGCCCUCAACCAAUUUGUUUCCUGAAUUAUUCUUUUUAUAGCAGGUCUGAUUUAAAUUAUUAUUUCAACACCACGUUACCUUUAUUUGGUUUAGUUAAAUAUUGGAUUUUUAAUAGGUUUUGAUAAAAAUUAAUUAAACAAACGAAAAAUUGAUAAAAAUUACAUUCUCACUAUAAAUGUGUAGUUGAAACCGAUUUUGAGGAAAAAUGAGCCCGAUUUAAGUUCAAACACGUAACCUUCUUUUUUAAUUCGUGGAACGUGUCUUAAAAGAUAUGAAUCCUUUGCAUGAAACUGUCGAUGAUUUUCUUUAUUUAUUGCUCAAUUACUUUGGUGCUGGACCCAUGUUCCUUUUUACGGAUGGAUUAUCAACGGUCUGUCUUUGAUGCAUUAUGUGGUUUCGUCCCCACCAUUACUUGCAUGCUAAUGAAGUAAAAUUAUGGGAGGCUUUGAAUGCCGGAAAUGGAAACGCGUAGAAACUUUGGUUGAAUCAUUUGGUGCAUUUCCUUUUUCCUUGCGACAUAUUCUGACCAUGCAUCAUGGCCUGAUAUUUGAACCUCUAGCCAGAUAAUCCAGUAGGAUUUUCGUAAGUUGUGCAUCAAUAUUGAUAUCGUAGUGUCAAAUGAGGGCAAGCUAAACUUUUUAUGAUAUUAAGCUACCAUUAUUUGAGUGAUCCAACUCAUGGAGCAUAAGAGUGGCCUUAUUGCUCACCAACAAUUCCUCCCGAUCAACAUUACGCUCUUGUGAUUGGGCUCAUGACAUCUCUGAUGCCUUUUAAUAGGAUCGAGUUUCAUCGAUCUCUGAAAAUUAAUCCGUGUCUAGUGAGAACAAACUAAAUCUUUUAUGACAUUAGAUAAUCUUCAUCUGAGAGACUCAACUCUUGAACUUAAAAGAGCAAUCUUAUUACUCUCCAACACAUUUUAUUCUUUAGCUCUUCCUAAACUAGUUAAGCUUUUAUAUUUUUUAAUUAAUUGAAGGUCAAGUUCCACAUUUCCUAUCCCAACUUGUAUUUUUCUUUAUUUUAGAAUGAAUAAAUGCUCACCCUUUUUUUGGUUUGAUUUCAAAAAAGGGCUAACCCCAUUAUACGGUAAAAUCAAUCGCUUAUUCUGAUCAACCCAAGCAGAAUUUUUAUAUUGGAGUCAAGAAUUGUGCUUAGACAAACACUAAAUAUAAAAAAAUUAGUACCUACGACCUUGUUGAUUAAUAAUCUCAAUCUGGACUCUUUUCCAAAUUUUAGAAAUAGUAAGUCCUGUCAAUGAAACGGCAGUGGUAGUUGAAUAUUGGCCCCCGUUUGACAUCAUUAUUUGAAAAUUCUUUUUUUUUUCGUAUUUAUUUUCAAUCAUACAUUUACACGAUAAACUAUGUUGCAAGUAAAUCCAAUUUUUUUUUUUUUAACUAUCCGUUCUCCUAAAAAUCACUAUUUAAAACAUUAUUUUUUCCAAAGAAUACAUUGUCAAAAAGGGGCUUAAUGAAUUAAAUGUAUGCUUGAUAUACAGUACUUACCAAAAUCUUAUUCAUGUUUGCAUGUUGAUCAAUAAACAUGCUAUAAGGACUAACAAGAGCGCAUGAUUUAACGUCGCCAAAGAGAAAGAGGCGGAAAUCUAAUUACAAAGAAAACAUAAGAUUUGUUCGAUUCACCAAAUACACAAACAGGCGCGUGCAAUACAUAUGUAAUAUGAGGUAAUUACACAGCUAUAUUUAUUGCAGUUGGACUCCAAUCUGAUUUCAGCUUUCAUUUUAUUAUAAAUUCUUCUAACUUCUUGAUCAGUUCUUCCGUGCUUAUUCCUUCUUCUUCACCAUCUAUAAUUUGUUGUGAUUCUCUGAUCAAGAAGAAAAAAAGAGAAGAUAAAAGAGGAAAAACUAUUAUAUUUCUUACUUGAAUAGAAUUAUACAAUGGAGUUUUACAAACUCUCAAAACUCUCUCUAAUCUCUCCCUUUUUUCCUCAUCUCCACACUCUAUUUUUCUUCAUCUCAUGGGACUUGUUUCUCUUUGAGGCAAAAUCUAUUUAUAGAAAAUUUCAGCAAAAGUAACUACCUCAAUUUGUGGCAAAAAUUCUACCAAUUAAAUGAUAAAAUGGAAGUCAACAAAAGUGGCUGCCUUCAUGCAUGUGGAGGCUGGUUUUAAAAAAUUUAUUAUAUACAUGGAAGCCUUCUUCAUUAAGAAACCAGAUUUGUGGUUGUCAACCAAUCACAAAGGCGGUGAAAGAGUUUAAUCCAAUUUCUCCUCUUUGCAUGUAGGUUGCUACUUGUUUCAUGCAAUACCAUUCAUGGUGGUUUCUUCUUCAAUAAAUAGGCACUAGUGGUUGAAUUUCAAAAUCUUCAGCUUGAAGAAACUGAAAAAAUGCGGUUGGACUUAUCAAUUCUCCACCUCGAGUUGCAUCCAAAUCAGUUGUUAUUUGACAAUCAUCUCAGCCAUGUCUCUGCACAACUCUAGCUUCUCUCUUGGGAACCACCUUUGUUAACAUAUCCGCUGAAUUCUCAUUUGUGUGAAUCUUAACUAGUCUUAGCAAUUGUUCUUCCAUCACCUCUCUUAUGCAAUGAUAGCGGAUGUCGAUGUGUUUUGUCCGAGAAUGAUACAUUGAAGUCUUACUUAAGUCAAGAGCACUCUUGUUGUUACAAUAUACUUUGUAAUCUUUCUUCUUGAUUCCUAAUUCUUGGAAAAAUCACUUUAAUCACAACAUUUCUUUACCAACUUCCAUCGCUGCAAUAUAUUCUGCUUCUGUUUUAGAUAAAGAAAUACACUUUUGUAGUUUUGACUGCCAUGAAACAAUUUUCACUACAAAAGUGUAGAAAAAUCAUGGAGUAAAUUUUCUAUUAUCAAGAUCUCUAGCCAUAUUUGAAUCCGUAUAACCUUCCAAGAUUGAAUCAGCUCCCCAGUAGCAUAGACAUAUCUUUGAUGUACCUUUAAGGUACCUGAGAAUCCACUUGACUACCUCCCAAUGUUCUUUUCCAAGACUAGAGAGAAAACUACUGACCAUGGUCACUUCGUGAGAAAUAUCUGGCCGGGUAAAUACCAUUGCAUACAUUAGAUUUCCAAUAGCUAAAGAGUAAGGUACCAAUGACAUCUCAUCUAUCUCUUUCUUGGAUAAGGGGCAUGAGUUCGUGCUCAACUUGAAAUUGUUGGCUAGUGGAAUGCUCACAGGUUUGGCUUCAUGCAUGUUGAAUCUCUUGAUCACUCGUUCAACACACUUCUCCUCGGAUAACCAUUACCUUUUAUUCUUUCUAUCUCGAGUUAUGUGCAUUCCCAAAAUCUGUUGAGUUGUUCCUGAGUCCUUCAUGUCAAAGGACUUGGAGAGUUCCUUAUUCAGCUAGUUGACUUUUGUUGCAUCUUGUCCAAUUAUUAACAUGUCGUCUACAUAUAAUAAAAGAGCAAUGAAGUUGUCAUCUGGAAACCUCUAGAUAUAAACACAUUGAUCUGCAACAGUUUUUUUGUAGCCUUGGCUCAGCAUAAACGAGUCAAACUUUUUGUACCACUACAUUAGUGUUUGUUUAAAGCCAUACAAACACUUUUUCAGUUCGCGAACGAAGUUCUCUUUUCCUGAAACUUCAAAAUCUUCUAGCUGCUUCAUAUAAAUUUCUUCACAUAAUCACAAUGAAGAAAUGCAGUCUUGACAUCCAUCUAUUCAAGCUCUAGAUUUUAACUGACUACUAAUUCAAGAGUAACUCGAAUUGAGGUCAUCUUUACAACAGGUGAAAAAAUCUCAUCAAAGUCAAUUCCCUUCUUCUGAAGAAAUCCUUUGACUACCAAACGGGCUUUAUGUUUCAACACCUUUCCGCUACCAUCUUUCUUAAGCUUGAAAACCUAUUUAUUCCUCAAUGCCUUCUUUCCCUUCGGAAGCUCAACCAACUCAUAUGUUUGAUUCUUUUGUAGUGACUCCAUCUCAUCCUACAUUGCUUGUAUCCACUUAUCUUUGUCCACGUAAGUUUGUGCUUCCUGAAAGUUCUCAUUCGUCAGUGAGCAAAAUGUACUCUGAUGCUGGAUAUCUUGUUGAUAGAAUCGGUCCUCGUUCAUAUCUUCUUACAUGUGGAUCUUUGGUUUCAAAAGUUACAUCAUCAUCUGGUUGAUGUGGUGGUCUUAUAGCUUCCAGUGAAGAGGAUUGUGAAUUCCCCUUAUCAAUAUCCUCUUCUUUAUCCUCAUGUUCCUUCUGGCAUUUCCUCAUGCACAUCAUCAUUCUCUAUGGUGAUUUGUGCUGAUACUGGAUUUGGAACAAUAUUUUGGGCACCAAAGGAGAUAUUGUGAGUUUUCAAUGUCUUCUAAUGUCGGGUUUUCAUGGAACAUUACGUCCCUGCUUCUGAUGACCUUCUUUGUCUUUGAGUCCUAUAAUUUGUUUUCGAAUUCCUCAUCUCCAUAGCCUAUAAGGAUGCAUGGAGUGGUUCUUGUAUUUAGCUUUUUAUCUUAGCUCCUUGGAUACAUGUGCAAAGGCUAAACGGUCGAAUACUCUCAAGUGAAAGUAGGAGGGAUAUUUACUAGACCAUACUUUCUCCAAAAUUUAAAAAUUUAACGGUAUUGAUAGUGAUCUAUUGAUCAAGUAGCAGGUGGUUCGAACAACUUUUCACCAAAAUGGCUUUGGCAACUUAGCCAUAUUUAUUAUGCUUCUGACCUUUUCCAUGAUCAUAUGAUUCAUCCUCUUGACAACUCCAUUAUACUGUGAGGUGCGUGAGACUAUUUUCUCAUGUCGAAUGUCGUAUCUUCUGCAAUAGGCAUUGAACUCUUUGAAAGUGUACUCAUCUCCAUUAUCUAUACAGAGACAGUUUAGCUUCUUUCCUAUUUCAUGGUCUACCAUAGCAUAAAAUGAUUUGAAGUUACCUUACACUUGGUCCUUCAUCUUCAAGAAAUAUACUCACACCUUUCAAGAAGUAUCAUCAAUGAAUGUCAAAAAAUACUUGUUACCACCUAGUGAUUCAACCCCCAAGGGACUACAAACAUGAAAGUGUACCAGAUUAAGCAACUCUGAUCGUCUCAUCAAAGAGAAAUUGAAGGAGACUCUAUGCUGAUUACCAAAUAGAUAGUGACUGCAAGGAUCUAGCGCAGCUUCCUUGGCAACCGUGAUUAGCUCUUUCUUUGUCAAAGUAAACAACCCCUUCUCAUUCAUGUGACCAAGUUUUUGGUGCCACAAAUUUUGAGAAGUUUCAUGUUCUAUUACGUUGAGGCUAUCCAUAUGCAUUUUUACAUGAGUCUUGUAUAAAGUAUCACAUAUAUAUUCUCGAGCGACAACCAUAGAACCUUUCAUUAUUUUCCAUGUGUCAUUGCUAAAUUGAUUGAUAUAGCCCCGUUUGUUAAAAGCUAUCCGUGAAAGUAUAUUUAGUCGAAGAUCAGGUACAUGUCUAACAUUCUUCAGGAUUAUUUUGCACCCAAGAUUUGUUUGUAUCUAAACAUCACCAAUUUCCACGAUCUCAGAGGAACUAGUAUUUCCCAUAUGUACUGUACCAAAGUUUCCAGCUUUAUAUGUUGUAAGAAGUCUCUGCGUGGAGGGGCAUGAUAAGAUGCUGCAAUGUCUAUUAUCCACUCAAUAUCUUAGUUUGAGACGUGAAGACAUGUCUCCUCAUGGAUGGAACAGAUGGUCACCUCCCUAGAAAUAGUGAUUAGUGUCUCUCCUUCCUUAUUCUUCGACUGCGAAUUGUUCUAACCUUGCUCUCGUAGCAAUUUUUGACAUUUCUUCUUCAAAUGGCCCUCCAUUCCAUAGUAAUAGCACUUGUAAGCAGGCUUCCUUCCAUAUGUGGAUCUACCCUACUUUUGCUUUUACCUCUCUCCUAUCUCAAACACCUCAUUACUGUCUUUCCCAGUUCUCUGUGACAAAGGCAUGUAACUGAUCUGUGUCGACGUCCUUUCUCCUGGUCUUUUCAUUAAAUAGGGCAUCCUUAACCAUAGACAUGAUAAGUUAGCCAUUAGGGGUUGAGUUGCUAAGAGAUACUACUAGUGUCUCCUAACCAUCAGGAAGAGAACUUAAACGUAGUAAAGCUUACAUUUUAUCCCCGAGCAGCAUCUCCACAGAUGAAAAUCACCAAGCUCUAAAAUUCAUUGGUGUGCUCGACAACGGGAUUUUUACUCUUUAACUUCAGAUUCAUCAAACGCCUCAUCAACAGGGCUUUAUUUCGAGCGGUCAUGGCCUGGUACAUGUUAUCCAGAAUCUUCUAGAGGACAUGCAUUUGUCUCUUGUGCCACAUGGUGAAAGACAUUAUAGUCAAUCUAUUAUCGAAUUUGUUUUUCUAUUUAGCUUCUUCCACUCUGUUUUCUUGGUAGGAUCGGGGUUUACACCUUUGGCUUCCAGAGGUUCAUACAAAUCCUCACAACUAAGGAGGUCUUCCAUCCGAGGCCUCCACAGUGUAUAAUUGGUGGCGAUGAGCUUGAUCAUGGCUCUUGAUAAAGAUUUCUCCAUUGACAUGUUGGCUUGAAAAUGCUAUAUCAAAACCAAAGCUGUAUAAAAAAAAGUACAAGGGCCAGUUGAUAUACCUUGCUCUGAUGCCACUUGUUUUGAUACUCCGAUCACGAAAAAAAGAAGAUAAAAGAGGAAAAAAAUACUAUAUUUCUUACUUGAAUAAAAUUAUACAAAGGAGUAUUACAAACUCUUAAAAAAAAAAAAAAAAAAAAAAAUCUCUCUAAUCUUUCCCUUUUUUCUUCUCCGUACUCUAUUUUUCUUCCUCUCAUGGGACUUGUUUCCCUUUGAGGCAACCUCUAUUUAUAGAAAAUUUCAGCUACAAGAACUGCCUCAAUUUAUGGCCAAAUUCUACCAAUUAAAGGAUAAAAUGGAAGUCAACAAAAGUUGUGCCUUCAUGCAUGAAGAGGCUGGUUUUAAAAAUUUUAUUACAUGCAUGGAAGCUUUCUUCAUUAAGAAAACCAGAUUUGUGGCUGUUAACCAAUCACAAAGGCAACUGAAGGGAGUUUUAAUCUAAUUUUUCCACUUUGCAUGUAGAUUGCUACUUGUUUCAUGCUAUACUAUACAUGGUGGUUUCUUCUUCAUUAAGUAGGCACUUGUGGUUGAAUUUCAAUAUCCUCAGCUUGAAGAAAUUGAAAAAUGCAACUAGACUUAUCGUAAUUAAUCCACUUUCUUCUUCGUCAUCCUCAUCUUCUUCCCUACUCUCUACAGUCAGAACCCUACUGUCUCUUUCUUCUACUUCUUCUUGUUUUUCCUUGUGGUCCUUCUCUUCCUGUGAAAUUGCAAGCUUUUCUUUAGUGGCAUAAAUCAGGCCUGAUGCUUCUUUAUCUUCAGGAGGCGUAGCCUCUUUCAAAUUAGAAAUUGGGUUCAUGUUUUCGCUAUUUAAGGAAGAGUUGAAACUCAGGCUCUUGGCAAAAAAUCCAAGAAUACCCUUACAAAGAAGGAACUCGUAUUUUCUACUUAGAGCAUGAGAGAAUAUCAAUGGUGAAAAUUGAACAUUAUAGGAGAAGCUGAAAUCGAAACUUGAUGUGUAAGAAAAUACUAAAGAUAAGAUAGACAUUGGAACUAGAAUUAGUAAUAAUGCUCUGAUAAACUCAUCAUACUUACGAGUUUCUGGAGCUGUUUCAAUCAUCUAUUCAUCAUUUUGAUCCAUCUUGUUGUUGGUCCUGAAAGGAUUGUAGUGAAUGAGAUUAAUGACGCGAUAUGAAGUAAUGAAGAUCGCAAUAAGAAACAAUAUUUAAAAGUUAAGAAAUUAACAAAGAGAGUUAAUUGCGGAAACACGACGUUUUAUUAAUCAACAAUACGGAGAAAAAUACAAGAACUCAGCAUUCUUACCUAAACAAAACUGAAAGAGAAUACCACUAUUUAUAGGUAUAUCGCAUAACAUAAAGAUAAAAAAAUGUAGAAUAAGGAAAUAAUAUAUUUUCAUAAAAAUAAUGUGAAAUAUAAGGAAACAAAUUUUUCCAUAUGAAAAUAAAGAAAUAAUUUAUAUUUCCAAAAAAAAUCAUCCUAAUUUGGGUCACAAACCUAACAAUCUCCACCUUGACCCAAAUUUUGGUGCAAUGAACGAAUCUCUAAGAUUUCAAAUCCGUCUGCAUCAAAAUAGCCCUCAACACAAUAACCAAAACUCUCCAACAAAACUGUCGUCUUCUACAAGGCGUCCACAAGCAACACCUGAACCCAAAUCCUAGAUUCUCAAAAUUCCACCAAGGAAUUACUAUUUACCAAACAGGAUCGAAACACACCCUGUAACAAAAACCAUACCACAUGUUGCAUCAGAAGGCCCAUUGCUAGAACUGUCGCCUUUAAUGUUCCCAAAAGCAUCCUAAACAUUAUUGACACCACAGUACCCAGGCUCUAUGACUCCAACCCUAGCAAAUGAACACAGUGUAUCCGCUGAAAUUGGUGGCAAAAUGAAAUCACCAAUGUUCUUCUGAGUAAUGUUCUGAAUCGAUUCAAAGCCCGUCACAAGAGGUACUGUACCAAACUGAAUAUCCACCACGGUACUGAACUUGUCCCAAUAUAUCUAAAUUGAUUAUGUGCUUCCUUGCAAGAUGUACAACUGAGACCUUCUUAGUCCUUCAUGUACAAACCAGACACUCCUUCGGACCUUCAAAACUCCACCUCCACCAAAAAUUUUAUGCCUUUUUGCAUCCAGGGUACUCAGAGAGAUAAGAUUCCUUUUCAGGUCAGGAACAUGUCAAACCUGAUCAAUUGUUCUGAUCAUCCCAUCCUGCAACUUUAAUCCGACUCAAUCGAUUCCAGCAAUACGACAAGAUUGGUUGUUUCCUAUCACAACUCCACCUUGCUUGACAGCCUCAUAUGUCCAAAAGAAAUUGUGAUUGGAACACAUACGAUGAUAACAUGCUAAAUCGAGAAUCUACUCGUCGUCCGACCUAUAUUCCAUGUCAGAUACCACGGUCAACUUCACAUCUCCUCUGUCUGAAAAAUCCUCAACUGCAUUUGUUUCUUUUGAAGUCAAAGGUUACGCUCCACAAUUUGUAGCUAAAUCACAUUUAGUCUGCAACUUAUCACAUUUCUUCUGAAUAUGUCCUUUACAUCUGCAGCAAAACAAAUUACUGUUAUUCUUCGAUCUGCCCCUCCAUUGACCAGCAUGAGAUAUAAGAACUUCCUCAUCCCUCGAUAUAGCACUAACUAAAUGCUUCAACUUCUCAUUUGAGUGUAAAGUAUCAUAGACAUCGUCUAUAGUCAAAGUAUCCUGACUAUACAAAAUGGUGUUCCGAAAUGACGUAUAAGAGCCGGACAACGAACACAAUAGGAUCAAGGCAAGAUCUUCUUUACUUAACUUCCAACGUUUCCAAAUCUACGACAAUUUCUUUGAACACGAUAAUAUGGUCUACCAAAGACUCUCCUUUCGCCAUGCGAUGGGAAUACAACUUCUGCUUUAGAGCCAAUUUAUUGGUAAAACUCUUGGUCAUACAUAACUGCUCCAGUUUCAACCACAAAAAAAAAAGUUGUUUUUUCAUUCAAGACAUCCUGCAGAAUAUUAUUGGGUAAAUGAAGAUGAAUCAGCGACAAAGCCUUCCAAUCCCUCUAUUGUUUCUUCUCCGUUGUCCAAUUAACUGGCAUCUUCUCAAAUCUCAGUAGCGCAUCGUCCAAAUCCAAUUGCGCCAGAAUAACCUUCAUCUUUACUUGCCACAAAGAAAACAUUGUAUUAUGAUCCAGCAACGAAAUGUCAUACUUCAUGGUAGUCAUAUCUGAAAAAACCUCAUCCAAUCUUCAAAAGAAGAACCAAGCUCUGAUACCACUUGUUGGACCCGAAAAGAUUGCAGUGAAUGAGAUUAAUUAUAUAAUAUGAAGUAAUGAAGAUUGUAAUGAGAAACAAGAUUUACAAGUACAGAAAUUAACAAAGAGAGUUAAUCGCAAAAGCAUGACGUUUUAUUACUUGUCUAAAAAAUUCAACAAUUCUUGUCUAAAAAAACUGAAAGAAAAGAACACUAUUUAUAAGUACAUGGCAUAGCAUAAAGAUGGAAAUAAUGUGGAAUAAGGAAAUAAUAUAUUUUCACAAAAAUCACAUGAAAUAUAAGGAAAUAAAUUUUCCCACAUAAAAAUAAGCAAACAAUUUAUUUCAAAAAAAUUCACUUAGUAUUCAAUUUAUAAGUGUGAGGGAAAACCUCACCUCUUAAACUAGCUUUUGGGGUUAAGAAUGUCCAAUAUCACCCAACACUGGUAUCAGAGCCCAAUUUAUCAAUAAGUCACCUGCCCAUCAGUUUCUGAGAUACGAGAUUGUACGAGGAUGAGAAGCGUUUGGUCUCCCUCAAGCCCAGUUUUAUGAGGGGGAGACGAGUUUGAUCUCCCACAGGGCCGAUGUGUGGGGGAAGACGUGUUUGGUAUCCUGUAAAGUCCGAUGUGUGAGAGGCAGAUUGUUGGGGUUGUCCCACAUUAAUUGUGGAUAGGGUUGGUAUUCAGUUUAUAAGUGUGAGGGAAAGCCUCACCUCUUGAGCUAAUUUUUGAGGUUGAGAAGGUCCAAUACUACUCAAUACUUCUCCUCUGUAAAGUAUAAACCUAGCUAAGAGAGAGUACAUGAAGAACUAGUGGCGGCAAAUGGCUUGGAAUUUGUUGGAAUAUGCACGGGUUGGACCAUAGAACGUGUAUACAUAUUGAGUUCAAUAUAAAUUUUUUGAUCUUUUGACAGGAUUUUCCUGUUAAUCUCAAAAACAACUUUCUACUUUUCAGAAGUGAAGGUAUCAAACUACCUAAACUAUUAUAUUGAAUGCCCUUAAGUAUCGGGAAGGGGCUCUGAAUGAGUAUGUGGAGAAGUCAAUUUCUAUGACAAAGGUAGAUUUUUCCAUAACAAAUUAAAUACAAUAUGUAAUUGGAAAAUGAGAAUAGAAAUUUCUAGAAUUCACUGUAAAGCAGCUUUUUCUAUCAUUUUUUCCCCUCUUUCAACAUAUAGCAGGAUAAAAAUCAAACAUAAGUGACAGGGACAAGCUCAAAAUUUGAGCAUUUUAUAUUCAUAUUUCCAACCUUUUUUAACUUAAAACCCUAGAGUUAUAAUCAACUGACCUGAAACAGAAACAGGAAAGUCAUGUGAUCGAAGUUGUAUGUACUAAAAAAUAAAAAUAGACAAAUAAAAAGACAUUGCCGUCACUGAGCGAUUUUGUAGUGAACGAAGGAUUCGUGGAGUAAAGUGUAUGGUUCUUGACUUAUGUUAACGAGUUCUAAAAGUUCCCGAUGAAUUAAAUAAUAACAUAAAAUAGGAUCUAAUAUUUACAGUUUCUUCAAUCGAAUCGAUUAGAGUCUAAUUAAAUUUGGAUAAGAAAUGUAAGUGAGCGUCUGAAUUUAAUUUUUUUUGGUUAUACUAAAGUACUUCAACUUUCAUAUAAAAUUUAGUAUAAUGUGUUUGUCGAGAGAUAUAUUAAGAGAAAUGUAACUGAAAUUAGGCCCUGUUUGAUUACACUAUAUUUUUCAUGGAACUUGAAAUUCGAAUUCUAAUUUUCACUUUUGGUCUGUUUGAUUAACAUAAUUUUCGAGGGAAUUGAUUUUCCAUGAUUUUCUAAGUACAAAUCGGUAAAGCAUGAAAUUCCACCUUUUAUUUUCCCAUGGGGUAGGUAGUUUUUGGAAUUCCACCUUUUAUUUUAUUUUAUUUUAAUUGUUGACAAUUUGAACAAAUUCUAGGAAUAAUUGUAAAAGAUGAUAGUCCUUAAAUUGACAAAUUCUAUGUAAAACAAAGCUAAACGAACACCAAAAUAUAGAUAAUUUUUUGAUCUUUUUUUUUAGUUGGCAAUGGAAACAAAUUCGAGGAAUAAUGGUGGAAGUGAAUAUUCCUUAAAUUGAAAACUUUCAUGAAAAUUAAUGUCAAACGAACACCAAAAGACAUUUUUAUUUCAACAUUUUUCACCUAAAAAAUUAUACCAAUCAAACACUACCAAUUGAAAAUCAUCAGUAAAACAAUUUUUAGGCAAUUCAAUUCCCUGGAAUUCAUUUUCUUUCCACCCAAAUUUCAUCUUUACAAUCAAAUAGACUCUUAUAUUUAUUUUUAAGUAUCUAAAUGAAUAAAGGAAUAAAGGAAUAAAGGCCAAACUGAUAAAUGCAGGCGUAAUAUUCAUAGGUUUCUACAUUUUCAAAAUGGAAGUUUUUUAAAUUUAUUUUUGAAAAUAAUUUGUUUCCACAAAGUAUUAGAAAUAACGCUAUCUAUUGAUGAAAUCCAAGUUGAUUGGACCAAAUACAUAUUUCCUAAAGGAAGAAUUUGGCAAAAUUGUUAGAAGCUACAGAUUUAAAUGGUUUGAGCCUUCGGAACGAAAUCUAACAAGAGCUCAUUUGGUCAGAUUUCAGUUUUUAACAUUUUGUAGAGAAAAUUUUAAAAAAUCACAAUUUACCAGCUUUUCUUUAAAAGUUUGUCUAAUAGACAAAAUAUUUCUUUAAAAUUAUCCAAAUAUAUUCAAAACUAUUUUUUAGUCUUUUUACUUUUUUCAAAGCCUUACCAAACGAACUCUAAGCAACUUUUAAAAUAAAAAAUUAAAUUACCAUUAAAAUAUGUUAGUUAAUAUAGCAUAUAAGAUGUCAUAUCAAUUAAUAUUACAUAAGACUAUUAACAAGCCUUAUAAGAAUUGAGCGAUCCCAACUCUAAAGUAAUGAAUUUUGUCGCCGUUAAAGGUGAUGUGGCAUCUUUCGACUCAACUUGAAAAAAUUAUGAAAAGCUAAGGAAGUGGAAGGUUGGAAUCUAGAUUGUGCCCGAACUCGAAAGGUAGUAUGCAAGCCUGAAGUGUAUAAUUAAUAAGAGAGAAUUUGAUUGUUAAUCCCCCUAAACAUAAGUUCGGGCCAUGUCACCCCUAGGAGAGGUCGACUUGAGCUCGAACCCUGUUUCACCUAGCUAGGUUCCUUGUGUAGAACAGGGAAAUUUUUUUGAAAACUUAUUUUUUUACAUUUCAGAUUUUUUUUUUUUUUUUUUUUUUUUUUUUUUUUUUUUUUUGGUAUGAUGAUUUUGCAUAUAAAAAGGCAGUGUCACUACAAUUUUUCGACAACUUCUGUAAUCGUCACUCUUCUAAUCGUUUGAUUGAAUUUAUUUCUAAUUUCACAAUUUGUUCAUCGUUGGUAUUAUUAUACUAGUUUGAUAAAGAGUUUCUACUAUAUAAUCUCUCUCUAUAUAUUUUCUAUUGCAUUGUUAUAACUCAUAAUUUACGUAAUGCUAGUUCAUCAUUAUAUGCUUUGAACAAAAAUAAUUUAUUCAAUUUUUUGCCAAACUUUUAAAGAUCUAAUAAAAAGGUCAGUCAUAUUAUGAUGUACGAUAAGAUGAAAGAAAAAUUAAAGCUAUUUUUCACGAAUAUCAAGGGUGAUAUUUCUUUAGUCUUUGAUGCUGCAUAUCAUGUUGGCAGUAAUGGAUGCAUAUAUUUGAUAGCAUUGUAUCUUGAUGAUGAUAAUUUGACUCUUAUAAAAAAGUUAUUGCUAUUAAACCCAUUCUAUCGGAUGAAUCUAAUCAUCAAGUUAUUUUUAUUCAUGAUGAAUGGAUUAUAUUCUUUUUAUUUUAUAAUAUGUUGAACAUGUUUUCGUCUUCUAUGCUAUAAUUUUUUUUUUAAGUCUUCUUACAGUACAAGGGCGAGGAUCUCUGUUAUCAAAGAAUGUAUCGCGAUGAAAAAUACACUUUGAAAAAUAUUUUUCGCUGUGUACCAAUCUUUUUAUUAGCUACAAUAUUCGAUCCUAGUCUUAAAUUACAUGGUGCCGAACGUUAUUUUUUGUUAUAUUCAAAAUAAUAUAAAUUUUAUAUUUAAAAUAAAUGUAUCAUCGUACGAAAAAUAUCUAUAUUAUUGAGUAAUUCGUACUUCGGGUCAAACUAUGUAUAUUUAAUUUCUUGAGUUCGAAGUCCAUUUAACAGUACCACAUAUGUCAAAUGCACAAUUUAUAAUUCUUAUAAGAGAGGAUUUAAUUUUUAAUUAUGACCUUUUUAUGUUGACAUGGAUAAGUUGAAAGUGAAAGACAAGUAAAUUUAAGGAUAAGGAUGUUUUUGCUACUUGGUGCUUGUUUGAAUCUUAUUAUAUUUUUUUUAUAAUUUGAAGUCGAAGUAAUAAUUUUCAUUUAUUUAUUAUACAUAUACUCAUUACUACUAAUAAAGAAAAUAAUAAUUGAUUUUAUUUUAUUGCCAAAUUCCCUCCAAUUUACUUUACCAAAAAUGCUGUAUUGUAUUUCUUUUAUAAUAAAUUUCAUUAUUCUCUAAUCUAAUUUUCCUUUGAUGGUGUUGAGCUAGCCACUUGGUUUUGGUCAUCAAAUUUAGGGAUAGUGACGAGGUGGGGACUAUUUCCCUUGUUCCCGUCUUCGUCCUACCCUAAUUAUUAACUGGUGUGGGAAUAUUUUGCCUUAUUUGGGACCAGGCACUGUGAACGAGGUCAAUAAUUUUAUCAUAUCUAAUUCAGAUUCCUAAAUUAUUAUUUUCUAUUUUAUUUUAAUAAAAUUUAUCCAAAUUUCUUUUGCAUUUUCAAAAUCAUGUUAUUUAAAAACCUUUUUCUUUCUCUAUUUGAUUCAUGAAUCUUUUUGAGUGGGAAAACGUGCGGAAAUAUAUGAAUCAUUCCGCCUGGACCCUCUACCUUAGGUUGUUGGCACCUUACGUGAAUUUGGAAGCUGGGCCUCAAAUCGUAGUAUGUAAUGACAUAUUCAGGAUUGGAGUUCAGUUAGGACGGAUAUUAAUCGUUGACUAUUGACCAACGAUAAUCAAUGUCUGUAAUAGCAAGGUCGUGAACUCGAUUAGAAGCAAUGACGGGACUAGAUGCACUACUAGAACUACAAGAAUUAGGUAGGGACUUUCGUUUUCGUUGAAAAAAUCGUCCCAUAAUCUACAAAAUGCCACGAAUUAUAAUUCAAUUAAAAUUGGUUCAAAAAUAAAUAACACAUUACACCUUGAAAAACAAAGCCUCAAUAAUCAUUUUUUAACUAAAAUUAAUUAAACAGAUAUCAAUAUAUUAACAAAAUCAAUUAAAAUUGAUUCCAAUUUAUCAAUUAAAAAUUUUCAAGUUACUUAUAAUAUGCAAAAUUCUCCAAUAAUCAUUUAAGUAGGAAUUAAGUUGGAAUUUUUCUUGAAUUAUUUAUCACAAAUCACAUUUAUAACUCAUAAAACAUAAAUUAAAACUCAUAAACAAUAAAUUAAAAAUGAAUUAAAAAAAAUGAGAAAGGCCAGAGGCUCAAUGACACUGAGAUCGGAGAUGCCGACUCUAAUGGCAACUCGUUGAAAGCAGCAGCAGGCAGGGGCGGAUUUAGGUGGUGGGCAGCUAAAUUCACUGGGAAGAAUUUUUUUUUUUUAAUAAUAGAUAAAAAUUUCAGGUUAUAUAACUGAUAAUUCAUUUUAUUUUCAAAUCCCUCCUAAUUGGUUAGAGCUUGCAUUUAUAUAUUGCGAGUCUUUGGUUCGAGUUUUUCCCGUCUAUUUCAUUGUGCAAAUUUUUUAUUUCUACAAUAUUUACCAAAAUUAAUUCCUUAAGGAAAAGAUUCGAACAUAUGAUCUCUAGUUAGGAUGAUUGGAAGUUUAACCAUUAUGGCAAUGGUUGAAUUUUGAAUCUAAAUUUAACAAAAUAAUAUAUGUUAAGACUCUAGACGAGUCAAUGACUAUUUUUUUUUUUUGGUUUUUGUCGUUUUAAAUAUUUUAUGCUUUAAUAAUCUAUAAGAUAUGACUUAUGAGUAUUGAGUUUUAAUUUAUAUGUUAUUUGAAAAUUUGUCUACUGUGAAUUGUGAUAUUAAAAAUUAAUUUCAGUAUCGUGAAAUAUGAAUAUGUGAUUUAUGAAAAUUGAAAAUGAGAAAUUGGGGAAUUUAUCAUUUGUGAUGAAUUGGUGUUGAGAAUUGGAAAUGAAACUUUAAUUAUAUUUAAUUUUUGAUUAACGUUCAAUUCUCAUACUAAUAAUGGCAUGAUUUUUUCAACUAAAUCUCAAUCUAGUUCUUGUAGUAGUGUAUCUAAUCUCUCGACUACUUUUAGUCAAGCAAACGAUUUGUUAAGCAUUAAUAACACAAAUAGCUUAUGUAUCAUGUAAUUUAUAUUAUUUCGAAUUGUAUUGAACUAUAAUAUGAUAUAAAUAUACAAUUUUUUACAUUUUAGUAUAUUUACAUAUAGAUUGAAGAAUUUUUAAUAUUAUUUAAUUUAAUAUUAAUAAACGACAUUGCUAUACGGCUAUUGACUAUCGAUAGUCAACGGUCAACGGUCGUCCUAGUUGAGUCGAAAUCCUGGAUUCGCCCCUGGCAGCAGGUCGCAACUCGUAAGUGAUGAGUUUGGAAUUGCAAGGCCGCAAGAGGGAGGAAGGGUUUGUGGUGGAAUUGGAAAAUGUAAUUGUUGAAUUGGUUGGGUAGCGGAGUUGGUUGUUACUUUGCUCAUGGUUAUAGUAUGGUUUCCCACAGAUGACAUCAAUCUGUUGAUCUCAUAAUAUGUUGCCAACAGAUAUACUGGACCUACCCGCAUGCAUAUAAGCCGGGUCCAACACGCAAAGGCACGUGGAUGGUCUAGAAAUAGUAGCAAAAAGGGGGUCGUGGGAGCAACUUAAAGGUGCGGGAUGAGAACGUUCGGAAUCCGAUGAGAUAUUUGCAUAACGAUUGUACAAUAAUUACCAAUCAAUAUUUGUAGAAUGCAAGUAUGAAUUCAUGUAUGUUGUAAGAGAGUAAAAUGUAAAUAAUGUUGUACUUGUUCUUGUGUUGAAUCUUACAUUACCCUUGUGAGAGAUACAUGGAGGAGUAUUUAUAGUAUUACAACUUAGAUCGUAGCCCUUGGUUGGGAGUACACGUGGCCUCAUCUCGUAAGUUUACGUGUCAAAUUAUAGGCAUCACAUUUGACUUUCUAGCCUGCUACACAUUUAUUAAUUGGCGGCUCUGCCACUACAUUGAGAAGACAAGACAAGACAUUUGCACUCUAUGAUGGGUCUCCCAUCAAUCAAUCAGGAAGUAUCCUUGUUUAAGACUGGAUCUUUGGGGAGGAGUGCUGCUUAGAGCCUCAGGACCUCGGAGAAGAUUGGGCCUCAGAGAAAGGGCCUCGGCUACAAGGUCAGGUUCGGCGUCAACACUUGCAUCACAUCUGGCCUAGGGCCUCGGAUAAGAUGCCAUGUGGUUUGGAAGAGGUGGGCCAUGAGCCCAGUGGGUCGGCCAAGUGUCAACACAUAACAAUAGUCCCCUAAGUCCAAGUAUGAUCAUUUAUGUAAUGCGUGGACUUUUAUUAUGGUGACGCGUGUGGGGUAAAAAUUGAAAGAAUUUUUUGUACCUCAACUAAUAGUCUCCCAAGUCCAAGUAUAGAUAUUUAUAUCAUGGUUGGAGUUGAAAAUGGUGGUGUUGCUGUGAUUGGAGAAGGUGACGAAGAAGCCGAGGCGGUAAAUUGGAUCGAACCAGCCGAGACUUACGAAGAUGUAGCUGAACUGCAAAGAAGCAAACGAAGAAGUCGAGUCAGUGAGUGGAUCGAACCUAUCGAGGCUUGCGAAGAUGUGGCCGAAUUGCGAAGAAGCAGACGAAGAAGCCGAAGUGGUAAGUGGAUCAAACUUGUCAAGGCUUGUGAAGAGAUGAUUGUCUUCGAUGUUUGUGUCAAUGAUUUGAGGUUUUGUGCAUGUUACCAAGAAAAGGCAGUCAAGCCGUUUUGACUUCCAAGGCACGUACGCCUGCUGCAUUAAAUGUGCAAUGAUGGCUACAGCUGAGGCUUCUAAAAGGAGACGCGUUUGGAGAGGUGCGUGGGGAGCACGUUUGAAUCGGAGGCGUUGAUUUUGAAAAUGGUUUAAAUUCUACGCCUCGAAUUUGGUUUGUAAUGAAGGGCCCAAAUUUGAUGAGCCUUGAUCUGAUGGCUGGUGUUCGUCCUGGACUUGUAUAAAAGGUAGGAGACUCCCAUUUUUUUUACCUUUCUAUCUCUGUAAUUCUCCGUGUUUUUUGAAAAUAUCAUUUUUCGACGUUGAAGCUUUGCUCCAUUCCCGUUUUUCGGCAUCCUUCAAUUUCCUUAGUCGAUUUUGUAGGUAUUUCUUGCGAGAAUAAAUUGUUUUGCGAUCCUUGUCCAUUUUCCAAACUUACUCUGAUAUGGAGUCCACUUCAAGUAGGGGACAAUGACUGUCGCAUCGUUUGGGGAGGGGAUAGUUCGUAGGGGGCUCCGAGGUUGAACAUUAUGCUAUGACCGAGGAGCCCGUAAAUUACGAGGAGGAGUGGGGUGUGUCUAGGAUACCCUCAAAUAUGACUCAGAAGAGGUUGGGGAGAUAAGAGAGAGGAACUGCGUGCCUCAUAACAUAGAAAUUUUAGUCCCCGAGACCGAUGAACGAGCUUGUUAUUCGAGGCCUGGAUGUGUCAUAGUUAGUGAAUAUUUGUUUAAGGCGGAUAUGCGUCUUUCUCUGCACCCCUUCUUCAGGGUAGUGCUAAGGAAUUUUAUGUUGUCCCCAACCCAGAUUUUACCAAAUGGGUGGAGCCAGUUGGUGGGGUCUUACUUCCUGUGGAAGGAAGUGUCGAUGGGGGAGGAUAUGCCUUUGCAUGUCUUCCAGACCCUCUUCCAGCCCAGAGUCUUGGGUAAAGAUGAGUCGAAGGGGUGGUACUACAUUACUCCCUGGGGGUCACACGUCCCUUUUGUGGUAGGAUUGUCUUCUUCCAUUAAGAGGUGGAAGGAGUCGUGGUUCUGGGUUUGGGGCAACUAGCAGGCAGUAGUUGGGGACAAAGCCUUGGCUUGCACGAUACCGACCUAAUACUACGAAGCUCGUGAGUCCCCCAGCCUAAGCUGUACUUUACAUUCUGCUGAGCUUUCUGGAAUUUUUUGCUAACUGUUGUCGCAUGUUUUGUUGACUCGAGUACCAGGCACCAGCUCCACGAAGUGGAGUUUGACAUCAUAGAGGACAUUUACAAGCGUCCUCUGAAGUUUCACCACUUCGAUCAUCUCAUUGACCAAAGCCGUUAUUUCCUUGACUUCGAACUGAUGGCUUGUAAAGGUUAAGGGUAAGAAGUGCAUAUACUUUGUGAUGGAAAAGUUUGCUUAUUGAUGUCGACCUCUCAUCUGUUAUUCAUUCGUGUUGUAGAUAAGUUCAAGAGGAGGGAGUACCCCGCCCCGACAUGGCUACCAUAAUGAAGGCCACUACUACUGUUGGGGCCAGGCCUCUAAAACCCGGGUCAAGCAGGGCAAAAGAGGUGAGAGGCAAGGUGGAGCGCCUCUCCAACACUAAUACCUCCCAGGUUGCUGAGGAAGAGGCUCCUAAGAGGGAGAAAGAUAGCAAGCCUCGGGGAAAAGAGAAAGUCCCUGAGAACUCCCAGAAGAAGAUGAAGCUAGUCCACCUCACCAGUUCUUCGAGAAAGUUUGGGACUUCAAUUUCCCAAACCAGCAAGGACUCCCGACCACCGAAACUCAUGGACUCUGCCAUGAAGGCGGUGAAGGUGGAAAUGGUCUAGAAGGUCGAGGCUGAGGAGGCUGUGGAAGAGGCAGCGAUGUUGACUGCGUUGAAAGCAGAAGAGGAGGUUGCACGGCAGCAGCCUGUUAGGACCCAGGGAAAAUCCCCUAACUUCUUGCCUGGGCGUGACGAAGAGCUUGCCCCAGGGUUGUUGGAGGCUCUUCCUAAGGAGGUUCGAGGUACUGCAGCCAAUUUUUAUAAAUUUUGGACUGAUAGGUGGGUGCGGCACGCCUCGUCCUACGACGUCGUCGACCUCUCGAAGGCCCUAAUGAGCCAAAGUGCGAGGACAUUUUGCCUCGCAUUGGAGUGUAGGGAGGUCCUCACUGACUUCCAAACGAGGACCAUGUCCUCAGAAAAGAAGAUGGCCUUUGCUGAAGAGGAGUUGAAGAGGUUGAGGCCCGAAGCAGAGGAGACAAAGGCCCAAAAAGUUGAAGACGCUACCAAGUUGAAAUCUGCUUUAGCCCAAAUAAAGGCCUUGAAGAAGGAGGCAUAUGAGUCUCAGUGUGAGGUGGCCUCCCUCACUAAAAAGAUGGAGACAUCGAAUAAUCAUCAGAAGGUUACUGCCGAGGCCCUGAAAAAAACAAACCUUGAGCUUGCUGGGGCCAGGGAUGCAUAUAACUUCUUGAAUGACCAAAUAAAAUGGCAUGUUAAUGAACUGGCCAAGGCAAGGGAGGUAGCUAAGGUAGCGGGGAGGAGGCAGUUAAAUAGUUCAUUGUCAAUUUCUACAACACCGAGGAGUAGCAAAGCUUCUGUACAUACUGGAGGAUCUUUGGCUACGCUCAAGUGAUAGAGAGGGCUGAGGAACUUUACCUAAGCUACGACUUGUCUCAACUUAGGUUCGAGUUUGUGGAUGAGGUACCUCAGACCCCAGCUGAGGAAAUAGUAGGGGAAGAAGCAGCGGAAAGAAUUGAAGAGGGGUUUAAAGCUCAAGCUACUGAAGCUCCUGCUACAAAAGCACUCCCUCCAUCAUCCGAAGCUUAGUUUAGGAUUCCUUUUUAGUUUAUAUCAAUGUACUGGCCUUGAGCCCACCUCUUGUAAUGUAUUCAAUAUCAAUGAAUGCCAUGUUUUGCAAAAUUUUAUUUUCUUUUCAAUAUCAAGUGCAUGAACCUCAGUAAAUAAUCGAGCAUAAGUUUGAGUUAGCUAUCUGAACUUGACAUCUCGCUUCAAGAUGAGCUAAUAAUCAAGCCAUAUAAAUGAUGACUUAAUGUGUUGUACUUAGGUUCCAUCACUUUGAGAUAAACCACGAUGUCCAAAUUGCACUUAGGUUAUUUGACUGGAUCUUUCCAUUGAGUUCGAAUUAGGGAGGUAAAAUGAUGGUGGAUGAGAUGUGCAUGUCGAGGCAUGUGGAGCAAGUCUUGGAGUUCAGGCGAGGUGGCCCCAAAGUUGGGGAUCAGGACCUCUCCUCCGAGGCUCCCAUACUUCCCUACAUGGUGGAUAGUGCAGCCAUGUAGAGGCUUCUCCCUUUGGCGUUCAGCCUUGCCAAAGGAUGGCAUGUGGAGUGAGUCUCAAAGUUCAAGCGAGGUGACCCCGUAGUUGGGGAUCAGGGCCUCUCCUCCGAGGCUCCCAUGCUUUCCUACAUGGGGGAUGGUACAGCCAUGUAGAGACUUCUCCCUUUGACGUACAGUCUCACCAAAGAAAGACAUGUGAAGUGAGCCUCGGAGUUCAGGCGAGGUGACCCUAGAGUGAAGGAUCAGGACCUCUUCUCCGAGACUUCCACGCGUCCCUACAUGGUGGAUGGUGCAGCCAUGUAGAGGCUUCUCUCUUUGGCGUUCAGCCUCGCCAAAGAAAGGUAUGUAGAGUGAGUCUUGGAGUUCGGAUGAGGUGACCCCCAAGUUGGGGAUCAGGACCUCCAUCCCAGGCUCUCAUACUUCCUUACAUGGUAAAUGGUGCAACCAUGUAGAGGUUUCUCCUUUUGGUGUUCAGCCUCAUCAAAGGAAGGCAUGCGGAGUGAGCCUCGGAGUUCAGGCGAGGUAACCCCAGAGUUGGGAAUCAGGACCUCUCCUCCAAGGCUCCCAAGCUUUCCUACAUGGUGGAUGGUGCAGCCAUGUAGAGACUUCUUCCAUUGGCAUUUAUCCUCGCCAAAGGGAGGCAUGUGGAAUGAGCCUUGGAGUUUAGACGAGGUGACCCCAGAGUUGGGGAUCAGGACCUCUCUUUCUAGGCUCCCACGCUUCCCUACAUGGUGGAUGGUGUAACUAUGUAGAGGUUUCUUCCUUUGGCGUUCAGCCUCGCCAAAAGAAGGCAUGUGAAGUGAGUCUCGGAGUUCGGGUGAGGCAACUCCAGAGUUGGGAAUUAGGAUCUCUCCUCCAAGGCUCUUACGCUUUGAGAGUCGUAUCUAAAUUUAAUGACAUUUUAUUUGAGCUGAAAAUCAGUUACAUAAGCUAGGAAAAAUCCUCCAGCGAUGUAGUGCAAUCAUUGGUAAUAAACUUUGAGAUGCUCAAUGUUCCAUGGACGAGGUUGUGCCUUGCCAUCCAUGUCUUCAAUUAUGUAGGUACUGGGUCGGAGUUCUUCUUUAACUCUGUAAGGACCUUCCCAGUUUGGACCCAAUGUACCUUCUCCAGGUCUUUUGGAGGAGAGAAAGACUCUCCUAAGGACCGGGUCAUUGAUUCGGAAGGACCUCUUCUUCACCUUGGAAUUGAAGUAUUUGGUCAUUUUCCUUUCAUAAGCAGCGAGCCUCAGCUAGGAGUCAUCUCUUCUUUCAUCAAUGAAGUCGAGGUUGAACCUCCAUAGCUUGUCAUUAGAUAUUUCACUGAAGUGUAGGUAACGCGGUGAUGGUAAGCCGACCUCAACUGGGCUCAUGACUUCAGUUCCAUAGGCCAUGAGGAAAGGAGUUCCCCCGUGGGAGUUUUGGUGGUAGUUCGGAUCGCCUAAAGCACUUGAGGCAGCUCAUCAACCCAGGCUCCCUUUGAUGCAUCCAGUUUUCUUUUGAGGACAUGUUUGAUUGUCUUGUUUACGGUUUCAACUUGGCCAUCGGCUUGAGGAUGAUGAGGCAUUGAGAAGUACUUCUUGAUUCCAAGUUCUUCGCAAAGGUUCCUAACCUUUUUAUUGUCGAACUGCCUUCCAUUGUCUGAAACUAUGGAGUGAAAAAUUCUGAACUAGCAUAUGAUAUUCUUCCAAAAGAACUUGGAGGUGUUUGCUUAUAUGAUUUUUGCUAGCAGUUCGGUCUCAAUCCACUUCGCAAAGUAAUCAAUGGCCAUAAUGGCAAAGUUUGCGCCUUCUCUACUUUUAGGUAAGGGACCUAUCAGGUCCACGCCCCACUUGGAGAAGGGCCAUGGGCUGGAUACGGCAGUUGCUCCUGCGAGGGUUGCCUCUGAAUGGGAUAAAAAUGUUAGCACUUGUCACAUUUACGCACAAAUUGAAGCGCAUCAUUUUUCAAGGCGGGCCAGUAGUACCCUUGCCUUAGUACCUUUUGUGUCAAUGCUAGUCCUUCUGAGUGAUUACUACAAACACUUUCAUUGAUUUCCCUCAUAAUGUAAGUGGCCUCGUCUCCCCCACGCAACGAAGAAGUGGGGAGGAGAAGCUUCUUUUGUAGAGUACGUCAUCAAUGAAGAGGAAAUGAGCUGACCUCCUUCUUAGCUUGUAGGCCUCAUCUUUGUCAAUGGGCAGGACCUCGUCCUUUAGGUAGGCUAUGAUUGGUUGCAUCUAGGUAGGGGUUCCUUCAACCCAGGGGCUUUGAUAGAUGGCGUAAGGAGGUAUUCAAUUGGAACUAUUGCAAGUAAUUCCAAGUCCUUGCUGUUAGCGAGUUUAGAGAGCGCAACUGCAUGUGCGUUCUUGAGGCGAGAGAUCUGUAUUAUUUCGACUUUUUCAAAAGAUAGGAGGAGGUUUAUCACCAUCUUCAAGUAGGAAGCCAUGGUUUUAUCCCUAGCUGAAAAACUGUCAUUCACUUGGCUUACCACCAGCUGGGAGUCACUGUUGAUACGUAGCCUUCGUAUUUGCAUUUCUUUGGCUAAUCUGAGGCCUGUGAGGAGCGUCUCAUACUCAGCAGCGUUGUUGGUGGCCUUAAAUCUAAACCUUAUGGCUGAGUUCAACUUGUGACUUCUGGGCUGACUAGAACUAUUCCAACUCUCGAACCUGCUCCAACCGAACCAUCCACGAACAAGUUUCACGUGGGGGGCUCAACAAGUUCCAUAACCUCUUCUAUCUCGGGUACAUUGGCAAACUCUGCCACGAAAUCAGCUAAAGCUUGGGCCUUGAUGGCUGUCCUUGUCUUAAAGAUAAUGUCGAAUUCGCUUAAUUCCACUGCCCAUUUCAGUAGCCUUCCUGAGGCUUCUGGCUUUUGUAGUACUUGCCUCAAAGGGAAGUUGGUUAACACGUGAAUGGUGUGUACCUGAAAGUAGGGUCUCAACUUUCUAAAAGUCAUGAUCAAGGCUAAGUCUAGCUUCUCCAUAUCGGGUUAGCGAGUUUCUGGAGAUAGGAGUAUCUUACUGGUAUAAUACACGGGGAAUUGGUUGGUUCCUUCCUCUCUAGUUAGGACCGAGUUGAUGGCCUCAUUGUAGAUGGCUAGGUACAACUGAAGGAUAUGUCGGGCUUUGGCUUGGAGAUGAGGGGAGCCUACCCUAGAUGCCUUUUCAGGCCUCUUCACAUUCCUCAUUUCAUUCGAACUUCUUCCCGACUUUCAAUAUUUUGAAGAACGGGAGGCAUUCAUUGGUGGCCUUGGAGACAAAGCGACUGAGGGCUACCACUCGUCCCAUUAGGCUUUGGACUUCCUUGGGUUUCUGGGGUGAUUUCAUCUUGAACAAGGCAUUGAUCUUUUUGGGAUUGGCUUCGAUCCCUCUUUGGUUGACCAUGUACCCCAGGAAUUUAUCGGAAGCAACGUCAAAAGUGCACUUGAGAGGGUUGAGCUUCAUUUGGUACCUCCUGAGGGUUCGAAAAGUGUUAUCUAGGUGCGUUACAUGGUCGCCCGCCUUCAGGCUUUUCACAAGCAUAUCGUCCACUUAAACUUCCAUUGUCUUGCCGAUGAGGUCCACAAACAUUUUUUUCACAAGCCUUUGAUAGGUGGCCGCGGCAUUUUUCAACCCAAAGGACAUCAUUUUGUAACAGUAAAAGCCUCUGUCAGUGAUAAAGGAGGUGUUCUCUUCAUCGGCCGGGUGUAUGGGCAUUUGAUUAUAGCCCGAGUAGGCAUCCAUGAAACUCAGGAGCUCAUGUCCGACGGUGGAGUCUACCAAUUGAUCAAUUCUCGGAAGGGAGAAGCUGUCUUUGGGGCAUACCUUGUUGAGAUUCGUAAACUCGAUACAUACCCUCCACUUACCGUUGUGCUUCUUGACUAGCACUAGGUUGGAGACCCACUUCGGGUAGAUGGCCUCUCCGAUAAGCCAUUCUUGAUUAGCUUCUGUACUUCUUUCUUCAAAGCCUCAUACCUUUUUGGGUUGAGGGUUCUCCUCUUCUAUCGAUGUGGGGCAACCUUAGGAUCUAUCUUUAGGUGAUGACAGCUGACCUUGGGGUCUACGCCCACCAUGUCCUUAUGCCUUCAAGCAAAGACAUCAAGGUUCUUGCAGAGAAAGUCUUUCAAUUUUUCUUUCAUGUCGUUGUCCGGGCCUAUGCCUACUUUCAACACCUUCGCAGGGUCGCGAGGGUCGACUGGGAAGCUUUCUAGUUCCUCAACCGGAGUUGUUUGGGGUUCAUGUUGAGUUACACAGGGAUCGAUCAUGGAGAGUUCUUCCUGCUCGAGAGAUGCGUCGAUCAUGUCAACAUCUUCUCGUUCAGGAGGGGCCUUGCUUGGCACGUCUGCUAUAUCUACAUCAGUCAGGAUGGUAUGUACAUCCCAGGGUUCAACCUUUCUAAUAGAGCUCAGGUAGCAUUCUCUGGAACCUCUUUGGUCACCUCUCACUGUUAUCACCCCGUUUUCGGUUGGAAACUUCAUGCAUAAGUGGUGGAUGGAAGUGACGGCCCCUAACUCCUUUAGGGCUGGUCUAUCUAAGACUCCGUGGUAAGCUAACCGACUGUCUACAAUAAGGAAUUUCAUAAAGUUCAUAGUAGUUUGGGGAGACUCUCCCAUCUCUAUCGUCAACGUUAUUUUUUCUCUCGGAGUGAUACUAUCUCCGGUAAAUCCGUAUAAAGGAGUGGUGGUGGGCGUCAGCUCGUGGUCUUGGAUUAUCUUAUCAAAGGUGGGCCAGAAUUGGAUGUUAACGGAGCUGCCAUUGUCUACUAGCAUUCGCUUGAGUCCAUUUCGGGCCACAAUGGCCCUUACCACAAGUGCAUCACAAUGGGGGUAGUGAACCCCUUUAGAGUCCUUUUGGGUGAAGACGAUGGACGGUACUUGGUUCUUUCAAGAGCUGCUGUCCAUGAUAUAACUAGUUAGCGGGAGGCGUUUAGCCUCUCGAGCGUAGUUUCGUUUUGCGUUUCGGGUCUCACCUCCCACGCAGUGGCCUCCAAAUAUGGUAUCUAUCUCGUGAAUAGGGGCCUCUUCUUGUGUGUGGUGAUUUUUCCGAUGCCUAUGUCCUUCCCUGGGUCUUCCCGCAUCACGUUCCCUUCGACAGGGGAUACCUCUCGCUGGCGAGGCGUCGCCUUCUCACGCUUAGGUCGCCGGUUGUUCAUAGGCCGGGACCUGUUUGCUUUUAGUGACUCGUUCCUCCUGUCUUAAGGGUGUUCCCGUCAGUUGCGGUAUGCAUACUCCCGACACUCUGAUGUGUCAUGACUAUAAGAACGGUGGUAUGUACAAUAGUUAAGGGGUUCUGGUUAGGCCUAUUCCUAGGCCCCAAACUGCGCCCCUGGCCUCCUCCUUUUCGGGGGGCCUGUUGUGUUCCUACUUGUGGGUAGGUGGUGGUUGGGUUGACAUCUUCAUAUGCCAAAAUUAGGAUUGCGUUCAAAGUGGUUGUGGCAAGUGCUUGCCCUGAAUUUUCAUUACCCAGCAGGUUCAUCUGGUAGUCCAUCAAGUGGGAGGUCGGUCCUCUGGCUCACUGUCUCUAUUGAGGUGGGAGGUUCCUGCUGGCCCAAUUCCUGUGUUCAAUUAGCUCCUCAUUGAUAAUCUCUCACCUCUUCAUUUUCAAUAGGGCGUCAUAGGUGGCGGGAUCUUGGUUUUGCACGUCCUUCCAAAACAAGGUGUUCAUAUUCAAACCUCUCCUUAAGGUUGAUAAAGCCUCACGAUUGGUGACUUGCACGCAGUACAUCAUUUCGUUAGUAAAGUGUGAUAAAAAGCUUUUUAAGGAUUCCCUAUGCGCUUGCCUCAUGUCUUGAAGGAGCUGGAUAGGGACUUCUCCCUCUUUGCUCAUCGCAAACCUUUUUAGAAAGGUGUUCUUGAAUUCUAGCCAACUCCUUAUGCUCUCAGGUGACAGUCCACUAUACCAAAUUUCAGCCGCUCUGCUAAAUGUCAAAUGAAAAGCCUUGCACUUUAUAGUUGGGGUGGCACUUCUAAGGCUCAUAUGAGUUUUGUAAGCGCUUAGGUGUUUCUCCGAGUCGCUUCUCCCGUCAUACUUUGGUAUUUUGGAUAUCACAUAAUGGCCCGGAACUUGGGCAUUCCUUAUUUCCCUUGAAAAUGGGAGAUUUUCAUCGUUGUUGUCCAAGUCACAGGACCUUUACUAUUCAUCUGAUUCAUUGUUCUCUUCGGCUUCAUACCUGGGUGGCUGAUGAGAGGGUUCAGCUUGGGUCCUGACCUCCUCUUCCCUCUUUUGAUGCCUAUUUCUAGGCGGAGCAACACAGAGAACAUUUUCUUGCCUUUUCUCCGAUUGACGAGUCAUUAGAGGUGGGCACUGUGGUCUAUUCCAAGGCUCGCGUUGAUGUUCCUGUUGCCUGUGCCUCGGCUCCGUAGGGCUAAUUCUGUCAAAGACGCUGUUAGACCUCAUAGGUCUUUAUUUUGGCUUAUAUGCUGGUGGAAAGUUGUCCUGGUUAUACCGGGCCUCGAUGGGUCAGCUAGCAGCAUAAUUGGAGGAAACAUCAACUUCUACUUUCCUCUCCAUGUGGCUCCUGCCUCGGCUGUAUUCUGGCGGUAUAGCCCUUUGGCUUUGAACUUUCUCAUCUUGGUCGUAAUGUUCUUGGGGUGCAUAGGAAGGAAUAGGGAAGCCUACUUGGCUCUGCAUUUGGGCCUGAGUUCUCUAAUGGCCAUGUUUUGGCUAGCAACGUCCCUCAUGUUUAUAGCCAUGGUGGCCAUCUCUCUUGAUAGCUGAGCGGUCAUCUGCAUGCCACCUCUUUUGUGGUGGUGGUGAGGUCGAUGCCGAGCUGCAGGGAUAGCUGCUGGUGGGGACAUCCCUGCAUUUUCUCUUACCCUCCUAGGGGGUACAUCCUCGUCUGAACUCAUUCACCUGUUCCAACUUCAAAUUAUUGCUAAGUUAUGGGGCUUCCACUUGUUUUUUUCCAAGAACAAAUUAUUUUUCAAAGGGGAUGCUCAAAUAUUCUUUUCGAUAAACUUUCUCCACAUGGUUGCUCGUGGUUAUAGUAUGAUUUCUCACAGACGGCGUCAAUCUGUUGACCCCAGAAUAUGUUGCCAACAAAUAUACCGGACCCACCCUCGCGCACAUAAGCUUGGUCCAACACGCUAUGGCACAUGGAUGGUCUAGAAAUAAUAGCAAAAAGGGGGCAUGGGAGCGACUCAAAGGUGCGGGACGAGAACGUUCGAAAUCUGACGAGAUAUUUGCAUAAUGAUUGUACAAUAAUUACCAAUCGAUGUUUGUAGAAUGCGAGUAUGAAUUCAUGUAUGUUGCAAGAAAGUAAAAUAUAGAGAAUGUUGUAUUUGUUCUUGUGAUGAAUCUUGCAUUACCCUUGUGAGAGAUAUAUGGGGGAGUAUUUAUAGUAUUACAACUUAGAUCGUGACCCUUGGUUGGGAGUACACGUGGUCUUAUCACGUAAGUUUACAUGUCAAAUUAUAGGCAUCACAUUUGACUUCCUAACUUGCUACACAUUUAUUAAUUGACGGCUUUGCCACUACAUUGACAAUACAAGACAUUUACACUCUAUGAUGGGUGUCCCAUCAAUCAAUCAGGAAGUAUCAUUGUGUAAGAUCGGAUCUCUGGGAAGGAGCGUUGCUUAGAGCCUCAGGACCUCGGAGAAGAUUAGGACUCAGAGGAAGGGCCUCGGCUCCAAGAUCAGCUUCGGCGUCGGCACUUGGGCCACGUCUGGCCUGGGGCCUCGGAUAAAAUGCCACGUAGUUCGGAAAAGGUUGGCCAUGGGCCCAGUGGGUCGGCCAAGUGUCAACACAUAACAGUUCCCAUCACGAACUAAAUUGGAAAUUUGUUUUUUGUAUUGAGGCAUAUAUGAAUUUUUCUGAAUUACUUUGUGAUUGAACUUCGGGUCCAUGCUACAUGAAAAUGAAUUUGGGCCAAAUUUUUUGAAAAACAAGAGGCUAAAAAAAAGGCCCAAUUCAUAAACCUAUGUUAUCUUUCGAGUUUCAUUUCUGCCUUUGUAAUUCAAGUUUCCUCCUUCGGCUGGCGGGAUCUCAACGGCAACUGUAAAUUUCGACCACUCGUACCGGCUCCGCCACUGCUGUUAUGCAAUUCAAUUAACUAAAAAUUCAACAACUAAACGAUAAAAAAAAUGUAAUACUUAAAAUAUUUAUAUGACAAUCAAUUAAUAAGAUUGAAAAAUGUUCUACACGAUCAUUCAAGAAAUUUUAAGCCCUUGAUUUGAGUUCCAUUCUUUUGGAAAAAAUAUUUUUCAACAGUGUUUUGACAUCAUUUCAACCACACAUUCUUCAAUGAAUAUUACACGCAAAUCCAAAAUUUUUAACCCCACAUUUCCCCCUUUUUUUAACUACACAUUUUCCAUCAAUACACUGUACAAAAAUUUAUUCUUCAAAAAAAAAAUGGGGGUCAAACAAGAGCUAAAAAAUGUGUCGCUAGGACGCAAAUAUUUACACGUUUAGAGUGUUAUUUGGAUAUGUUCUAAGUACUUGUAAGUUGUGAAUCAUAUGAAAUAUAUUGAGUGAAUAUUAAUAUUAAGUUGCACAUUAUACAAAAUCUUUGAAUAAAAGUAUGUUUGACGAAUUUAACUUAAGCGCUUGUUUGAAAUUGCUUAAGAAGCUACUAUAAAGUUGAGGAGUUGAGGUCAAAGUUAAAAAAUUAAUUUUCAUGACAUAAUUUAUGAAAUUCACAAAUUUUUAAUCACACAUUCAUCAUAUUUUAUCAAAGUCUCGACAAUCCUUAAAUUUUAAAAUUUGGAUAAAACUUUUGUGCAGUGGGACCAGUGGCGAAUCCAGGAUUCAAGUUCAACUAGGGUGGUUUGACCGUUGACCGAUGAUCGUUGACUGUCGAGGAUCGUAAUUGUCCGAUCGUUUAUUAAAAUUUGGUUACAUAAUAUUAGAAGUUAUUCAAAAUAUAUGUAAAUGAACUAAAACGUCAAAAUCGUAUACAUAUGAAAAUAUACUUCGAUACAACCCAAAAUAGUAAAAAAAAAAUAUACGAUACAACCUUACUCAGUUACUCUGUAACUGUAAACUUAGACAACUGUAUUCUACGGGGUCUCAUAAUUUGAAAGCGUUGCAAUAUUGCUUCAUUCUCAAGCUGUUUAAAAAUAGCUUUCUCCACGUAAAUCACCAAAUUGUCAUUUAACCAGAUAUCACCCAUUUUGUUACGCAAAUCACUCUUGAUUAGAUUCAUAGCAGAAAAUACCUUUCAACACUUGCAGUUGCCACAGGUAAUAUCAAAGCCAAGGUGAGCAGCCUAUAAACCAAUGGAAAAUAAUAGGAACUUCUAGUUUCAAUCAACUUCUGAGCUACACAGGAUAUACUAUUGAGAUUAAAGAAAGCUUUUUCCAUUCUCACAAGCAAAAGAAACUUAUCAAGUUGAGGUCUAAAUAGUAAAAGUUCUUCACUAUUGAAGUCCAAAGGACAGAACUGAGCAAGACGUAGCAAUUUAUCCAAAUCUUUUGGACUUAAACAUGAAAUGCAAGUAAAGAGCUCAGUAGUUGUUUCUGAAAAUCGAUCAUUCAACUCUUGCAAGAUUGAGUCUAUCACAUGACAAUACAAAUCAACAUAAAAGCGAUGAAAAUAAGUCACCUGCUAAGCUACACGCCUAGGUCGACCUUUCACCACUACAAUAUCCUCCAUAUUAGGCACUAAAAUAUGUCUAUCAACACAAAACUCAAUCACCCUACUGAGCAAAGUAUCCCAACCAUUCUCUCUCAAGUUCUGCAAUGCACACUUACACAAAUUCAAUAACCUCAUAGCAUUCUAAAUAUCCUAAUCCUUUUUCUGUAAGGCUUGUGAAAGGUCGUCUGUAAUUGCAAGAAUUUCAAACAUAAAGUGAAGACUGAACACAAACUCAAAAUCUUGCAUAUUGUUCGUCUGUCUUAAGGCCGAAGAUUUUUGAUCUGAAUGUACGCCAUCUUCUGAUAUAUUCUCAAGAACAUCUAUAAUAGCAUUAAACAUAUUAAUGAAAUGAGUAACUGUCAAUAAAUGUGAGCCCCAUCUAGUAUCACCUGGGCGUGCCAAACUCAUUUCUUGAAAUUGACCACUUCCACCAGUAAGUUCCCCAGUAUUAAGUUUCUCCACAAUAUUAGCUUAUUAACUUGUUUGAAGAGCAUCUACACGCUUACAUGAUGCACUAACCAAAUUCACAAUAAUAGCAAGUACGUCCAAAAAAUCACCAACCAUACAAUUCCUACGUGCCACAUAUACAAUUGCCAACUGAAGCUGGUGAGCGAAGCAAUGAACAUACAUAGCAUGUAGGUUCUCUCUAAGAAUUAAAGCUUUCAACCCAUUGAACUCACUUGACAUAUUACUUGCUCCAUCGUAGCCUUGACCUCUUAGACUAGAUAUACUCAUCCCAUGUGUAGAAAAUAUUACAUCAAUGGCAUCCUUCAGUGAUUGGGCACAAGUAUCAGUGACAUGGGAUAUACCCAAAAAAUGCUCCUUCACUCGCCCACUUUUAUCAACAAACCUUAAAACAACUGCCAUAUGUUCUUUCAUAGAUUUAUCACGAGCCUCAUCAACUAAAAUUGAACACAAAGAAUCACCAAUCUCAUUGAUAAUAGCCCUUGUCGUCUCUACAGCACAACAAUUAAUCAAAUCCUUUUGGAUGGUUGGUGAAGUCAUUUGGUAAUUUUCAUGAGCAUUACUAAAUAAUAGUUCUUUAAUUUCUCACAACGAGCUGCAUACCAGUUCAAUACCUCAAUUAGAUUUCCUCUAUUAAGAGACUCUUUCGAUUCAUCAUGACCACGAAAUGACAAUCCUUGCAUCAAGAGGAGUCUAGUACAAUCUAGCACCGCAGUCAACCUGGUCCUAUAACUUUGUUGUUGACUACUACUUUAGCUAGAAAUAACGUAAGAAAUACUUUGCUUUUGAUUCAUCAAGUUGGUACACUUUUCAAAAGCUUGAUUAUGAGAGCUAUCAAAGAGACCGACAUGAUCUUUCAAUGUCUCUUUGUGCUUUCAAUCCCUAAAGCCGGUCUUAGUAAAUAUAUGUCCAUCCCCUUGACCCCCUUUAUCAGGUUUGAACAGGUAGCAAUGCAAACAAUACGCCGCAUCCUUUUCUAUAUUGUAUUCCAACUAAUGAAAUUCGGAAAAUCAUUCUUUCCGAAAACAUCUACUAUCAUUCCCCAUCGGUCUUCUUGGAAAAUUAUGUUCAUAUGGUAGACAAGGACCCUUCUCCAAGUAUGCCAUCCUAACAAUAUCUCUAAUAUUAGGAUCAUAUGAUUCGAUAGGGGGGCGUAUCCCUGGAUCAGAUACAAGACCAUCCACAUUAAAUUGAGUCCGAGACUUCUUUGUGUUAUUCAAUAAUUCUUAUGCUCAACUAGAAUCAGUUUCGGGACUAGACCCACAACUAGAAGUAGAAGAAUUGGGUAUGGACUUUCAUUUUGGUUGAAAAAAUCGUUCCAUAAUCUGCAAAAUGUCAUCCUAAAUGUAAAUUCCCAAAUCAAUAAUCAUUCCUAAUAUCAUAUUCCCUCAUCAAAUCAUAAAUUACUCAUCAUAAAUCACAAUUCGCAAAUACAAUUUCGUAAACAUAAAUUCACAUAAAUUACUCAUCAUCAAACACGGGGAUUGAAACCUAAUGUCAACAAGUUUCUUACUGGAACCAGACUGUACAUUUAAUUUCAUGUUUUUUGUUCCAUUUAUAGCAUUCUGGAGAUAUUCUUUAUGUUUCACUAAUACAUUAUCGCAAAGAUCCAAUUCCAUUAAAUUGAUGUCAAAUUCUUUAUGAGAAGGUAAUUCUAAUUCUGAGUGUCAUUUUUGUUUUCAACUUUUGUCCCCUUCAUUUUUGCUUAGUUCAGUGCUCAAUAGUCAAUACUAGACAGUGAACAUACAACUUAAACAGGAAGUUCAUGUCUCAAUUUCUAAAUCUAAAUAAUCAAAGUGAGCACCACUUCUGGUGUUUGUUCAGCAACUACCAUGAAAGCUAAGCCCAGAACUUUAGAUUGUGAGAAUUCUAGUGAUUUAUCUUAACGCAAUUCUAGUGAUUUAUCUUAACGCAAGAGUUCUAUCUAUUAGUCUUUGCUUGUAUUAAUUAUAAAAAUGAGAAGAUUUAUGUGAUGACAUGCUUCUUGAUCAUACUCUUCAUUUAUAAGAUCUUCUACUUCGCCUCUUGCUGCUUGUUUAUUUAACAAAUUGAAAUCCCUAGUAAAAUAAUUUAACAUUUUUCGACAACAUAUUUUUCUAUGUACUUAUUGCGUAUUGUGUUUGUUUACUAACUUAUAGUGACAUGACUUCAGUCUUCACGUAUACGACUAUCGAAUUUUUUUUUUAACAUAUUCAAAAAUUACUAAAACGAUUUAUUAACCUCAAUAUAUUGUAUAAUUAAUUCUACAAUGUAUGUACCCAAAAAAAAAAAAGAAUAAUAAUAAAAUUCUUUAUUCCCGUCUUCAAAUUCUCACUUUUCCAUUUAUCACUUCAUUGCUUCACAAAUCACAGAUUCACAAGUCAAGAACAUAAAAUUCCAACCCCAUCGCCAUUUGCCUCUCACUGUCUCGCAAACUCAGGAAAUUGGUUCACAGGAGCAUUACACUUCAAAUUCCUAUUCUUGAAAUUUGUUAGCAUUUUUAUGCACAUCAACACCAAACCCAAAAAAAUAAUAAUAAUAAUAAUAACAAAGAGUGAAAGAAGGAGUCACCACUCACCAGUCCGAAAUUCUAAUGCCUGAAGUCUGUGGUGUGAAUUUGGAGCAAGAAGAAGUGAGAUUGAGGAAAAAUGUUUGGUAAUUUGGGGAAAAUUCACAAUUCUUGGCGCUGAUGCCUGUUGCCUUUCGUCUUUUGCUGGCCUGAGGCUGGGAUUGAAAAAUGAAAAUGUCAAGGGCAAAUAAAAUGGGUUAUGGGUAACACUAACGGGUUGGUUAAAUUCAUUUGGGUUGGGCUAAAUAAAUUAAAUAACAAUAGCCCAAAAUUUAAUAUACUUAAGCCCAAACCCAACCAAAAAAAUAAAAACCCGACUGUGCCUUCAGUCUUCGUCUUCCUUCUUCAGUUCUUCUCCAAUGGCACAACUGCAGUUUGCAACUCCUUAGUCCUUACUUACUCGGCGACUUUGUAGAUUUCGACGGAGCCAGCACGCGCGGCCGCGCCCCUCGUCGAGCGCUGGCUCCACGCCUGAGUGGGACAAUAUAUUAGACUAGAGCUAAUGCCUAAGAAUUAACCUAUUUGGACAGGGUGAAUUCUAGGGCCUGGUGCCCCUAUUUUUGGCCUUAGAAUUCAUCCUGGCUGUCCAGAGGAUUGAAUGCGUAAUCGGUAUAAACAUUCAAAUAUAUAUAAUUAUGAAAACUUAGGACAAAUACAAUUCUUUUUACCGUACCGUCGAUCAGAUAGAAGGAAGAAAAGAUGGAGUACAAAAAUGAAAAUUAAAAAUUAAAAAAUUCCUUGACUUUGUCUUAGUUCUAUGUUUUUUCUCUAUCAUUCUUUUCCAGACCAGCCAUACAUGUUAUAGAGAGAUAUUCGGGUAGAACGGUCGUAUAGUCUAUGUGCAACCGUCCAAUCCAGGUAUUUCUCUCAAUAUAUUGGAAAAGCUUAGCGUCCAAUCCGGGUAUUUCUCUCAAUAUAUUGGAAAAGCUUAGAAACUUUACUUAUUAAUUUUCAUUUAUUAAUUUGUGCGUUUUCACUUAUAAGUAAAAUGAAAAAUUCUGUUUUCAUGCUUAUCCAAACUUGUUUGGAAUGAUGAAACUCCAAUAAUGUAAUUGUAACUUUUUAGAAACUCUUAUUUCCAAUCAUAGAUAUGCCCAACUUGUUUUUGGCAGUACUAAAAUAAAAUGUUACUUAUUUCAAUUUGUAACUUGUUUAACCAAUAACACAUUAUUUUGACACUGUUUAGAUUAAACAUACUUAUUCACUUAUAUUAAACUUUUUAAGCUUGGCCCAAACAUGGCGUACCUCAUUUGGGUACCAAGGAAAUGUGUUGCAAAAUUCUGCAACCCACAGUGUUUUCAUGGCAUUUGGCUCUGCCUAUGCUCGCCUUCUCUUUGCCGAAUAUUACUCACUUCUCACUUUAUUUAAGCCUUGACAGCCCAACAACAGCUACCACCUGAUAUCCUACUCAGGCUUGAGUCCGUGUCUUUCUCGGGACAUAACUGAACCCGCGCCCUGGUUCUCUGUUUUUCUCAGGUCAAGUUCUAACACUUGUCUAUAUGUUUAGUUGCCAUCUGUCUUUAGGGCUUGUUUCGUUUGUGGUGUCAAUACAGCAUAAGUUGAGGUUCGUGAGAAGUUUUUCUUUGUGUGAUCAUUGUUCUUUUCGGGUUGUGAAUGCUUGUUGAGCCAUUGAAUGUGGAUGGCUUUCAACUUAGUUAAAGCUUUUUAUGUGGGAUUCAUUUUAGGCUUUGAGUGCCUCGUGUUUCUUGUUUUUCGAAUUUGCCUCGUGUUUCUUGGCUUUUUGAAUUUUUGGAACGUUCUUUAUCUGCGCCGUUGGGUAAAAAACCCCUUUUAUGUUUUCUGUUUUUUUUCGUAAAUUUAGUUCAGAAAUCAAUUUUGUUGUUGUCUUUUCUAUUUUUAAUCUUUUGUUUAGCCUGUCAUUGUUCCUUUAUUAAUUUUUUGUCGAUUUUUCCUGAAGCUAGAAUCAUAUCAGAGUGCUGUAGAAUUUUGGGGUUCUCCAAAUUGGUGUACAAGUUAUUUGUAUUUGGGGAUGAUGACAUUCAUUAAGCAAUUUCAUGAAGGGGUCAUUGUAACAUUGCACUUUUGGUUUAUGACAUAUGAUCUUUUAUUUUUCAGUUUCAUCAGGAUGUCUGCAAAUUAUCAUGUGUUCGUGGAAUGGGAAGAGCGUAUUAUUUCUAAAGAAAGGGGCAACCGAGUUGUUCAUUACUAUUUGAAUGAGUCCAAUGGGAAUUCAGUCCUUGCCAUUGUGGGGACCGAAAAGAGUUUAAGGCACAUGAUCUAUGUUCUUUCGGAGGACUUUGUAAUCAAUUAUGGGUGUACGACAACAGUCCGUGCUGGCACAAAAUGGCGAGCAAGACGAGAUGUUGUGGAAUGGCUCAUGUCAAUAGUCUCAAGAGGCCAACCAAUCUCGACUACUCCAGGUAUGUAGGGUUUUAUUCCACAGACUUAUUAAUCUUUAAUGACAUAUGCAUAUUGAAUUUAAAUUCUUUUAGUAAAUUCUACUCUCCUUUUUAAGCUCUUGAUAAGGAGUUGGUGACAUUUUCCGAACCACAAUCAGGUACGGGCACUUUGUUACCUUCGGUGAUAAAGCUGAUUGCAUACGAGAAAUCUGUUUUUGUUCCGAUUAAGCUUAUUGCACUUGUUCUACUAUUUACAUUCUUUGAACAGCUCACGCUCGGCAUUUGUUAUAAGCCAUUAGCUUAUAGCAGCCUUUUAAACUAGUGUGAUAAAUUGAUGUCUUUCAAGUAAAUGGUGAAGGUCUAUCAAUCCCUUCCUCUCGAAGUUUCGAAGUGAAGGUUGAUUUGUAAUUAUUGAUCUUAAAUGAAUUUGAGAAUAAGAAAAGAAAAGAAAAUGGAGCUUUCAUUAGAAUUACAGUAAUGGUUUUAUUUUUUAUUUUCCAUUUGUGUUAGAGUCAUAAUGUGGUUGUUUGGAAAAUUGAUAGAUGUUAUUUUUUAACUCAUUUGGUCAGAAAGUAAAGAAAAGAUAUUUCCACUAGAUAUAAGUUCUAUUUAAGAGCCAACCCUUAAGUUCUUAUUUUGACACUUCGCAUGUUUAUACCAACCGAUAGUUCGCGACGAACUAAUGGUUUUCAAUACGAGCCUUCUUGACGUAGUUCAGCUACUCCUUGCCAAUUUCUUCAAGUUGAUUAUGUGAGUUAUAUUGUACCAUUCCAUGCUACUCUCUCGUGCUAAGGUCAUAAAUUAGUUUCACCAUUUUAAUGUCUCAGUUCAGGUUGAUGCUUGUCACCCUAUUUCCAGUGACCUCACUACUGAUUGCCAUCACGAUCAUGGAACUCUUCUUUUCUAGAUCAUUUAUUUAGUUAUUCUCUUACUUAAAAGGAAGUGCAUUAUAAUUUAUGAUAGCCCUUACGAUGCUUACCGACAUCACUUAUUUGUUAGGAGGGCUAGUUUGCCAGGCUUUCUUGUGGACCUCAAUAAGUUUAACACGCAGGCUUACACACGCACACACAAUCUCUCCGUGUGUGUCAAAAUUGAGGAUGUUAUGAGAACUUGAAAAUUGAGAAGAUUUUCUUUAUUGCAUAUCUGCUUAGAACUUAUUAGUUCUCAGCACCUUGAAAUAAUGUAAUUUUAUGGGGGGAAAAUUAUAACCUAACCUGAAUCCAAGAUUUUCUUUACAAGUUAAAUUUUAUCUUUCUAUUCCUAAUCAAGCUUUGCUGAAUAAAUGUGUUCAAAAUUAGUAAGUCAUCAAGCCUAUAAUCCAAGUGCCAAUUUCAUACUCAAAAUACCUUGGCAAAGUGUAACUUCCAUAGAGUCUCGGUCAAAAAUAUUGUCCCCUUUUUAUUCAAUUGACACGGAGUGACAGGCUGCAGAUACCUUUAUCAAAAUCAGUGGGCCCCAGAUUUGAGCGUUAUAACUUGGAGCCACCACAAUCAUCUUUAGAGCCAGAAGUAAUCUCAUCUGUGGGUGUACUCUCUACCCGAUUUCGACCAGUUCUUGAAGUGCAUUCUGUAAUUUUAUUGAACUUUUUAUGCAAAAUCACAAAAGCCACUGAUUAGUGAAAGAAAGCUAUAGUGAUUGAAUUACAUAGGUUUUGUAUUUUCCUUGCAACAGAUACCGUAAAUUUGCUUUAGAGAAAUUUUUGCAAACAGUUUUAAGCCAUUUUUCCCUUCCGUUCCCUGGCAGAUCCAAAAAUACUUCGCUCAAAACAAUCUCUGGAAUCCAGUGGAAUCGGGAUGUCUAGUUUCUUUAAUUGUUUGAGCCGCCAGGGGGAUGAAGUGGUGACUAGAUAUUUAAUUCUUGGUUCAUUUUUUAUGAUAUUUUUGUGCUUAACUGUGUACUAACUUCAGAUUACUAAUAAAGGACCUUCAUUUCAGAUCCAAGUCUCAAGAAAAUUGAAUGUCAGAAAUCCAAAUAUCGAGUGGAAAGGUGAUGCUUGGAUCUGCAGUAAACAGCUUAAGCAUUAUCCAGGUUUUUGCAGAAAUGGAACUGAGAUAGCUGUAAGCCUCAAAAUGCUUUUUGUAUUUGCGGCAUGUUUGGUUAAGCUUAUAUAGUUUAUUUAUUAGUAAACAAGUUAGUUUGGAAAAUGAUCAUUUUUUAGUGAUCAAAAUUGAAAACGAAUAAUUAUCUAUUUGAAGGUAAGGGUUAUUUUCAGUUUUUCACAAAUUAAUCAUUUUCUUUUCACUCGUUACGAAAAAACAAUAAGCCCCCAUUUGUUUCCCAUUCUUUUUUCAUUAAAAUGAAAAAUAUAAUCGUUAUCCAUCACAUCAAGCCAUCAAAUUUGAAUUUCUAUCUCUUGUGUAGGACCCAUAACAACUAUAUUUUUCAUUCUUAUUUUUACAAAAAUGAGAAAGAAAUGCCCCCUAAGUUGCAUAUACAUGUUUGAGACAAAAAUUGGCUCUAGAGUAACUCUACUAGUUUGUAAGCCUAACCAAACGAGUUCUUCAUAUACUUUGUAACAGCUUUCAAAACCCUCAUCUUGAUCUUCAGGUUUUAUCCUUUGUACUGAUAAUGGGUGAAGAAAGAAGUCACUAUCUUGGUUAUCUGGAAGACUUAUAUGAGGAUAAGAAUGGCGAGAAAAUGGUUAAUGUGCAAUGUUUUCAAUUUAGGGAGGAAGUCAUCAGUAUGAUUCCUCAUGUAAAUGCACAUAAAAGAGAAGUUUUCAUCACACCGCAUAAGCAAGAGAUCAGUGUAGAUCGUGUUGACACUCUAGCUGCAGUUUUGACUCCAAAUCAUUUCCAAAAAUGUUGGGCUAAUUUUGUGCAAGGCUUGCCGUUGGGAAUUUUUAUGUGCCAUAAAGAAUUCAAAAACGACAAGGUCAAGUCCUUCUCUGUAAGUAAAUUACAUGGUUACUACAAUCAACCAAUCCUAUCUCAUCUGGAUUCCAGUUUCUCCCGGACAAGAAAUGAGGGACAUAAACUAAGUGAAGAGGCAGCAAAAUGUGGGCCACCUAUCUUGAGAUUGAAAAUCAAAAUGUCGAGUAAGGAACCUAUUGGUAUUGAUCAUGUUGGGCCUGAAGCCCAACUUCAAGUGCCGUCUAAGGUGAAUGCAAAUAUAGAGCUUCUUUGUGAGGAUAGCGGCAUGUGAGGCUGCUGGUUUAGGUGUACGAUCUUGCAAUCACUAGAAAAGCGUAUGAGGGUUCAAUACUAUGACGUCCUUGAUGUUGAUGGACCUGCAAAACUGGAAGUAUAUGAAUCCUUCAUGUUAUUGCUUUUGUUUUGUGUACUUGGAGGAUGAAAAUUAUCCUUCAUUAUUAUUUAGGAUGAAAAUUAUCCUUCAUUAUUAUUUUUAUAUCUCUCAUACAACUUAAGAAUCAAGACAUGGUUUGUAAACAGUGAUUACUACAUGAUAAAAUAAGUUCAUUGCAGGGAAACCAUCAGGCUGACUUUUGUCGGGAAGACACAUUUAUUGACCUAUUUACAAAAUUAUUUGUUUAUCCAUUUGCACUUUGUAUACAGGAAUGGUAUCCGGCAUCUAGAGUUGCAGCUCCUGAUAGAUUGGGCAUGAGAUGUGAAGGCCGCCUUACUGUCCGUCCUUGGCCUUCUGAGGAGGAUUCUUCAGGCAGUCCUUUUGUGGUUGGAGCAGCUGUCGAUGCAUGGUGGAGUGAUGGUUGGUGGGAAGGUGUUGUGAUUGGAUGCGACACCAUUCAACUAGAUAACAUUCAAGUUUACUUCCCUGUUAAGUAUCAUAGUUGGCAAAAUAUGGUUUUUCCUAUCAUCCUUGUUACUCUUAUAGGCUUGAUUUUAUAACAACCAGUAACUUUAUCUCCAACUGUGGUAAUAAUCAUAAUCCCAAACUUGCCAUUCUAUAAGCUUUAUACCGCCAUUUGAACCACAUAAUGCCCCUGUUUGAUCCCCAUUAAAUUACAUUCUAUUUUUCUCUCUCCUAUUUUCAAUCACACAAUCUUUCAUAAAAUAAUGUUACACGUAAAUCGAAAAUUUUUCCUUCUUUUUCAACCACUCAUUUUUUCAACAAAACACUAUUCCCCCCAUUUUCAGUACCAAAAAUGAGGGCCAAACAGGGGCAAUAAUAGCUACUUGAUAAAUUGAAGGAUGGGAACAUUCUUCCUACGAAGUUUAUCUUUCCACUGCACUCGUUUUGAGUGCUGAACAUAAUAGUUAAAUGAAUAAAUUUGUCCUUUUUCUAAAAGCUUGAGCUUUUAGAUGAUGUGGAGCAACAUGGUAUACAAAAGAAUCUAAGUCUCUUUGCCACCAUUUUUGAACAAUUGUGCAUGUGUCUGGCCAUUGAUGAGAAAAUGGAACCAACCUGCACAUGAAGGGGCGAUUUGAAGACAACAUACAAAUAUUUGUCCUCUCUUAUUUAUAGCUGAAACUUUUACAAGAGGUAGUUCAACGUUGGGUUAUUCAUGCCUCGGCCUUAGAGGUUCUGAUUUAGCUUCUACUUUCUUGUAGGUGAGAACAAGUUUAUGACUAUCCCAAGGAAAAAGACAAGGACUUCAAGAGAUUGGGUUGAUAACAUAUGGGUGGAUAUAAAGCCAAAGCCUGAUAUAAUUUCUUUCUUAUCUCCAACUGUCAUCCUGGUUGUGAAUCUUCGAUCUUUCCCAACUUCGACUGGCCCAUCUAAACCUAAUUACAAAGCUCUCACUUCUUCAAAAUGUGAAGGCUCCGAAGAUGAUAAGUUGCAGUUACCAGAUCCAAUCACAUCUAUAGGUGCUGAGAGGCUUAACAUGUGGAACCGAGUUGUUAUCAAAGACGACGAGGACAGGGUUCAUACUCUUGCUCAUGCUGCAGUCAAGGGGAAAGCUGUGAAGAAAUAGUGAUGUUACUUGAAUACAAAUAAGAAACUGCUAUGGAGUAAUUUUGAAUCUGUAACCUACUCCUGAAGUUGGCAAAGCUAUUUAGUGUUUUGUUGUUACUAGUUGCUGGUAACUAGGAUGUAUAUUAGAUGUUCUGUUUUAAAUUUAGAAUAGACAGCAUUUGGUGCAAUCAUGUCAACUAGUUUUGAGUUCCGCUUUUAAUAUAAUAUGAAGUAGUUAUUUCUGUUGUUGUUGUUAUUAUUAUAAUUAUUAAUAUUAUUAUUGUGAAAGCGAUUAUUUUAAAAGUAAUUUUUAUUUUUAUUCUUAUUUUUUGGGGUUAAAAGUAGGAAAGAGAUGGGUAAAUGUGAAAAAUGACUUUAUUUUAAUUUUUUAAGUGUAAUUUGAGCGUGGAUUAGAAGUGAUUUUCAGAGAAUCAAAAUAAAACAAGGGCUAAGUUUGCACACUUCGAAUAAAUUAUGGGCUUGUUCGGUAGUGAUUUUUAGAAUUGAUUUUUUGACCCUUGAAAAGAAAAGUGGGUCUAUCUGUGAAAGAAGAAGUAAAUUAUGAUGGCUUUAACAGUGAAAUAAUGGUCAAAAAAUUGAUUUUUUGAAGUGAAAAAUCAGUAUCAAAUAUGUUGUAUAUGUAUCUUGAUGCUGUCCCCAAUGCAUUUUGGUACCAACGAAAAAGUAGAACCAAAAUUAAAUUAAAUUUAAUAGUAUCAUUCAUGUAUCUUUUAUAAUAGAGACCCUAGAAUACAAUGAAGAAGAGAAUUUGAUUUCACAAAAUAUGUGGAUAAUAAAUAUGUAGUAAUUUGUCCAUAAAUUAUGAGGAUAUUAUUAUGAAACUAAAACGAGCAUUAAAUGCUAGUUUGGAUUAGCCUAAUGAGUGUGGGUACUAUCGCCUUAAAAGUAUGUUUGACCAAUUUAUUUAUAAAUAAAGAUGUAUCAUGAUUAGGUGGCAAUGACUCACUUGCUCAUUGUUCAAUGAAUUAAAGUGUAACACGACUUCAUUGUGCAAUAAAUAUGAAACUCGUUGCACCUAAUCAGUGAUGCAUACUAAUGAAUGAUGAUUUAUAACAUUAUUCUAAAUUGUCAUUUGACUUUGCCAAGAAUGUUGUGAUUCUAUAUUAAUUGUCCAAGAUUUAAUUGGUAACUAGUCUCUAAUAGAAUAUCGAAUAAAUGUGACACAUUCUCGCAGUCAGAACAAAAAAAAAAAAAAAGUGGUUGACACUUUUCAAUCUUUCAAUUAUCACACAUUGAAGCACUGUUACUCAAAAUAUAUGACAAAUAAGAGUUUGGCUAUGUAAGCUUUCAACUAGUGCACUUUCAGGUAACCUUUAAAAGUGAGAUUAUAGACAUAUUCAAAUCUGUAAAUUUAAAUCUUUACAUGACAAAUUUUCUAAUAUGAAUUGUAAUUGAAUUUCACAUGACUAAAAAUUAGAGGGAAAAAUUCUCAAACCAUUUAAUUACGUGCAAAUAUUCAUAUUAACAUUCCAAAUUCAUAUACAUUUAUGAGCAGUACUACACUACCAAAAGAAUUUCUAUAGAAACUCUACAAGCUACUCACAGUAUGGUGAGUUAGCUUUUUUUUUUUUUGCAAUAUUUUAUUACAUGGGGUCCCAUGUCGGACUCACAUCCCAUGUGAGUAUCUGUACACACCUUGUGAGAAAGUCCCCCCGUACGUGCAGACUAAUUGUAUACUUAUAUAUGUUGAGGACUUAAAAUCUUAUAUUUAAAUAUUAGGGAAAUCAAACCACACUCCCUCAAAGGUCAGGGAGUCCACCCUGAAAUAUUUGAAUUCAGAGAGCGGUAAGUCAAUAAUGAGAGUACAAUAUUAUCAUUUAAAAAAAAAAAAAAAAAAAAGAAGAAAAAAAAGGCAAAUUCUCCCGCUAUCCUAAAAUUGCAAGUCAUUUGAAUCACUCCAAAAGAUUAACAUAAAAGGGGGAGUAAAUUCCUUCCUCUUCACAUUCCCAAAGAAGAACAAUGGCUUCAAUCAAACCCUCAACUCGCUAUGCUAACAGCCUUAACAGCUCCACAAAAUCUGACCCUUCUUCAUCCACCGAGUUCCCAACAUCACGCACCACCUCGCGCGCCGUCACGAAAGCUACCUCCAAUAAAAACGUCACUGCCACCGACAACAUUAAUCUGAGCUUCAUGGUCAAGAAAUUUAUGGAAAACAAGAAGGCAAAGAAUUCAAGUAAAGACCCAAAAUUCAUUGUGGCAGCUGAUUUUUUAGCCGAGGAUUUGAAAAAGAAUAGUGCCAAGAAGGCUACCGCCUACCGGAUUAAGUGGGCUGCACAAGAAGUUAUUCAAGGGUUCAUCAGGGGCAAAAAAGGGAGAUGAAAGCUCGAAGAAGGCGUUGACUGAGGUCAAAGGAAAUACAAGGACUUUGGCUAUGGUGUUGAGGAGUGAGAGGGAGCUGUUGAGUGCAAAUAAGGAGCAGGAGCAGCAGAUAGCUGAGCUCAAGUUGCUACUUGAAGAGAAAAAUGGAGAGGUAAUAUGUGUGUUUCUAUGUGGUUCUGUACAGAAGAAUUUAUGGUUUUAUAGUUGAACUUUGAUGUGUGUUUCUUAAUUAUCUAAGAUGACAUAGAAUCAAGAUUCUUGUGGUAAAAUGUGUGAAAUUUACUGAAAUUUGAAGAUUUCAGAUGAUAGGAGUAAAGUGUACGAAAAAAUGGAAGCUUUGGAACAAAUGGGGAGUCAAUAGCAUGAUAGUUAAAAUAAAAAUCUUUUAGGAUCACUGUAAUUCGGGAUGUAUUGAUAAAUAUGAGUAAAUUAACUGAAAUUUGGGACUUCUUAUGUGUGAGAUUGACUGAUAAUUGAAAUCCCGGUUUUUUCAGUUUAAUCUUCUCUUUCUAGGGGAUCCCUCCGAGGUCAUGAGAUUUGGUUGAGGCAGGUUUUUCUGAAUAUCCCAUGUUUAGAUUUCAUUUAAUGAUUAAAGAAUUUGUAGGUCGAGAAGCUGAAAGAUUUGUGCUUGAAGCAAAGGGAAGAAAUAAAGUCUCUUAAAAGUGCCAUACUUUUCCCAGAUGUGAUGAAUUCACAACUUCAGGAGCUUUUGGAGAAGCAGGGUUCGGAACUUCAGCAGGCAAAACAACUUAUCCCGAGCCUUCAGAGACAAGUCACUUCUCUUACCGGCCAACUUCAAUAUCUUGCCGAGGAUCUAGCUGAGGUAAGCAUUCAUAUUUUGUACAUAUAUCAGAGUAAAAUGUAAGAUUAGCACUUCUUCAAAAUUGAUAAGGAAGUAAUUACAUUGAACUAUUGUCUUCUCUUCUUCAUAAUUUAUAGCUAGGGUUGGACAAUUCUUGAAUGGGACCCUAAGUGAACCGAAAUGAACCAAUCAAGUUGUUCUUCUUAAGUUAAAUACCUGAACGGGUAUUUGAAUAGAAAACUGUGGGGUUCGGUUAUGUUCUGGACGAAGAACUGAAGAACUGAAUUUCCCUAUUUUUUUAAUCUUAAAUUAGCCAAAUUAUUUUAUUUUCUUUAAAUAAAUUUGCUAACUAUUUAAUUUAGCCCAAACCAAAAAUAUAAUUUUCCUAUUUUUAAUUUUCAGCUCAAAUCUAACUUAAUCAAAUUGACUUAUUUUUUUAUCCAAAUCUCUUAUUUUACUGUAAUCUGUUUUUGCCAUUACGAAGAAAUCGAAUUGGAAGCUCAGUUGGGUCUCUCUUUAUUAUUUUGAGCUCGUUAUCUGCCCUUCUCGUAAUUUUAACAGUUAAAUCUAUGAAAAACUCAACAAAGAGAGGUGCAAAAUAUAUCAUGUGAUUAGACUACAUUUUUUUAUAAAAGUUAAAAUUGAACAUGUCAUUUGUUAAAUUAAUGUAGUGUUGUUGUAAAUAUUAAAAAAUUAAUUAUUUUACGGAACCUAGAAAUCGAACUGAACUGAACUGAACCAAACCCGAAUAAUUCAAUAGUUAAAUUUGGACCCGACAGUUCCAUUUACUGAAUACUCAAAAAUUCUAGUUCGAUUCGGUUUCUUUAGAACCUAAUGAAGCCAAACCAUGUCCAACCUUACUUGUAGCUAACUGCUUUCUGUAUAUAAAGCUCUAGGGAUUCUGCAUGUUUGGUGCUAAACCAUUGUUUGGUUCCGAAGUACAUUUACAUGAUAAAAACUAAGACUUAUUUCCAAUAAGAAAUUGGGAUAUUUUAUAAGGAUUCAAGACAAACUAGUUCGCUCAUUAUCCCAUGUCCUUGCUGUUUUCUCUAAGGAAGCAGAAAGAAACAAAAAAACUUUUUACUUCUGUUCUUAAUUGUCAAGAUAUUUACUUUCUUGCCAGUAGCUGCUUGUUGGAGUUUACACACAGAGCAAGAAAGAAAAUGAGAAACUGUAUAUUAUAAUCUUGUUAACUUGAACCAAUAGUAGCUAUUGAAGCUAUUUUGAGUUUGGUCUUCAAUUUUUUCAAGGAAAUUUGCUGGUAAGCCCUGUUGUCAAGAUGUCAGCAGUCUGUUCUGAGGACGUAAUAUGUUGAACAUCAUGUUGCUUAGCUUCCACUUUUUCUCUUACAAAAUAAAGAUCAAGUUUUAUGUACUUUGCCUUUGAAUGCAAUACUAGAUUAGCUGAAAGGUAAGCUGUGCUAAAGUUAUCACACCAUACAGUAGGUACUUUAGAUAUUUGAAUAUGUAACUCUAUCAACACGACAACAUAUCAGCAGUAGCAUUAACCAAGCUUUCGAAUUAGACUUUGAAAUGGCCUGUUGUUUCUUUGAACUCCAGAUAAUGUCAUUGCCACCAAAAUAAAUGAAAAAGGUUGAAAUAGAUUUCCUAUAACCCCCAAUCUGCAGCUAAAAAAUCAUGAAGUUGAAUAGUAGAAGCUAUGUCUAGAAUAACCUGUGAUCGAAAGUUCCUAUCAAAUACCGUAGAAUUCUUUUGACUGCUUUCAAAUAUGUAACAGGUGAAUUUUGCAUGUUUAUCUGUCUUUUGAGUGUGGCAUAGUGAAGUGCAUUAUGAUUCUAUAUAAUAUGGGAUUGGGUAAAGGAUCUCCUAUCCUUCUGAACAAUUAAGUGCUGCUAUUGGUGGAGGAAAUGCCCUAAGCGUCAGCCAUCUUUGUUUUCCUUAAAAGAUGUUGAAUAUAUUGAGUUCGAAAAAGAUGCAAUCCCCCAUUUGUAGCCUUUUAACUUUUAUUCCAAAAGAUAGCUAAGAUCCCGAAGAUCGUUCAAUGCGAAUGGGUUGUUUAACAACGACAGCAACUCUGGUACUUCUGAGCUAUCACUGCCUUUGAUGACUAUGUCAUCAUCAUAAACUAAAAUUUUUUGUAUAUCUCACAAAAAAUGAUGGAUCAGCUUUGGAGUUGGUGAAAUGCAGCUGCAGCAGAUAUGUUUUAAGCCUCUCAAACCGGGUCCUUGGAGCCUGUUUCAAUCAUAGAUAGUUACUGCAGUAUAUUUUUGUUAACUAAUUUUGAGAAGUUGUUGCCUGGUAUCAACUAAUCCUAAUUUCAUUCUGCUCCAUAAUGUUUUGAAUUCAUACAUAACCUUGUCAGAUUUAGGAUCACUUUUGCUUGUGAACUUGAUAAUACAUAUUUGUUGCUGUAGGUGAAGGCUGAGAAAUAUUCAUCGGGAGGAUAUUGUGACGAUCAUGUUAACUCUCCAAGGACACCGUCAUACGAUCAAGAUGAAGCAGCAAAUUCUCUGGUAAACACAUUCUAUCCAAGUGGUGAUCUUAUUUUGGAAAGGUUGAUCUUGUAAUUUCCUAUUAAGAUCAUAGACUCAUAGAUGGAGAGCACAAUCGAGUUCAUAUUUGUUUCAAGAAUUAUUAACCGAAAUGGACAUGGGAACUUUGCAAGUCAUAUUUACUAUUCUCUCAAGCAUAAAACAAUAACAUCGUACUUAAAUAUCAGAAAAUCAUGUCGUAGAAAUGUUUGAAAGACACUCUUGGCACGUUUUCUCUGCUAAUAUUUAUAUGAUUUGUUCUUUUACCACCAACAGAACUCUCAGGGCUAAAGCAUUAACUGUCUCAUAUUUAUCAUGCACAUGUUCUUUUCUUAAUAUAAAUACAAAUUCAACCAAUUUUACUUCAACAUAUAUUAGCAAGGAUAUCUUAGUUUUGUAUAUUGAGCAGUUUGGUAACGAGUUUCAGCUCAUGAGAUUACACAACUCCAGGCAGUCCAGAUGACAUGUUUCUCAAAGAUUUAAAUCCCUGCCUAACGCCUAAUUAUGCCAAGACAAAGUCUAAGGUACCUAUAUUCAAACUUAAACCAAAUCUCUUUGCAUUUCCUUCACUAUCUAAAUCUUGAUUUUGAAUUCAGAAAUCUUAUAUUAGCUUAUACGAAUGGAUAAUAUUACAAUAUCUUAUACGAGUACUCCUUGUAGGAAUUUGAUGCAUAUAAUUCCCCAGAUGAGGUGUUCAAGUCCAAUACGCAAAAUUGCAAUGGAUUUAACACAUGUACCAGGAAGCUUUCUAAAAGUUCGGACCGUAGCCAAUGCUCAAAGACAGGAAGUGGUUCCAUUCGUGUAGCUUGGAGGUCAGAUGAAAGCAAAUGCAACUACAGAAAGCCAAUGAAUAAUAAACUUAUCUAAUACUCAGGAACUUCGAAAUUUUUCUUGAGCAUUUUUACUUUGUUCCAGCAUCCUACUCUCCGUUGCAAAAAUUUGAACCUUUGUAUGGUCAGAAUAUUCAGUUUUCUUGUCUUGUGUUAGAUAUACUGGCUAAAUUGCCCAUUUAAUCAUUUUAACCCAUUUAAUGUGUUUUUUCUAAUAUUAAUAUAAUAAAAUUCAGUUUUGCUAUGUGUAAAGAAAAAGUGCCGCCAGAAUUGUUACAAAACACAUUUAGCAGUUUUUUAUUGGACAAUGACAAAAAAAAAAUAAUAAUAAUAAUAAAUAAAAAAUGAAAAACAGACCAAACAGAGAUGCUGGCAGUAAUUCCUUUGUACAAGGGGAAUUGCUGAAUAAAAUUUUAAACACAACUGGACAAUACACAAAUAAGAUUUUAACAGUUUUUUUCCCUAAACUGGAAAGAAUGAAACCUAUUGUAGAAAUGAACAGAAGGGGGAUUCAUUAGAAACGGUGCUGUUCAUAAUUCAUAAUCUGUAUAAUUGUUAAAAUCCCCAAAACAAACGAAGAAAAGUGCCAACAAGAAAUAACUUCCAAGCAUUGAAACAGAUCCAUUUUCUCAGCUCAUUCAUCCGUUAAUCGCCGUCCUGACAACCUGAUAAAUAACUGCAAAAGUAGAAAAAAUAUAACGUCUGCCGACAAUUGAAUAAUUAUAUUAUUCCCAGUUAAUAGUAUUCAAUUAAGCACAGAGAAGAAAAAAAAAAAAACCUUACAUGACAAUAGUAUCAGAACUGCAAAGAGGACAAGAACCAUGAGUACAGGUUCCCAUUCUUCUUUCUUAGAUGAUUGAGGAGCCAGUCCUCUCCUUGUGAUAUUCUUUUCAAAUUUCGCUGUUUUCUUUUCUGCCAGACUUUUCGAAGUAGUCUGCAAAUCUUUCUUAUCAUCAAGAUUUAAUGGAGUUGGAAAACAAACUUGUAUAAACUGCCCCUUGACAUGGGGACGCUAGAGAAUUUUCAUGAUUAUCCUUAAUCUCAAAUAAAGCCUAUUGGAGAUGCUCUUACUGUCUUACAUAGCAAAAUAAAUAAAUAAGGAAAAGAAAAUUCAGAAUCAGAUCCCCAGGAAACUGCUAUUAAUCUUUAUCUUUUCAUCCCAGGAAAUUCCAAUUGCGUCCAAGCUGUAUAUUUCUUGAAAUAAUAAUUUCAUAUUUAAUGCAAAAACAAGAGCAUCAACCAAAAAUGGAAUAUGUGGAAAUGUAAAAAUAAAAUUAUAUUCCUUAUUCUCUGUAUCAUAAAUUGCGGCUUAAAAGAAAGGAAGAAGAAACUGAAGGUACUCUAAAUUUCGCUUCAGAACUAUCACCGCUCAGUCAUCUAUAUUCAGACAAAUUCAUAUAUCACGUUCUAUGGAUAUGAAAGAAAUGAAGACAUCUACGGAAUCGAUUCUCGUAUAUUAGACUAUUUAGCUUAGCUGGCAAUAGCUGGCAAUUGAUUGUAGUACCGUUAGUUAGUUAGAUGAAGUUAGUUAGUUAAAGUUAGUUAGUUAACUGCAGUUUAGUGAGCUGGGAUAUUCUGUUUGAUGCUGGCAUAUUCUGUUAAUGAACCAAGCUGUAUUUAUAUCUGGAUGUACGACAUUUUUAGAUGAAUGAAUCAUUUCUUUCAUUUCAUAGCUUUCUUCUUCAAUAUGGUAUCAGAGCAUUUCCUUUUUCUCUGAGAAAUCCUAUUUGAUUUGAAGUUUCAUUCAUGGCUUUGAAUGUACCGAACUCAACAUCAAAUAAUCCUUCAUCGUCAGUCAGUAAUUUAGUUACUGAUGAUGGAACCAGCCCGUAUUUUCUACAUCAUUCGGAUAGUCCAGGUCUUGUCCUCGUUUCACAGCAGUUGGUUGGGGACAACUAUGCAUCCUGGAGCCGAUCGAUGAUGAUAGCACUCUCAGUGAAAAACAAAUUAGGAUUCAUUAAUGGAUCUAUUCCUCGGCCUGAAAAUGACCAGGAAUUACUCAAUUCAUGGAUCCGAAAUAACAACAUUGUCAUUUCCUGGAUUCUCAAUUCUGUAUCCAAGGAAAUCUCUGCAAGUGUCAUAUAUUCCGAAUCUGCAUAUGAGAUUUGGAAGGAUCUAAAGGAGCGAUUUCAACAAAAGAACGGGCCACGCAUAUUCCAGUUGAGGCGAGACCUGAUGAAUCUCACACAAGGUCAGUUAUCUGUCAGUGCAUAUUUCACAAAAUUGAAGACAAUUUGGGAGGAACUCAGCAACUACCGACCUAUGUGUUCAUGUGGAAAAUGUGACUGUGGAGGUACUAAAAGACUUGCUGAACAUUAUCACACGGAAUACGUUAUGUCCUUCUUAAUGGGGUUGCAUGAGUCCUUUGCUCAAGUUCGGGGUCAAUUACUGCUGAUGGACCCUAUUCCUCCCAUUAACAAGGUCUUUGCCCUUGUUUCUCAAGAAGAACACCAGAGGAAAGUUAAUGAAGCUAUGAAUGCAUCUGGAUCUGACUCCAUGACCUUUCAAGUUCAAAGUAAUACUAGAAAGGAUGGUGGAUAUUAUUCCAACAGAAAUCAGAAGAAAGAGAAACCUGUGUGUACCUACUGUGGAUACACAGGCCAUGCAGUUAACAAGUGCUACAAACUGCAUGGUUAUCCCCCGGGUUAUAAACCUAAGCAAAGACCUGUAAUGAACAGCCAAGCUGGAUCAAAUAAUCAUGCUGUUGCCAAUCAAGUUUCUGAACAUCAGGUCACUGAUCUUGCCGUGGAUCAAUCACAAGGAAAUGUUGAAGGAUUUGUGAAAGACUUGAUGCUGAUCAAUACCAGCACCUGAUUAAUAUACUAAAUAGUCACCUCAAGGCUGCAAAGAUAGAUACAGAGAUGAACGUUAUCUCUGGAAAUGAAUCAGGUACCUGUUUCUCGAUUUCUGUUAAUCCAUCAAUUACUUCGCCUAAGUACUGGAUAGUGGACUCGGGUGCCACAAGCCACAUUUGUUUUAACCAUUCGGCUUUUCACACUAUGAAUCACAUUGAGAAUACAUAUGUUACAUUACCAAACCACACCAAGAUCCCAGUGCAUUCAAUUGGGACUGUGCAUUUGUCACCGGAAUUGGUACUGAAUGAUGUAUUAUUUGUCCCGCGAUUCAAGUUCAAUCUGCUAUCAGUAAGCUCCUUAACCAGAAAAUCAUCAUUGUGUAUCAAAUUUCUCACUGAUUCAUGUAUCAUUCAGGAUCUGCAAACUAUGAAGAUGACUGGCAAGGGUGAGAGGAAUGCAGGCCUUUAUGUGAUGGAAGUUGAUUCUGGUUCAUUUCAUCAUCCCAAAAGUGUUAAUUCCCCUUGUUUUUCAAUAGUUAAUAAUGUGACUGAUAAGCUUUGGCACAAUAGGCUUGGUCACUUAUCAUAUCAGAAACUGAAUUUGUUGAAGGACCAAUUACGGUUUGAUUGUAAUAGACAAAAUGGUGACAUUGUAUCUCCUUGCCCCAUCUGCCCUUUAGCUAAGCAAAGGAGGUUAUCUUUUGUUUCAAAUAAUCGUUUAUCUGCUGCUGCUUUUGACUUGGUACACUGUGAUAUUUGGGGGCCAUAUCACACCCCAACACAUGGUGGUCAUAGAUAUUUUCUCACCUUGGUAGAUGAUUGCACAAGGUUUACUUGGAUAUAUCUUAUGAAACAGAAAUCUGAUGCUAAUUCUGUCAUUCCCAAAUUUUUCACUCUUAUUGAGACUCAAUUUCACAAGACAAUCCAGAAAUUCAGAUCAGAUAAUGCUCGGGAAUUAAAAUUCACAGACUAUUUUAACGCAAAGGGAGUCAUUCAUCAGUUUGCAUGUGUAGAAAGACCUGAGCAAAAUUCUGUAGUGGAAAGGAAGCACCAACAUCUCCUUAACGUGGCUCGGGCUUUAUUUUUUCAAUCACGAGUUCCCAUUCAAUUUUGGGGAGAUUGUGUGCUAACAGCUACAUUUUUAAUUAACAGAACCCCUUCCCCAAUCUUGAAAAACAACACUCCAUUUUCACUAUUAUAUGGCAAAGCAAUAGAUUACAGUUUUCUAAAGGUCUUUGGUAGUCUUUGUUUUGCCUCAACACUACCAUCCCAUAGACAUAAGUUCCAUCCCCGAGCCACAGCAUGUGUAUUCAUAGGCUAUCCUCCGGGCAUUAAAGGCUAUAAAUUGUAUGAUAUCUCAUCAAAAUCUUUUUUUGUCUCUAGAGAUGUUGUAUUUCAUGAAAACCACUUUCCUUUCCAUUCCAUACCUCACACAAAUGAUCUUAUUGAUCCAUUUCCUGAUAUUGUUUUGCCACACAUUACUUCUGACUCAAUACCCUAUCACUCAAAUCCAUCCACAACAUCCAAUCUACCCUUGGUUGAUAAUGAUAAUGGCCAAGACUCCUCUGAUGAUGAUAAUGGCCAGGACUCCUCUGACCUGCCCAUCAUUCCUUCUACAUCUUUAACCUCAAUUCCAGAUUCCAUUGAGGAACGAGUACUAGAUUCUACUCAACCUUCAUCCUCUCUCCGUAGAAGAUCAACUAGAAUCAGCAAAAUUAUAUUAUUCCCAGUUAAUAGUAUUCAAUUAAGCACAGAGAAAAAAAAAAAAAAAACCUUACAUGACAAUAGUAUCAGAACUGCAAAGAGGACAAGAACCAUGAGUGCAGGUUCCCAUUCUUCUUUCUUAGAUGAUUGAGGAGCCAGUCCUCUCCUUGUGAUAUUCUUUUCAAAUUUCGCUGUUUUCUUUUCUGCCAGACGUUUCGAAGUAGUCUGCAAAUCUUUCUUACCAUCAAGAUUUAAUGGAGUUGGAAAACAAACUUGUAUAAACUGCCCCUUGACAUGUGGACGCUAGAGAAUUUUCAUGAUUAUCCUUAAUCUCAAAUAAAGCCUAUUGGAGAUGCUCUUACUGUCUUACAUAACAAAAUAAAUAAAUAAAGAAAGAAAGAAAAAAAGGAAAAGAAAAUCAGAAUCAGAUCCCCAGGAAACUGCUAUUAAUCUUUAUCUUUUCAUCCCCAGGAAAUUCCAGUUGCGUCCAAGCUGUAUAUUUCUUGAAACAAUAAUUUUAUAUUUAAUGCAAAAACAAGAGCUGAAGAGCAUCAACCAAAAAUGGAAUAUGUGGAAAUGCAAAAAUAAAAUUAUAUUCCUUAUUCUCUGUAUCAUAAAUUGCGGCUUAAAAGAAAGGAAGAAGAAACUGAAGGUACUCUAAAUUACGCUUCAGAAAUAUCACCGCUCAGUCAUCUAUAUUCAGACAAAUUCAUAUAUCACGUUCUAUGGAUAUGAAAGAAAUGAAGACAUCUACGGAAUCGAUUCUCGUACAAAGUGAACAAGUAAAAACUAAAUUUUUGUUUUAAAAAAAAAAAAAUUCCAGAUGCAUUAGCGCAUGCAAAAGGAAAGUUAUCGGGAUAGAAAAAUCUACGGUGAAGCCCAAGUUACCAAAAGAUCAAUGGGGAGGGAGGGAGGGGGAGAGAGAGAGAGAGAGAGAGAAGCCUCUACCAUGAUCUUUCCGCUUGGAGACUGGUAAUGCUACCCGAGAGAGAAGAAGGAGAUGAGACAGAGAAUGCGAGUCUGAAAGACCUUUUGGUAACAGCACGGAAACCUAGGACUUUUGACACAACUUAUUCAGUUAUCCCAUCGUGCGAUGCUUUGUUUAUUUCAAGUGCGUAUUCAAUUGAGUGACUUUUUAGAUUUAAAAAGGUAUUCAAUAUAAAUUUUUUUAGAUUCUUUAAAAGUAUUGAUGUAUUUAAUUAAAAUUUUUAUAAAUUUUUAGUAAGUCUCUAAAAUUUACGGUAUAUUCAAUUGAGAUUUUUAUAAACUUUUAAAAAGUCUCUAAAAAUUACGGUGUAUUUAAUUAAAAUUUUAUUAAAGUCUCUAUAAAUUUUGAGUAUUCAAAUUUUAAUAAUUUCUAAAAUUUCUAGAGUACUAAAUUUUAAGCAAAAAGUACUCUAUAAGAUCUCAAAAUUUGUCAAUCAUUAAUCAAGAAAUUUUGGGAAAAUUUUACUAAAAUUUGAUUUUUUUUUUCAAUCUUUCUUUCAUUUUCCUUCUAUGAUUAAAAUUUAUUUAUUUUUAUUGAUUAUAUUUACAAUUUAUUUCUCUCUCUUAUUGUUUAUCUCUAUUUUCUAUGAAAAAAUUAAAUUGAAUUUUUGUAAUUUUUUUUCUUUUUUUUCAUUCAUUUUUUUGUGAAAAAAUAACUAUUUUUUAUUAAAUGAUUAAAUUUUAUAUGAAAAAUUUAUAAUUAGAUUUAACUAUAUUGAUUUUUAUUUAUUUUUAAAAAUAUAUUAUAUUAAUAAUAUUGAAUAUUAAAUUUAUUGUUUAUCAUAUAUAUGAAUAAUUUUGAUUAUUAUUUAUUUAUUUAAUGUCUUAAAUUUUUAUUCUUUUAUUAUUAUUUUUUUAUUUAUAUGGGAAGAAAAGGGGGCAAAAUGAGGAAUUGUGGAAACCAACACUUCGUAUGUGAGAAUUUCACACCAUUAUACUAAAUCCACUGAAUUCUAUUUCAAAUGAAAAUUUUCAAAAGUUUUUUGAAUUAUAUAAAAGUUUAUAAAUAUUUUAAAAUGAAAGUUCAUAGAAGUUUACGAAAAACUUCUACUAAUUCCAUACAAAUCUAUAUAAAAAGAAAAUCCAUUAAAGUCUUUAAAAGUCAAUCAAAGUUUUCAAAAGUUUCAAUUGAAUACACUUAAUUUUAAAAAUAAAAAUAAAAAUAAAUCGAUUCGUGGCUGGUUCGACUCAGCUCACUAAUUGAAGAAUUGAGCCGAGCUCAAAUCGUUCAUAGGGUCAGUCAAAGCUUGGACAUCUACGCUGACUUAGCUCAUUAUCACCUCCAAGUCGACAUAAUUCACCCUUUGUUUUCAUUUUGGAGAGAAUAACCAAAAUGUGCGUUGUAAACGCUUUUGAGCUCUCACAUUGGCGAGUCUAUGAUUUCCUUGGAGUUCUGUAUUGCGAAGUCAUGAGAAGGAAAAUCAUGCUGCUUGGAGAGAAUGUCUUUUGUCACAAAAAAUAUUUUGAUUAUUUUUUAAAUAUUUUUUUGAAGGAAAUAAUCGCAAGAGGUACCAAGCCUUCUCAAAGUUGUAUCAAUCAGUUAGAUACAAAAUCAUCAAUAAAUAGAUCCAAAAGUAAACAAACAAGGCAUUCGAUAAUAUAAUUGAAUCCAAUAAACUAGAGGAAAUACAAUGUUGAUUUUACUACCAUUUUGUAGUAAAUAAAUUUUUUUUUAACUUGUCACGUGAAGAAAAGCUCUUGUGUAUGUGGGAAUUGAAUACGAGAUAAUUCAUAAUUUAGUAUCUUAAAUCUUUUUUAUAACCAAGAGCGGAGCUAGGGAAAAAUGUUGGGGUGGACUGAAAAAUAAAAAUAAAAAAUCAAUGAAUUCACGCCAUGAAAGAUUCUACAUGCCCCCCAAACAUAGUUGAAAAGGCUCAACUUAUUACACUAAUGACAAAGUGAGUUAGAUACUCAAAUAAGUUUAAACAUAUCAAUCCUAAAGAUGUUUUACUAAAUCUUCAUCGCUUUUCUUGCCAAAUAAAAAAUCUUGACACCUCCCUAUAAAAUAUAAAAUGUCGAAAACAUGGUAGCCAUGAACAAAUAAUGUAUACCUAGAGGCGGAGGCCCGUAUAAUUUUUUUAAGUAAAGAUUUUAGAAUUGUAGUCCAAAUGUUUGCAUUAGCCCAGCUCUAAUUUAAAUCUUAACCAAAGUCCAAUGCUCAAUUAUUCAAAUUGUAAUAAAGACACUACAAUUAUUAAUUACUCUUUUCAAGACAUUCAUGAAAUGUGGAUAUUUUAUUGUCAAAUUAGAUAUUCUAUUUAAUGCAUGUUUGACUAAAAUUUAUUUAUAAUUAUUAAGUAAAUUUUAUUAUAGAUAAUUUGUAUUGAUUAGAUCUAAAAGUAAAUUACUUAUUCUAAUAGUUAGAGACACUAUGUAUUUUUCUAAAUUACGUACGUUUUCAUUCAUUACUAAUUCGAAUUUGUAAAAAAAAAUACUUAUUUUGACCAUAAAGUAUAUAUUAUGAUCAAAAAACAACUUACUAUAAAUUUGAUAUUGAAAAUAAAAAGAAUAUGUGUUAAACAACUUAUUUAUUUAUAUAAGUAAUCUAUAUCAACAAUGUAAAUAACUUUUUUUAAAACUUUCAGUUGUUUGGAAAGACUGGUUGUCAAAGUUAUUAGAAAAGUACUCACUAAUUUAUUUUUUUAAAUGUUCAUUGGUGAAUAUGUAUAUUUUCUUAAUUCUAUCAUGAUUCGGUUAAUUUAUAUUUCUUAAGGUAGGCAUUGAUUUUCUAUUUGGUAAAAAAAAAUACAAAAAUUUAGUGGAAUAUUUUAAUUCGAGACAUCUAAACUUUAUUAUUUUAUUAAAUGUCAUAUACUUUCUAUCAUGAAUGUCACGAAAAUAACCUCCGAAACUCAAUUUCUUGUGGCGUAAGUUCAUUUAAAAAAUUUUAAAUUUCAGCCCAUCCUAACAUCAUUUUCUAGCUCCACUCUUGUGUAUACGCACCAAAAAAAUUAAGAAAAACCUAUUUUCACUACUAUGAGACAUAGGGUCUAAAAAGAACAAGAAGUCAUCCAGUUAUUAAAGGUUUUUAGUCAAAAUACACCGUUUUGAAAAUAUUAUCUAAUAUGGACAUUAGUCUUCUAUAUAUUUUAAUUCCAAAUGAAGUGGGAAAAAUUGGCCAAGAAUAUUGAGAGUUAAAAAUUGGAUUUAUUUCACUUCAUAAUUUUAAUAAUGUUAAGUUAUAAAUAAAUAAAAUUUUAAGACAUAUUUUUCUAAUAAAAUUAAAUAUAGAGCAAGUUACCCAUUUUAAUAAUAACAUCUAUUUAUGGUCAAUAAGUAUUUUUUAACUUAUAAGUAUAAUUAAUAAAUGAAAAAAAAUUUAAAUUUUAAUUACUUUUAAGAUAAUAAUAAUUAUUAUUAUUAUUAUUAUUAUUAUGUCCCUCACCAUAUUUUACACGUAUGGUCAAUUUCAUUAGAUAAUUUUCUUGCUCAUAAGCCUACUAACAUGGAAAUGCUUUCUGAUGUGAAGAGGUUAAAAUAUCAAUUAAUCCAAUUCUGUCAUCUCAUUUGGGUUUUAUUUCUUUAUACUACUGCAGCAAAAAUAAAGUUGUUUUUGGCCUUUUACCUACAAUCUUAAAUUUUAAAAGUUUUACUAUUUUGAGCAAUAAAUUUAGAAGUGGGCUAAUUCUAAAAUUUGGUCUAUUUAAGAAAUUAGGCUGGAAGUGGUCAAAUACUCAAAUAUUAGAGAAAGUGAAUAGUGGGUUAAUUCUAAAUUUGGGCCUAAAUAUAACUUUUUAAGAAAAACGUUACAAAGCAAAAUAGGAAAUGGCCCAAUCCGCCCCUGGUUAUAACUUUAAUAAAACGUUGCUAUAUUGACUAUUGAGGCAUUAGACUCGAUUAUUCUUAUAUGGAGUUCGUAUUUGGAGGCAAAGAUAGGUUGGUUUAUGCAGUUGGGGGGCCAUUGUCACAAUGCUAUUUAUUGAUUAACGUUUAUUUUUGUCUGUUUAUGUGGUAAUAGAAUCCUUGUCAAAAUUUAUUGAUUAAUAAUAUUUAUCACUAUUGGUAUUGUUUACCCACCCCUCAGUCACUACGAACACCCAUAAUCAGUGCAAUGAGAUGUGUCUAUUUAUCCAUCUCUUCACUCGAAAUGGGAGCAGGUCGUACGGGCCAAUCCGCCCCUGGUUAUAACUUUAAUAAAACGUUGCUAUAUUGACUAUUGAGGCAUUAGACUCGAUUAUUCUUAUAUGGAGUUCGUAUUUGGAGGCAAAGAUUGGUUGGUUUAUGCAGUUGGGGGGCCAUUGUCACAAUGCUAUUUAUUGAUUAACGUUUAUUUUUGUCUGUUUAUGUGGUAAUAGAAUCCUUGUCAAAAUUUAUUGAUUAAUAAUAUUUAUCACUAUUGGUAUUGUUUACCCACCCCUCAGUCACUACGAACACCCAUAAUCAGUGCAAUGGAAUGUGUCUAUUUAUCCAUCUCUUGACUCGAAAUGGGAGCAGGUCGUAAACUCCAUCUCAUUGCCUAACAGACUUGUGGUCAUAUAUAGCCUUGUUCCAGUUUAUUUCAUAUAUUGAAUUAUGUUGCUUUUCAAGUAGGAUUAAUCCAUCUCACAAUAAAACUCUAUCGAAAUCUUGUUAAGAGCACUACAGUAUGCAACACAUUUUAAUUGCAAUAAAGGUCUUAAACAUCUACAAUUAAUAUUGAUGAUUGGUGGGUCCGACGCCUAUUUGGCUUCUUUUAUUGACAUAGAUCAUGUCUUGAAUCCACUAAAGUUACAUAAGGCAAGGCGUAUCAAGAUAUCUUUCACUUCGUGAUUGCAAAGCUAAUGUAAUUUCCAUCAAAACCUCGGGAGUAUGUAAUACGUUGAUCAACUCGUGAAAAUUUAAGUCAUUGGAUUGGACUUAAUUUUCAUAAUACAUUAUUGCUAGACUUAAUCCCAGAGCUUCUUAUCACAGAUAUCACCUUGAAUCACUAGUUCUUGUUUAUAUUACGACCAAAACCAGUAGUAUCUUUCACAUACGUUUCAAGGGUUAUGUCUUAAAAGACAAUGCAAGAACCAUAAUUGAACUAGUACUGUGUCUGUGUAUACACAUAUGAAUGCCUGUGUAUGAUCUUAGUCUACCAGCUUGCAUCGCUCUUCCCUUGGUUUCCUCCGUACAAACGGAAGAGACUGAAAGCAGAAAUGGCAGAGAGAAGCACCAUAACAAGGCUUGCAAUGACAGCACUGGCAAUGCCUUCCCCAAUUUGAUUACAGAAUUUCCCAUACCAGUUGCAAACCUUUAUCCACUGCAGUUCACUCUGCCCCAUCUAGGAAAAUACAGCAGAUUGAGCAGCUGCUGCAACCGCAGACAAAGUCAAGUACGCCAUUAUCCGCACAAGUACGUUAAUUUCAGAUGUUAGGAAACGAGCAAGAAUAAAACUGGACGUCCAGGCCCCUGGACGUCCAGGCCCCUGGACGUCCAGGCGCCUAUUUGGCGCCCCCUAUUGGGGGGUCGUCUGACAGUGACAGGCGACCCCCAGUACAAACGGAAGAGACUGAAAGCAGAAAUGGCAGAGAGAAGCACCAUACCAAGGCUUGCAAUGACAGCACUGGCAAUGCCUUCCCCAAUUUGAUUACAGAAUUUCCCAUACCAGUUGCAAACCUUUAUCCACUGCAGUUCACUCUGCCCCAUCUUGGAAAAUACAGCAGAUCGAGCAGCUGCUGCAACCGCAGACAAAGUCAAGUAUGCCAUUAUCUGCACAAGUACGUUAAUUUCAGAUGUUAGGAAACGAGCAAUAUACAUAGAGGUUUAUAGUGGUUUACUCUUAACGUCGCAUCUCUUUUGCACCCAAAGAAAUAGUCUCCUAAAAAUUAUAAUACAUAUAUGGCAUAGUCAAUCUACUGCAAUAAUAUUUGUGACUCGCAAUGAAAAGGAUAAUUGAACAAUAAGAUAAGGCUCCACUUAAUCCGUGAAAUGGACCACUCAUUGUAAAUACAGAGAAGGAUUGAACUGUAAACUUUCCCCCAUCUCAGUACUCUGCCUAAAUUGUAUGGCCCCUUGAAGUUUAGAGAAGGAUUGAACACAUUUAAUGCAGGAUGAUAUGCUUCAUUCAAAUUACUCGUAAACUUUGGCACUAAAAUUAUCUAAUUUUCCAGUUGCCAAUCCCCUAUUCCAAAUAGGAAGACAUCUGAAAGAAAUCACCUUUUUGUGUCUAUUACAUAAAAAUCAGUUUUCUUGGAGUGUGUGGAUCUUAAAUGAAUCUGUCUGUUUGCUUAUUAUUACUCUGGAACAGGGCUUGAUCUUAAAUUAUAAGUAUCAACAUGCCCUAUGGUUAUGAAGUCAAAGACUCGUGACAGAUACAGACAGACUGAAGAAAUUAAGCUGUAGAAGAGUGAUAUUUGGUACCUGAUCUCCAGAGAAAAUGACCCAAGCCAAGGGCUUGUUAAAGAGCACACUUCCUCUAAUCAUACUCAAAACACACCUCAAAACUUGGAUCACGGAAUAGGCAGCAGCUAACCCACUGGCUAUUACCAAGAAUCUGUACACUCAAACAUAGGGAAAUCAUAAUUUAAUUAACAACCCAUUUUUGGAUCAGGGCUUAAUCUAUAAUGAGAGAGAGAGAGAUCUAGAUCUUACACAAGGGCUUUCAUGUCUGUAAAUUUAGCCUUCUUUUGUAUAGUAAAGAUCACUUUAACCUGAGAGUCGGUUCCAAUAAGAACAGCAGCAAGAAUGGCUAGACCACAUACCAAACACCUUAAACUCAGCUCUGCAACCCUAACUCUCCUAUCAAUUACCUUCAAAUUACUUCCAUGAACAUUAUUAAUACUAGUUCCAACACCAAGAUAACUCAUAUUUACUCCUAUUACCGAAGUAGGAAGAGAACCCACAAAAUAUAUAAGCACAAGGUUCACCUACCUACCACAUUCCACCACUUAUGAACACCUAAUCAGUAUACUUUUUUCUUCUGUCGAGUAUUUUUUUUUUUUUUAAUGGAAUGGGAGAGAGGACGAAUGUUCAAUCUUAUCGUUUGAGGAAUAGUGGAAAUUAUGAACCAUAUUUUCCUACAUAGUGAAAGAGUUGGUGUGGAUGAAUGUUUGACAAUUGCACAAGAGUAGAGUUGGUAAAAUGAUUGAAGUGAACACAUUUGGAACGCGAUUUUGUGCUCUGGUGGGCCAUUGCGGGUACACGUUUACACCUUUGUAAUAAUAAUCCUCUCCUAAAAUAAUUUCUUAUGCAAACUAAUCUCUCAACCAUAUGGUAUAGAUUCAAAAUUUGAUGAUAAUAAAGUGUAAUUUAUUGUUAGAUCAUUACCUAACCAUGAUAUUUACUUCAUGUUUGACAAAGUUUUUUUGACAUUAUAAGUUGAUAUUUUCAUAAAAUGUGAGAUUAAAAAAUGAAUAAAAAUUGUGGAUUCAAUCAAAUAUGAAAUUAAAAAUAAAGUUUGAAUUUGAAUAACUUAGAAUCUUAGAAGAACUUUGCCAAACAUGGACUAAAUCAAAUACUUCUCUCCAAAAAUGUAAAAUACAAAAAUAUAAAUUUGAGCACUUACAAAAAGGAUAAAUUUCCAAUAUUAUUUUUUUGCUCGGAGACAAAAAAUUAUGUGAUAUCAAUUAAUGAUAUCAGAACACCUAGACCAGUUCUUAGCGCCAAAGCUCUAAAAAUUUUCACAUUGUUAACAAUGAACUACAUCUUAAGAAUUCUGAAGCUGAUAUCACAUAAAAUGAUUCUAUUAUUGGUAUUUCUGCUUAGUUACGUUCAAGAUUUAGGGCGCAAAUGGCUUGAAAUCCUGCCUGGUUUUUAUCAGCAAUUUUUUUAAUAGUGGGAAAAUAAUAUUUAACAACUAACAUUCGACUGAGCUUAUACUCAGAAUUCAUGAUAUAUUAAUCGGGAAUUUAGUAUGAGAGUUUUGCUAAUGCUUUUACAUAAAAAUCAAAACAUUCUUGGGACAAGACAAGAAGCCCCGCCCGGUUCAAGAAUUGGUGAUCAGGGAAGAUACUCAAACUUGCACGAACCAUGACCUGUCAGUAUGGAAAAAAAAAAAUUAUAUAAAAUGUUGCUUAUGAACAUCUAUCACAUGAAAAAAUACCAAGCACAUGGGAUUCACCAUAUUUUCAAGAAAACGAAGAUCUAGAUUUCGGAAAGUUUAGGCUUCUUUGUUGGCAAGUUCAUAUCAAGACAUUUUUUUUACAUGUAAAGUCUCAACAUUUAAAAGUUCUGAGUUCAAGUUUCUCCACUGUACCUAAAAAAUUAUAUACUUGCCAACCGCACACAUGAGGAGCAUAGUGAAAACAACUUAAAUAACUAAACUCUAACCUCUUGAGCUUAUUGAAGAAGUUGUCCUACAUGUGGACGAGAAUAUUUGUUUGCUUACUUGGAUUUUCAGCGGUUAAAAUUGCAGCAGAAUUGAAGUAGCAACUUCCUCCUUUAUGCUUGAACUUCUGAUAGUAGCUAUUGAAUGCAUAAGAAGCAUGAUCCUUUACUGUAUUUGGAAUAUGGCAAGCUUGGUUUGCCUGUAUCUUACUGCACUCUGCACCAUUGCUACAGGCCCAACCAAGAGCCCUCUGCAGUUCAUCAUCUGGUGUUUGCUCAUCUGCUAUGCACCAGUCCGCGAACUGUCCCUCUAACAUCAACCAAAAAAAAAACGUAAAGCGAAGUUAGAUGACGUGUAAAUGAAAAUCCAGGCACUCAUUCCGAUGCAGCCAACGAGAAGUUAAAUUUCAGCACGACAGAAUUCCGACACAACCCAGGGUAAUUAAUUCCUACGACAACAGAGCAAAUUAUAAAUCUAGCAAGGACGCGUAAUGUACAGAUCUAGAUAUGUGCUUCGCAAGUAACACAGUUCAAUGUUUACCAGAAUUCCACGAUAAAGAUAAGAAGAAGAUCAAAGCUAAUAGAAUCUUCAUCACGGCUGACGGCAUCGACCUGAACUUGUAUCAACUCGUAGACUUUAGAAGGAUGACACCAAGAAGUUCCUGGAUUUUUACAGAGUCUUUGCACACAGCAAGAAAUAUAUAAACCUUCUCCAGAUCCAAGAACAACAGCUUCAGAUGUAAUCCACUUGUAAUACCAGUAAUAUCCUUUCUUUACAAAGUGAAUACUGUUCACCAAAAAGAUUAGUAGCAAUAGGAACAAAAUGAAAUUUAAUAAUGAAGAAAUAUAUAUAUAUCAGGUCGGACGGAAAAUUUUGUUUGUACAUAAUUAUUGCAUAUAAUAGUGUCUAUAAUGUGAUGUGGCAAUCAUCCGAUUAUUAACGUGCGUGUGUGAGAUUUGAAUUAAAGGUUGGAUCCAGUGCUACAUAUAAUUAUAAACAUCAUUAUAUAAACAAUUAUAUACAUAUAACACUUUCCCAGGUUGGACUUGUUAUAAAAUUCGACGAGAUACACUAUAAAGAGGGGAAAAAGAAAAGAUAAAUCUGCGUGGAUAUUUUAAUUUCUGCUUUUUUAACUGGUAAACUUGUCAGGGCAGAUGAGUCAAUACAUAUAAAGAUGGAUAGCCUAUGAUAUGAUUUGCUGUCAACAGAGAGCAUCAAGAUUUUCCUCCUCCUGAAGGAAUCAUAAAAGGGUAACAAGAUUCUUCUGUUUCGCUUUUCCAAAUUGAUUUUGCACUUUUGUUUCUCUACAAGAUCUGAAGAGAUUUUAUUUUAAUCCCGUUUUAGAUCUAGUAAUUAAUGUGAAUGAAAAGAUUCUCUGGUUAAUGACCCACAAAUUAUCCUUUUUACUGUAUAAGUCAACUUUCUAUAUCAUGUGAUGUCUGGUUUAGGCUCGGUACUGCCCCAUCGGGAAAUUAAAAAAAAAAAAAAUUGCAAUCCACACCAAGACGAUCACAAAGUUUGCAUAGCUAUAACAGAUAAUAGAUCAUUGACACAAAGUAUCCUAAACGUAGUCUUCAAGUAACUUAAAUCAUUUAUAUCGUUCCACUUUUAAAAUUUGAGCAUUCAAAUCGAUUAUUCUUUGAGCUUUCUGUUUGAUUCUGUCCAUUUAUUUUGUUAAAUAAAUAGGUGGGGGCUUCGCAUAUGAUGUCAAAAAUACAAUCUUGCGCUUAAAAAAUUUAAAUAAACAAAGAAACGAUAUUAAAAAAGGCAAAAUAGAAAUAUAAAAACAAAACAAAGGAAACAAAAAUUAAAGAUAAAAUAUAAAUUAAAAAAAAAAUCUCUAUCUUCUCCAAACUCCGUUCCUGUCCAAAAGUGGUCAAGAAAACACUAAAAAAAUAAUAAGAAAUAAAUAAAUAAGAAAUCACAAUUGAAGUCGAAGAAAAAUUUCGCCAAAUGCUGAUGCAGAAACAAGAAACAGGGACCCAAAGAUAUAAACAAUGACAAUCAUGAGUAUAAGAUGAAAAUAAUUCUAUAUAUACAUUAUGGUGUUCAUAAGAGUAUUCAUAAUGUACACGUCGAAUUCCAUGAUUGGAGGGAUGAAAAAUUUAUUUUUCAACUCCCUAAUUAUAUUAUUCCACUUGUACAUUAUGAAUACCCUUAUGGACACCAUAAUGUACAUAAGAUAAACACUCGUAAAAAAUUCUAUCAACUUCUUGUUUGACAAAUAAACUAUGCAAAAAAUAGUUGGUGGCGAUUGUCAAUGCUCUUGAUAUGUUCAAUGCAGGAAAUUCCACCAAAGAGUGACUGCAUUCUGGAAGAUCUAAACCAUCCAUGUUCCCACAUAAUUCAUCUGUCAGCUUAUGAGUAAGUUAAUAAAUGUAGAUAUAGCUAAUUAAAAAAAAACCUUUAAAAAAUCAGCAAGUGAAGAAUGCAUCUCUUCAAAAAUUGUGUCCUAUGAAGAGGUUUCAACAAAUCCUAUUAAUAUUUGUCAUUUAGCAUCCAAUAAAGCUGAUUUCCUAACAAAAAUUAGGGCAAGAGAUAACAUGAUUAUGUCCAAAUAAAAAACACAAUUACGUACAUCAUGUGAGCAUGUGCAAAUACAGAAAUAUCUGCACACACACACACACACAUAGGAGCGUGCAGGUGUGAGGGGUGGUUUGACGAUGGGGCAAAGCAGAAAAUUUAAAGUUGCAAAAGCACAAGCGAUUCAAUUUCCUUUAGAAAUUAGAAUUAUUAUUCUUCUAUAGGUAAUUUCAUUCUAGAUUUAUUUAUCAUGGAUUUUAUACAAAUCACGUAAAACAAAGUGCAAGCAACUGGCAUGCAGCUCAAGUUCCAAAUAGACCAAUGCUUCGUUCUAACAUAGUGAUGUAUUACAUCAAAAGAGGUUACAAAAACAUCAACAAUGUAGUUCUUUGUGAGUGAGGCAUGAAUAGAAGGAUGUGAUUUUGGUAAAUCUCAUGGAAAAAGGGUGUCCUUCUACACUAUGAAUGGCCAAAACACCAGAAAAGUAGAGCCUCAGAUUUUAUAUCUUUACUCUUUGUGUCAAACAAUGGUGUAGAUAGGUGGAGGAGGGUUAAACAAUUUAUCAUUCCAAAUAUAUUAGGAUAUCAUGGUCCACUGGGGUGUUGGGAACCUGAAUCCUACGUCGAAAAUAUGGGCUUCCUUUGGUUUAUAAAGGCUUGGAUUCUCCAACCUCAACGGCCAGCUUUUGAAUCUGGCUCUUCCAUGCUCUAUUACAAUGUGCCCAAACCAAACUAAUUUUUCCAUCAUAGCAAGUCGUUGUUCAGUCAUUCAGUUCUAAAUGGCAAGAUGUUAGCUUCACUCUUCAGUUACUUGGAAUAGUUAAUGUACCUUAAGUUAUUACUUAUAACCCAUUUCUAAUCUCACCCAUUCUCCAUUUUUUAAUCUUUUUUGUUUUUUUGUUUUGUUUUUUUUGACAGAAUUCAGCAGUAUAGAUUCUUUAACAGAAAAGCAAACAUCGUAUGACGACAUUCCAAUAAAAUGAGACAUAAAUGGCUAAAACAAGAAAAGGCAAAAAAUAAAAACUUACCCACUUCUUGAAUUAAUUAAUACAACGUAUCCCUAAAUUUCUCUCUCUCUCAAGUCCGAGAUCAAAUGGAGAUCAAUGGAGGAUCAAACUAAUUUAACGGUUGUGGAUUUUGGGAAGACAAAGAUUAGCGCUAGGUUUCAAGAUUUGAUGAGAGAAGAGAAGACGUGGGGUUGGGGAAGAAAGAGGGGAGAGAAGAAGCCAGUAUUCACAUGAAUUGAGACAGAUGGCUUUAUGAAGAAAAACCGGCCAAAUUUGAUCCAGGCAUGUGGCGGAUUCACAUGUAUACACGCAUAUUUCUGUCCGAAUCCGAAAUUACAGUAGCCUGGAAUACAUUCAGCAUUCUGUAUGUAUUUUGUUGACCCCAAAAAAUGUUGUCAACAGAUGUCGGUCCCACUCGCGCACACGUGGGUGAAUGUCCAACACGCUAAGACACGGGGACGGUCUAAAAUGAGCGGUUCAAAGGGCGUGGGAGUAGCCCAGCGACGCGGGACGAAGACGUUUGAAAUUCGACGGGUUGUUCGUGAUUCGAUUGUACAAUAAUUACCAAUCGGUAUUCAUCUAUGUAUAUGUAAAUGUGUAUAAACUCGAUUUGUAUAUUACAAGUAAAUGAGAGAGAGUUGAAUAAAGUGUAGUUCUUUAUAUUAAUUCUUGCAUUGGUCUUUUGAUGUUAUACAAGGGAAGUAUUUAUAGUGAUACAUGUGAAAUGGGAGCCUUUGGAUGAGGUGGCACGUUGCCUCAUCUUUUUGAUUCAAACAUCUUAUCCUAGGAAGGGGGCUUGACUUACUAGCUUGCUGCGCAUUUAUUGCUUAUGCAGAGCCUCCAUACUAGUGACAAGAUUUGACCUUUAUGCUUAUGACAAACGUUCCAUCAAUCAUUCGAAUGAGAUCUUUGUACAGAUGAUUUCUUGGGAGAAGUGAACAUGGAGGAAACUCCCCUGUUCUUCGGAGGCUCCUGCAUCAGUUUCGGGGCUUCGGCCAUUUCACACAAUACUUCCGCUUGAGGGCUUCAGCUACCUUCAACUAGCUUUAGCAUCAUGACUUCGGUGAAAGGCGCCUCGACUAUUGGACUUCGGCUUGAAGGGCAUUGCCCAACUCGGCUGGAGUGCCACGUGGUUCGGCCUGAGUGGGCCAUUGGCCCAGGUGGAUUGACCAAGUGUGACAACAAGCAACAAUAGUCCCCCAAGUCCAAGUAUGAUCAUUUAUGUAAUGCGUGGACUUUAAUGAAGUAAAAAUUGAAAGAAUUUUUUGAACUCCAAAUAAUAGUCCCCGAAGUCCAAGUGUAUAUAUUUAUAUUAGAGUUGGAAUUAGAAAUGUGUUGAAAUUGAAGACGAAAAUGAGGUGGUUUGAGAAAUCGAACCUGCGAGGCUUGAUGGCUAAAUGUUGAAGUUGAAGCCGAGGUGGUUGGGAAAUCGAACUGCGAGGCUUGAUGGCUGAAUGUUGAAGUUGAAGCCGAGGUGGUUGGAAAACCGAACCUGCGAGGCUUGAUGGUUGAAUGUUGAAGUUAAAGCCGAGGUGGUUGGAAAAUCGAACCUACGAGGCUUGAUGGCUGAAUGUUGAAGUUGAAGUCGAGGUUCAAUGGUAAUGAUUAUACCUCGAUGGCUACGCCAAUGAUUUGAUAUUUUGUGCUUGUUUUCGAUGAAAAGACGGCAGACCCGUACGACUUCCAAGGCGCCUGCUGCCGUCGAAUUAAAAACACAAUUAUGAGGACAGCUGGAGGUUCUAGAAGCAGACGCUUGAAUCUGGGGACGGGGUGACUGGAAUGCACGCUUGAAUCUGAGGCGUAGGUUUGAAAAAUCGUUUGAAUUCAACGCCUCGAAUUUGUUCUUCAGUGAGGGUUCAGAUUGACUGAGAUUCGAUCUGACGGCUGGGGCUCAUCCUGGACCUCUAUAAAAGGUAAGAGAAUCCCAUUUUUUAGGACUUUUGAAACUUUGCAAUUUGAUUCUCUCUCAAAUUCCUGAAUCUUUUCGGCGUCAAGGCUGCUCGUUUUUUUAUUUUUCGGCUUAUCUCCGUUCGUGUAGUGUUCUUCCCUUAAGUAUCAUUCGCAGAAGAAUCUCUUUUUUGUUGCAUUAAUUUUGUGAGAUGGAGUCCACCUCGGGUAGGGAGUUGGUGACGGUUGCGUCGUUAGAUUAUGAGGUCAGUCAGAGGGGGGAUGCCGAGGCUGAUAGUUAUGCCAUGACCGAGGACCUAGUAGAUUAUACUGAAGAGUGGGGGGCAUCUAGGGUGCCCUCAAGUAUGACGUGGAAAAGGUUAGGAGAGAUACAGUGUCCCUCAUACCAUAGAAAUGCUAGUACCCAAGCCAAAUGAGCGAGCCUACUAUCCAAGGCCCAGAUGCGUGGCAGUCAGUGAAUACCUGUUUAAGGCAGGUAUGCGUCUUCCUCUGCACCCCUUCUUUAGGGCAGUGUUGAGGAACUUUAUGUUGUCGUCGACCCAGGUUCUGCCAAAUGGGUGGAGCCAGUUGGUCGGCUCGUACUUUUUGUGGAAAGAGGUGUCACUUGGGGAGGACAUGCCUCUUCAUAUAUUCAUGUCCCUUUUUCAGCCCAGGAUCAUAGGGAAAGAGUCCAGGGAGUGGUAUUACCUUACACCUUGGGGGGCUCACGCACCUUUGUGGUGGGACUGCCUUCCUCCAUUAAGGGAUGGAAGGAGUCCUGGUUCUGGGUACGGGGAAAAUGGCAGGCAGUGGAGGGGGACAAGGCCCUUUCUUGCACAGUGCUGACCCAGUACUACGAAGCUCGUGAGUCUCCCAGCCCCUGCUUGUACUUCUGAAUUGAACACUUAGAAAAUUUCUAACUGUUGGGGCUUCCAUUGCAGAUUGUAGUACGAGGUUCGAGCUCAGUACAGAAGAGUACGAGGUGAUAGAGGACAUCUACAAGAGGCCUCAGAAACUUCGUCAUUUUGACCAUCUGAUUGACAGGAGUCGCUAUUUCUUGGAUUUUGGACUGAUGGCAUCCAGAGGUAUGAGGCUCCCAUAGUUGUGAAUUUCCUUGUCAUUUUGAUUGGAUACUGAUGUGCCGACCUGACGUUCUUUUACAGAUAAAUUCAAGAGAAAUGAGUACCCGGCUCCAGACAUGGCUACAAUUCUGAAGGCCACCACCACCGUCAAGGCUAGGGCCUUGAAGCUGGGGUCUAGUGGGGCCAAGGAGGUCCGAGGCAAGGUGGAACGCCUUUCCAAGGACAGUACUCCAAAGGCUUUCGAAAAGGGAGCUUCUCAGAGGCAGGAGAGGCCAAAAGAGCCUCGUGGGAAAGAGAAGGUCCCAAAGGAGGCAAAGAGGAGGAAGCUGAUGCACGUUACUAGCUCGUCCGGGAAAUUUGGGACAUCAGUGUCCCAUGAGGCCAAAUCAACAGGCGAGCCAAAACUGCUCACAUCUGCCUCCAAAGCCAUCAAGUUAGAAAUGGUCAGAGAGGCAGAGGCUGAGGCUGAGGAGGCCAAGGAGGAGGCUGCGAGGAGGGCUGCUGAGGCUACCGAGAAGGAGGCAGCUAAACAAAAGCCUGUUUGGGAAAAGGGGAAGUCUCCGAGCUUCCUAACUGGAAGGGAGGAGACCUUGGCCCCAGCCUUAGUGGAGGCUCUUCCCCAGGAGGUCCGAAGUGCCACGGAGAACUUUUACCGUUUCUAGACGGACAGGUGGCAGUUGCAUGCCUCCUCCUGCGAUGCCACCGACCUGACGAGGGCGUUGGUAAGCCAAAGUGUCAAGACUUUUGGCCUCGCUCUUGAAUGCAGGGAGGCCCUGAGUGAUUUUCAGACAAGGACUAGGUCUUCGGAGGAGAAGACGGCCUCCCUUGCAGAGGAAUUGAAGGCGGCUAAGGCCGAGGUGGAAGAAGCCAGGGCCCAAAAACUCGAAGAAAUGGCCAAGUUGGAGUCUGCCUUGGCCCAGAUUGAGCCUUGAAGAAGGAGGUCCACGAGUCACAGUGUAAGGUGGCCUCCUUUACAAAGAAGGUGGAGGUCUCCAAUGAGCACCAGAAGGUGACCGCCAAGACCCUGGAGAAGGCAAAUCUCUCUUUGACGGGUGCCCAAGAAGCUUACCAUUUCUUGGAAACCCAAAUCAAGUGGUAUGUGGAUGAUGCAUCCCAUGCCAGAGAGGAGGCCCAACAGGCGAGGGAAGAGGUGGUGCAGGAGUACGUUGCCAACUUCCACAACACAGACGAGUAUAAGAGCUUCAGUGCGUACUGGAGAAACUUUGCCUAUGCUGAGGUGAUGGAGCGGGCAGAGAAACUGUAUCCCAAUUUGGAUCUGACUCAACUCAGGUCUGAAUUCGUGGAUGAGGCACCUUAGACCCCUGCUGAGGACGUGCAGGGUAAUGAAGCAGCUGAGACAGGGGAGACAAAUGUCGAUACUCAAGCUGCUGAAGCCCCAAGUACAGAAGCACCUCCCCCAUCUACCCAAGCUUAGAUUAGUUUUCUUUUCAGUCUUUUGAAUGUAAUGGUCUGAGGCCCACCUUUGUAAUCUUUAUUGAAGAUCAAUAUGAUGCCUUUUUGAUUCAUUGUUGUUUCUUUGUCCAAGUGUACGCGCCUCGUUAAACAAAUGAACUUAAAAGUUGAUAGAAGCACUAACUAAAUAACUUUAACUUGGUACCUUAACUUCAAUCACUUUAAACAACUGGAUUGAACAACUGUAUGAGCCUUGGACUUAAGCAAAUGAGCUUUACUUAAGCAUAAUGACUGUAUGAGCUUCGGACUUAAGCAAAUGAAUUUUACUUAAGCACAACUGUGUGAGCCUCGGACUUAAGCGAGCGUCGAGUUUAAGCAAAUGAACUUUAUUUAAGCAUAACUGUAUGGGCCUCGGAAUGCACGUGAGGUGGCUUCUCCCGUUGGUGUUCAGCCUGGCCAAAGGGAGACAUGUGCUAGCGCCUCGGAGUUUAAGCGAGGUAGCCCAGAGGUGGGGCGCAAGCCUCUCCUCCGAGGUGACGACGCAUCCCAGACAUGGUGGAUGGUGCAGCCAUGUUGAGGCUUCUCCCGUUGGCGUUCAGCCUGGCCAAAGGGAGGCAUGUGUUAGCGCCUCGGAGUUCAAGCGAGGUGGCCCGGAGGUGGGGCGCGAGCCUCUCCUCCGAGGUGACGACGCAUCCCUGACAUGGUGGAUGGUGUAGUCAUGUUGAGGCUUCUCUCCUUGACGUUCAGCCUGGCCAAAGAGAGGCAUGUGCUAGUGCCUCGGAGUUCAAGCAAGGUGGCCCAGAGGUGGGGCGCGAGCCUCUCCUCUGAGGUGUCGAGGUAAUACAACAAGUUAAUUUAAUCACCGAAUUUUAUUGAACCAUGAAAAUGUUACAAGGGCUAGGAAAGGUCAUCCAGCAAGAUAGUACAUUUAUUGGUAAUAGAUUCUGAGGUGUUCAAUGUUCCAUGGACGGGGUUGUGCCUUGCCGUUCAUGUCUUUAAUCUAGUAAGUCCCAGGUCAAACCUCUUCUCUGAUUUUGUAUAGACCUUCCCAGUUUGGGCUAAGGGAACCGGAACCAGGUUCUUUUGAGGAAAGGAAGACCCUCCUAAGUACAAGGUCGUUGAUUCGGAAUGACCUCUUCUUGACUUUUGAGUUGAAGUACCUUUUCAUCUUUCUCUGAUAUGUGCCGAGUUUCAAUUGGGAGUCAUCUCUUCUUUCUUUGAUGAAGUCGAGGUCGAGCCUCCGAAGCUCAUCGUUAGUUAUCUCGCUGAAGUGCAGACGUCUUGGGGAUGGAAGUCCGACCUCCACGGGGCUCAUAGCCUCUGUUCCAAAUGUCAUGAAGAAGGGGAUUUCUCCUGUUGGGGUCCUGGUGGUGGUUUGGAUCGCCCAAAGGACUUGGGCCAGCUCAUCAACCCAGGCCCCUUUUGAUAUAUCAAGCUUCCUUUUCAAGACGUGCUUGAUCGUCUUGUUCACGGCCUCAACUUGGCCAUUUACUUGUGGGUGGUGAGGCGUGAAGAAGUGCUUCUUUAUGUCGAGCUCUUCGCAUAAUUCUCUAACCUUCUUGUUAUCAAACUGUCUGUCAUUGUCUGAGACAAUUGAACGGGGAAUUUCGAAUUGGCGAAUAAUAUUUUUCCAUAAGAACUUGGAGGUAUUGGCUUCAGUGAUUUUUGCCAGUGGUUCGGCGUCGACCCACUUCGUGAAGUAAUCAAUAGCCACAAUUGCAAAACUUGCCCCUCCUCUACCUUUAGGUAAGGAACCUAUGAGGUCCAUACCCCAUUUUGAGAAAGGCCAGGGGUUGGAAACGACGGUCAAAUCCUGCGAUGGUUGUCUCUGCACAGGAGAGAAGCACUGGCAUUUAUUGCAUUUUCGUACAAAUUCGAGGGCGUCCCACUUUAGAGUAGGCCAGUAGUAUCCCUGCCUCAAUAUUUUUUGUGCCAGAGAUAGACCUCCAGAGUGGUUGCCGGAAAUGCCCUCGUGGAUUUCUCUUAAUAUGUAGGUAGCCUCUUCUCCUCCGACGCACCGUAGGAGUGGGGAGGAGAAGCUCCUCUUGUAGAGAAUGUCAUCAAUGAAAAGGAAAUGGACUGACCUCUUUCUUAGCUUGUAAGCCUCAUUCUUGUUAGUUGGCAGUACUUGGUCUUUGAGGUAUUCUAUGAUUGGCUGCAUCCAAGUGGGAGUUUCGGCGAUCCACAUUACUGUAGGGACAUCGAUCGAAGGUAGGAGGAGGUGCUCAAUAGGUACUACUGUGAGUAGCUCUGAGUCCUUGCUACUAGCCAGCUUCGAGAAUGCAUCCGCAUGCGCAUUUUCGAUGCGGGGAUCUGGAUCAGCUCAAACUUUUCGAAAGAUGGGAUGAGGUCAGCACCAUUUUCAGAUAGGAGGCCAUCGUUUUGUCUAUGGCUGAGAAGUUACCAUUGACUUGGCUAACAACUAGCUGGGAGUCACUACUGAUGAGUAGCCUCUUUACUUGCAUUUCUGUGGCCAGCCUGAGGCUAGCAAGAAGUGCCUCAUAUUCUGCUACGUUAUUGGUAGCGUUGAAUCCGAACCUUACUGCUGAGGUGAGUUUAUAACCUUCGGGGCUGAUGAGGACAACCCCAGCACCUGAGCCGACAUCUCCAACUGACCCAUCGACGAAGAGAUUCCACGUGGGUGGCUCGACGGGUUCCAUGAUUUCAUCCACCUCGAAUAGGUUGGCGAAUUCAGCCACGAACUCAGCCAAGGCUUGCCUUUUUAUGGCUGCCCUUGCCUUGAACACAAGGUCAAAUUCACUUAGUUCCACUGCCCACUUCAAUAACCUUCUUGAGGCAUCGGGCUUUUGGAGUACCUGCCUCAGGAGGAAGUUUGUCAGUAUAUGGAUGGUGUGAGCUUGGAAGUAGGGUCUCAAUUUCCUGGAGGCCGUGAUCAAGGCUAAAGCAAGCUUCUCCAUAUCGGGGUAACGGGUUUUCGACGAUAUGAGCGCUUUACUGGUGUAGUAUACAGGGAGUUGGGUAGACCCUUCUUUCCGUAUCAAAACCGAGCUGACAGCCUCAUUGGAGACAGCCAAAUACAGUUGUAGGAUAUCAUCGGGCUUCGAUUUGGAGAGGAUGGGGGCCUGUCCCAGGUGCAUUUUCAGGCAUUGGAAGGCCUCUUCACAUUCCUCAGUCCACUGAAAUUUCUUCCCAGUCUUCAGUAAUUUGAAAAAUGGGAGGCAUUUGUCGGUAGCUUUGGAGACGAAGCGGCUAAGUGCGGCCACUCGCCCGGUAAGACUUUGCACCUCCUUUGGCUUUUGGGGGGACCUCAUUUUGCAUAGAGCCUCAAUCUUUUCGGUGUUGGCCUCAAUUCCUCGUUGGUUGACCAUGUACCCCAAGAAUUUGCCGGAUGCUACCGCAAAGGCGCAUUUGAGGGGGUUUAGUCUCAUCCAAUACCUUCUUAGGAUUUGGAAAGUGUUGUUGAGGUGCGUCAUGUGGUCCUCGGCCUCCAAACUUUUUACCAGCAUGUCUACAUAAUUUCAAUCACACAUUCUUCAAUAAAAUAAUAUUAUACGCAAAUUAAAAACUUUUCAUUAUUUUCUAACCACACAUUUUCCAUCAGUACACCAUUCAAAAAUAUAUUUUUAUUGAAAUAAUAUGGCUCAAACAAGGACUUAUUAAUAACAAGAAUCGAAUUUUAGCUUACAAACUCUGUAUCUUCAUGAUCUUUGGCAACAACUCUCUCUCUUAGGAAUUGAUUAAGUUCUUGUUUGGGCUCCAUUAAAAUAGAUUUUGAAAAAAUAAAAAUGAAAAUUAGACUUACGUGUGACAUGAUUUUAUUAAAGAACGCGUAGUUAAAAAAUAAGAAAGAAAAAGUACAUUUUUUUUCUAAAAUGGAACCCAAACAAAGGCUAAAUGAUGCGCUCAUAGGGUUAAGAAUAUAAUUAAUUUAAUCAAUGGUCACUAAAAUUUACUAUACAUUACUAUUCGCUCAUUGAAAUUUAAAAGGUUACCUUUUGCUCAAUAAACUUUGCUAUAGAUUAUAAGUUGUUCACCAAAAUUUAAAAGAUUAUUUAUUACUCACUCAAAUUUAAACAAAGUUAUACAUUAAUCACUCAUAUAAUUUCCAUAAGUGUCACCUAUUGUAAAGUUCAGUGAGUAACGAGUAACGAGUAACUUUAUCCAAACUUAAGUGGGCAACGAGUUACCUUUUAAAUUUCGAUGAGUAAGUAGUAAUAUAUAGCAAAGUUGAUUGAGCAACGGGUAACUAUUUAAAGAUCGAUGAGCAAGUAGUAACGUAUAGUAAAGUUCACUAACUAUUCAUUGAAUUAUCUCAUUAAAAGAAUAUGAUAAGACAAAAGCCAAGAAAAAUAAGAAUACACCAAAAUAUUGUUGGUUCUUUCUUGUAUUAUUAGCUUGGUCCAUCUUUACUCGAUCAGUUACCUAAAAAAAAAAAGGUUAAACCCCAAUCUUGAGGGCCCCCACCACCCCGUCUCUAGAGCUUUGUGAAGGAGGUAAAUCGCUAGAUGUGUCCCAAUAGGCCAGGGAACAAGAGCUGCUUGUACAUUGCGCCUACAAGGAAUCCAAUUUCAUGUCUCGAGAAUCGAAUUCCCACACUGCGGCUGCCAGCAAUGCAUGAGAUAACUUCACUCCUGUCCUUUGCACUACUGGACUAUGCCCCGGGGGCGAUCAGUUACCAAAUAUUAUGCAACAUUGCUAGAGUGCCCUACUUACUAGAAAAUGAGGAUGAAUACAGACACGAAAUAUAAUAGCUUGAGUUUUUUUACAGUAGACUUUCACUUGAUAAGUGAUGGGAAAUGAUUUUCUAUGAAAUGUUAGCUGGAGUUUGUUACACCUUGAAAUCUACGAGGUUUAAGUAUCAACAUGGCAACGAAUCUCACAUAGGCUCCCAACGGUGCAACACAUGGCAGAUCUAUGCAUUCUUAGCUGUGUUUAGAGAAGGCAUGUAACUCACCAGUCCUUAUCUUCGCCAUUAUUGUCAUCCUUAUAGUAUUUGCACAACAAUGCCUUUCAACGAAGGCAUUGCUAGUCACAUCAACUCCUUAAUGCAGAAUGAUAAGAGCGAAACAGUUAGGUGACCGGUGGAUGAAGGUGCAUGUGACAUUCGAUUCUAAUUUUGGCGUACUUCGAGUAAGACGUGCUGGAUAAGGAAAUUGCCUUAUCAAUUCCUAAAAAUCAGUACAUAAUCCUUGGGGAUCAAGAAAGAUUUUGGGGAAUCAAUAUCUACAAGAAAAUCCAAUCGCACAAAAAAAUGAACUCGUGGAAGGAAAAAUACCAUAAUUUGACCAGCAUCAAACGAGCCAAUGAUAGUGUGACACAUGGAUUUUUAUUUUUUUUGUUCGGGUGGUUGGUGUGGGUAUGCAUAGCUUAACGUAAGAAACCAAUGUAUACAAUUAUCAAAGUUCAAAGCCUCGUAUGAAUAACCAGAGCCUGAUCUUGAGAGACUAUUAUUAUGCAUUUACCUAUGUGGUAAGUUACAUGACUACCAGUUAAACAAAAUGCCAAGCAAGCAUUUUAUCUUCGUAGGCAAAUAUAUUUGAGUGUGUUGCCUUCUCUAUCUUCUAGGCCUAGGCAGUAAGGCCACAUUCCACCGCCUCGCCCACUUUCAUUUUCAAGGCAUUGAGCCUCAUUGACACUCUUCUUGAGAUGACAUAACGUUCAACAAAACUUAUCACCGCCUUUCGGAGGCAAUCGAAGAGAUCUAACCUUUAGCUAUAACGAAGCGGACCUCUUGAGUCCGAGGAGAUUGAAGUCAACUCAUGUUUCCUUAGGACUUGUGUAAAAUGUAAUCUGAUACGUUGAAUUAUAUGUGAUUUGAUUGAUGCGACAUUUCUACAAAAAUAAUGACUGGUAACAUGGUCAAAUUCCUCCUCAUUUGCCUAAGAUAGGGUAUUGAAAGUCACAUGCCUAUAAUGACUAUAAUGUGAUAUUGUUGAGCUUAAGAGUGGGAGCAAUUCGAAUCGAUUUGGUUUCGAAUAGAGCCACACCGGACAAAGUACCAAUGAAAAUAUUAGAAAUGAAACCAUUGGUUCUAUAUCUAACUAUAGAAUCGAGCCGGUCAGCCCAAUUUGGUUCUUUAUAUUAAAAUUUUUAUCAAAAUAAAGUAUUAACUACUUUCAAUUAAAAAGAGAUGAAAUAGAGUUAACUAAAUAAGGCAACAAACAAAAAUACACUUCAAUGCUCAAGAUGAAUUGAUAAGAGAAUAAAAAGGAUAAUUUAUUAAACACAAUAUAAACUGUAAAAUUUAGAUAAAAAAAUGCAUGUAGUAUUUGUAAUCAAAUUAACCCCAAAGGGCAGAUCUUGAUUCUAAUGAUUGAACACUUUGAAAACAACAAAAAAUUUAAGUUCUUACGAAAGAUUGAGUUAAAAAUACACUUUUUUUUUUAUUGGAUUUGAAUUAAAUCUCUAAUUUUUUGUAAGAUAUUUAUAAAAUUAUUUAGAUUUAGAUGUACCCAUUAAAUAUUAUUGUAAAAGAAAGCAGAAGAAGAAGUGUGUAGAUAGUGAAAUUUUAGGCUCCCUCCCCUCUUAGCUAACCACCAUCAACCCCAUUUUUCACUUGUGCAGUAUAUCAAUAAAAAGAGAAACUAGGGCGAACCGAAUUCACUAUUGGUUAUUAAUGCAGUGCCAAGAAUCGAACCGAAACCGAUCACUCCAUUUAAUAAGGGAACCGGAAUUGAACCGAUUGGCUAUAUCGGGUUCCAUCGGCUAUGGAAAAAAAUGCUCACUAGUUAAGCUUCACAUGAGCUAUUAAGAUUAUACCAUGUGUGUAAAGUAUCCAAUAGAAUAGACCUCAUCUCUAUCUUUCUUGUUUAUAAAUACUCACACAUUGUGUCACUUGAAGAUAAUUGAAAAUUUGCAAUUAUCACUUUAGAAAUUCAAAUUCAGCUCCCGCCCCAUCCUUCUUUCGCGUUUCUCCUAUAUCCAAUUUAAUUUAUAUAUGACUUCAGUUUUUGAGUGCACAUGAUCGUGGAUCUCCGCCCCCUCUGCCCUUCGAACCUGCGAUCUUGCACCUCUAACAUGUGUACAAGUGUGUAGUAAUGAGCACGUGAGAAGAGAGAAAGUAGAAAUUUGUUGAUGUUUGAGUUCCAUCUAGGGAUCAAAAAUACUUUUUGACAAAUAUGGACUGAAUAGAAGACACAAGUUUUUUGUUCAUUAUCAUGUUUACUUUAUCCUAAAAAAUACGAAACUAGUAAUUUUUAAAUUCAAAAUUUUGUGGAAAAAAUGGUAAAAACAUCGAGUUUUACUCGAGACAAAGAAUCUGAAGAAUGUUAUGUUCACACUGCGAUAAGGACAUUGAUUGAAUAAAGAGAGAGGUGGGCACUACUCAAAUGAUGUUCCUUCUUGAUGUUAAUUGAUUGUUAGGGACAUUUCUUAUGAAUUCACAUUGACUUACUGUUUUAAAUUACUUUUUACGCGUCUGAUGUAGUAAGCUCUUAUUUGGUUUCACUAGAAAAGUUGAUAAAAAAAAUUUAAACGAAAAGGUUAACAAUUAAUUUUAACCACAAAUUAAUGAAAUCCACAACUUUUAUCAACAUUUCCAAUUACAAAUUCUAUCAACUUUUAUCAAAAUAUAAUAAAAUUUUAAUAUUUAGGAUAAAAAAACUAAACAGGGACUAGAUAUUAUUGAUUAGUGCAAUAAAUAAAAUUUUAAUCUCUAUUAUCUUUUUAAAUAUAUUCAAUUUAAGUUAUCUUAUUAAUUUCUUACUAAUCAGAAAUCACUCCUAAUACUGGCAGAAUUUUCGACCACAUUUUAAAAAUAAAAUUAAGGUUGCCAAUGUCAUGCAUUUCGUCAUGGUUUGAGAAAGUAAGUAGAACCACGAAUUGAGGAUAUUUUUAGGCAUGAGGUUCAAAAUAUCCAAAAAGUCUCACUGUCACGAUGUAAAUAAAACAACAAAAUUCAAAACCCUUUUAAGGGGUAAUGGAAACCGUCUCCUAUACUCCCUAUCUUUGUCCUAACUAACGCGGAAACAAUAUACUUUUAUUUUAAUAAAUUAAGAAUCGUCAACUUCAUUAAUUUUUGAUUUACAGUUUUAAGAUUGUGUAACUCUUACAUAUAUAAUAUUUUUGUCAUUCUUUUACUUUCAUCUCAAUUGAAGUCACAUUUAGCCCCCCUUUGGCUCCCAUUACAUUACAUUCUAUUUCUCUCUCUCUUGUUUUCAACCACAUAAUCUUUCAUAAUAUAAUAUUACACGUAAAUCAAAAACUUUUUUUUCAACCACUCAUUUUUCAAAAAAAUACUAUUCCACCCAUUUUCAUUUUUCGAAAAUGAGGGCCAAAUAGGGGCUUACUUUUUGGCCUAAAUACUUAUUUAUUUUAGUACAACUACAGAUACCCUUUUACUAAUAUCAAACUUGAAGAGGCCCAUAAUGAAAGGCUAAUGGUGUGGACUGUGGGGGUGCGGGAGUAGACUAUAAAAUUCAGGAUUUUUAGAAAGGUCUUGCAAAAUUGAACCAGGUCUAAUCUUGGUCAAUUAGUUGCCUAAAAUUAGGCAUGACAAAUUGAUAGCUGGGCUAGGGAAAUUGUGCGUAUAUGGUUGACGGAUAAAAAGGAUUAAUUUAAAUGAGUUUAAUAUAUAAACUUGAAGAACGGUUAGCAUUCUUGAUUAUGACAAAUCUAUUACAAAGAUAUAAUUAACUAUGAUCGAUAUGAUUGAAGGAAAAGACUGACACGAUAAAAAUGUAAAUCAAGGAUUGAGCAUGUUUAACAAGGUUAUAUGUUCUACAACAAUUGACCUUGAUGAAGCAUCGUAUUCAACUUUCUGACUAAGCAACUUAACUUCGUCUUAGACGUGUAUAUUUUUUUAGUGUUUAAGAUUCUCACACACUUAGUCGGUGAAUUUGAUUAUGUGCUGAGGAAGAAGUAGAAUAGACGUUUUAAUAUGUACAUUAUGUUUAUCAAUAAUGUUUGAAAAAUGGAUAUGAAGAUACCAAGAAUGCCUUUAGGAUAAGAGGAAUGAGAGAAUCCAGAAAGAAAUAUCAACAAGUUGUUGUGCCAACAAAGUGGAUUUUCUGAGUUCAUUUGAUUGAGCACGGACGAAAUCUAAAUCCAAAGGGUUCCCUUGAAAAGAAGAAAGAAAAGAGUGAAGCCAAUAGAUUUGAUUUGCCUUAUCGAAGGCCUAUGAGAAGGUGGCCUUGCCAACUAGGUUAAGAUUUCCUAUAACUAUCGCCAACUAGACUCGCUGGUUAAUAUGUCCCCUUAAACAGUGUGAAGUUGAUAGCAUGAUUAUCACUUUACAACUUUUUGUUCUUAAAGUGGAGGAGGAUUUUCAUGAACUUCUAUCCAUUCAUUGGACUUGACAGUGCCAUAAGCUUAUGGACCAAAGGCAUCUUGAUGAGUGGAUGACUUCUUGUUUACACCCCACACAGCCACCCCAGUUUUUCCUUGGCUUGAUUUUCAGUUUCUGAAAGUGGAAUUGUGGGGCAACUUUAGAAUCCACGCUACAUUGUGGCAUCGCAUGCACCUUUGAUAGGAAUGGAUUUGCGGGCAUUUGGAAUGUCUAAAUAGUUAUAGGAAAUUGGUGUUUUCUGGGUUGAAGUCUGUUGCCAAGAGAAAGAGUAACCAUCUGGUUUGAGCUUGUCAUUAGGUUUGGUGCAAAGAAUAGUGCAUUUUGUGAAUGAGAAGAGGGCACCAUGUGGUUAUCAUUGAGGUUUUCCUGGUCAAACAAGGGCCGAAUAUGAACCUAAUAAAUCAGAAUAAUAAAGGAUUUUAUGCUCCGAUGCAUAUGAAAUUUUCCAAAGAAGAGAAUAUGCAUUUUUAGGACAUGAAAAACUUACAAAUAGAAGUAAAUAAAAUUGGGAAGGAUAAAAAGGAUUGAAAUUGAAAUACAUGUGGCUCUUUUAACCUGACCUACCUGUGAAGGGACCUAAGUGCGAGACUAGAGGGAAAUAGUAGCCAAACUCAUCGUUGGCAAGUGAGCAGAGGACCUCUAGUAGGCCGCGCCUCCAACACUUUUGCACGUGAGUUGAGUACCAAUUGUAGGCCUCGCCUCUACUUGCACAAAUGCAUUAAAGCUCGCCAAGCUAGGUGAGCUAGGCACUUUGGAUACAGCCUACCUCACAUGCCUAACUUAACUCGUCAAUGACUUGGUAAAGGAUCCAAGGAACUCUAAAUAGGCUUCAGAAAGAGAAUCUUUGAUAAAGAUCGUUCCUUCAAUUUAGCAAUAAAUUAGAUUGCGACUAACUUAGCUUGAAGCAUGGCUUGCUGUUUUGAGGCUUGAUACUACUCUUGGGAACAUUGAUACAUCGACUUUCAAGCAUCUCGUAAUUGAGCGGUGCUACCAUCAACAAAUCUAACAUGGACAAUGAUUGUUGAACAUGGAUAGAAUGAGAGUUGAACUCCUCUCUCUCUCUUUCCCUUAAAGCCCUUGUUUGAGCCCCAUUUUUGUGAAGAAAAUGAAUUUUUGAAUAUUGUAUUGAUGGGAAAUGUGUGGUUAAAAAAUAAGGAAAAAAUUUUUAUUUGUGAAUAAUAUUAUUUUAUUGAAGAAAGUGUAGUUAAAAUGAUGUCAAAUCAAUGUUGAAGAAUAUAUUUUGGUUGAAAAAUGGGGCUCAAGCAAGGGCAAAAGCUCGUGGGUUUGGUGUAGUGAAAAAGAAAAAGAAGCUUUAGUUUCUGAAUAGGGCAAGCAUACCUAGGAAAUCGAGAUUGGGAUACCAGUCGCCUACAACAUGAACCAUGUCAAGGAAAAUUGAGAGGGGGAAAAAAAGGAAAGAAAAAAACACAAGUAACAAAAUAUUACCAUUAAAGGAAAUAGACAUAAAAAAGGUAAAACUAGGCUAUUCCCCGUCUCUUUCUGCUAGUUGGUCCAUGUUAUCUAAGUCCUCAAUGCCAUUACUUGCUGAUUCAGUGUUAAGAUUUGAAGUUCCAUAUUAAAAUGUCAACCUUAUUAAGAGAGUAGUUCAAAUUCUUAUAAGUUGGUCUAUGUUUUCAUCUUCAUUCGAUAUGAAAUUUUAUCCUUUAACAUGCCCAUACAAAAUGGUUGUUCGUUUGAGCAGACCAAUCUUGAAAUUCGUGUGUUCAUUUUUUGUUGAGUUUAAAUUGGAUCGAAUUGCACAUUUAAGUUUAAUGGGUUUUGAUGCUAUGUUAAAAUUUAGGGUUCAAUCUUAAAAUGUCAACCUUAUUAAAAGAAGUAACUCAAAUCUUAAUAAAUUAGUUUAUAUUUUCAUCUUUAUUAGUUGUGAAAUUUAUUGCUUAACAUUCAUAAGGAAGAGAGGAGCCUUCUUAUCGAUGAACCCCAAGUGUCCUUUCACGGGGCUUCAUCCGAGCUGUUGCCCACCAUGGCUUGACCUCCUUGCUCAAUAAAGCUCUUGGACUAUCUUCAAAGUGCACAUCAAUCAGAACAGCAACAUGAUUUAACAUAUUUCAUAGCCAAUUUAGAAGAUUAAUAGUGGCUACACAUAGAUUGACACACACACACACAUAUAUGAAUAAUUACUUUUAUCAUUGACAUUUGAAAAUGGAAGCAUAUGCGGCAAAUAUGAAAGUACUAGAUAAGUGCAAAUCAACGGAAAGUGAUUUUAAAUUUUUAAUACAAGCUCAAUUGAUGGUGGAGAAAAAUGAAAAGAUAGCAUUGUUUAUGUACGGUUCGUGCAUUUCUUUAAAGAAAUUGAUUAAAAGCUCUUAAAUGACUUGCCAUUUCCAGCAGGUCGAGCAUGCUUUUAUUUUUAAGUAACUUUUUCGUAAAAAUGUUUGAGCUUUUCCUAGAAGUUGUGUGUUUAUUUUGGAAUGAUUAUUUCAAACUUCAAACACUUAUUUUAUAAAAGUUAAUCAUUCAAACACUUAUUUUAUAGAAGUUAAUCUUUACUUGUUUCAAAUGUAUGUUCAUUUACAUAAUCUUUAUAACUCCUUUGUGGUCGAACGAUUUGGGCUUGGUAUUGAAGUAGAUGGUGGUUGAUUGUUGCGGAAGCUCUCUCAAAAGGAUCUUCAAACAGUGGUUUUCCAGGCUCAGCCCAACGUACCUUUUUCUACCAACAACCAAUCCAAACGGCUCCAAACUACAACCAAUUGAUUCACCUUGGUUGCUAUUCAAUCUUACCCACGUAGCACAAGAAAGGAUGAUGAUUUAUCGCCACAAAGGCUAAGAGAAAACACUACAAAGAUAUACUAAAAAAAAGAUCUCACCACACUUAUCCUAUCCCAUUCCGUGUCGCUCACACCUCGAGAACAUAUCUUCUCUCAUCGCCCACCAAGCUCACUAGACAGAUCACUCAACUCAUGUCUAACUGGUAAGUCACAAUAGAUCCUAAGUCCACGGGAUAAUCCUCUAUCUCCACAUCACUUCUCCCAACCUACGUGGAUAAUGGGUCUCCACCUAACAGAAGUGAUAGAAGUGUCUCUCUCACACUCCACCUAAUCAGGGUCUCUUCCAGAUAAAGGAUCCUAGACAUUUGAUCACAUCUCCACUCGUGAUCCAAAUAUCACACUCUACAUCCCUCGUGCAUAUCAUCAAUGCAACUCUAAGCAUCUAUACUCCACCUUACCAAAAGACAUCCAACUCACUGCUAAUGCAUCUCAAACUCACUAUGGCAAAACAACACCUUUCAGUAACCACAAAUGUUACUCCAAUCACCAAAUCUCCAAAAAAUUCACAAAGAAAAUGGCGAAGGCGGCACUCACAAAGAGAAAUCGAAGAAAGAGUCGGUUACUUCACAACACUCACAAAGAUAAAGAAAGUAACUUUAACAUGGCUGCCUCACAUAAUCUCACAAACCACACAGGCUCACAAAGAUAAAGGAGAUAAACGGCUGCCCAACUUUCUUCUCACUACCACACUCUCACACCAUUCACAGAGCAAGUAGAGUACGCCACAAAACUUAACCCACUAUGCAUGAAAACAUAUUACACAAAGUAAUAAGUCACUCUAGUUCAUGCAAUUACACACAUCAAACAUAUUGAAAGUGUAAAAUCAACAUUACAACAGAAUUAAGUGAUCACAUACAUACAGAAAGGAUUACACACAGAUGCAAUGCAGUAAUCCUGUUUAUUUUCUCAAUAAACAUCACUAGGAUCACUACUCGACACUAAAGUCGCAUUCGCCUUGUCUCUAUCAUCAUCUUUCCUUUUAUUAUCAUCCUAGGACAAUCUUUUUCAACUAUGUCCAAAUUUUACCACAGUUAAAAUAUAUGUUAUUUUUUGCAUUUACCUUAGACCCAUAUUUGCCAAUAAUGCCAAAUAAUGACCACAAGUAAAGUAUGAAUAUAAUUUACAUAGAAUAGUCCAGUAAACAUUCCUAAGGUCACAUGCAAUUCUAAUAAUGCAGAAAAAAUUGACAAAAAAUUCACAAAGAAUUUAAGGCAAAUAAUUAAUAAAUAAUUUUUAGGUCUAACAACAGGCAAUGGUUACCCCUUCAUAGUAACCCCAAACCUAAUGUCACCCCACACGAUGACCUCUAAUGUAAAAAACAAAUAACUAACAUACACAUUUAUUUUAACUACAAAAAUAAAAAGCAAAGAAUACGAUAUCGAGCAGACACGUCUGAAGGUCCGUAAAUUAUGAGACAUGCGAAUCUAACACUUUAGGACCACCACUAUUCGUCCUAAAGUCUCUGGAAAUUGCAGCAAUCAAGAAAUCACGAUCGAGUUCCGAACGUCCGAAGAAUAACGCUAUCCAGAUUCUUCUGCAUACCCUGAAACAAAAAACUUUCAACACGAAAAAUAUUAGAAAUAAUAUGAGGAACAAAUUGCCAAAAAAUGGUCUACGCGCCCGCACGUGCCUGUAGAAGCCUCUGCACGUGAUGUUCACGCGCCUCCGACACGAGUCGUCGCCGUCCACACGCGCCUGACCGUCGUGAUCGCCUCCACCUGCACGUUAUAUCUGUGGUCUCCGUUUCCCCAAAGUCCUUCUGGAUUGGUCAGAAAACACGAAAAAUGGAGACUGGCUUUAACAGUUUUUGGACAACUUAUUCAAUCUUAUUUCUGCUGCGUUUCUGCCUAUUUUCUGGACGAUUUCUGGUAGAUUUCACGAGCCAAAACCUUCACCUUGAAGCUCUGAUACCAAUUGUUGUGGAAGCUUUCUCAAAUGGAUUUUCAAACAGUGGUUUUCCAGGCUCGGCCCAACGUACCUUUCUCUACCAACAACCAAUCCAAACGGCUCCAAACCACAACCAAUUGAUUCAUCUUGGUUGCUAUUCAAUCUUACCCACGUAGGACAAGAAAGGAUGAUGAUUUAUCGCCACAAAGGCUAAGAGAAGACACUACAAAAGUAUACUAUGAAAGAACCACCAAUUGCACACGUUAUACCAGCAUUCUGGACACUUCUGGACACCUUUUUUCUCACACAAAAGGGGGCAGCCGGGAUUCUCUUGUUUCUUCUCUCAAAAUCACACAAUCAUCAUAUCAAAGUGGCUAGGGUUAUAGCCAAAUAUAUACUCUAGGGUUAGGCUUUAAGUUGGGCCAUUAAAGGAGUAAACGGACCAAGAUUCAAGUCAUUCAUAAGGAAUACAAUUGGGCCGGGUGUAACUCAUGGACUUGGUUGUUGGACUUAUUUCAUUUAUCGGCCUAUACCUAUGAAAUAAUAUUAACUCACAUUAACAUCAUAACUCGAGAUUUAUUGGAUAUCAAAAACCCAACAUUGAUAAAGGAAUCCUUGAUCAUAAUUUCCAGUAUUCAUACAACGUCCAACAUGAAACUUGUGAUUGGUAGUUUUGUCCUUUAUCCAAGUUUAGCAACUAAAAAAAAAAAAAAUUUCAUGGGCAAAUAUUUACUCAUUCAAUCUCUAUUUCAUUUGUAGGGCUCGUUCGUGACUUCUCCCAAUAGAUGAAUUAAUCUUCGGUUCAUUUCGUCAUCCCAACUAGUGAAUCAUUAAUAUUCAUUUUUUCAAUAAAAUCUUUUGCAUGCACAGGAUCCAUCGUUCUCAUCGCUUCGUACUUAAUGAUUAGGUCCGAAUGGGUUAAUGAUAGUUGAUUGGUAUAUUCUGUGAAUUUGAAUAUUGCUCAUAAUAAUGGGUUUUGCUAUAUGAUCGACAGGCACCGGCCAAUAGAGUCAAAGAAGAUUAAUCCUAUAACAAUUGGGCCUUAUGAAUAUGCCCCCAUAGGUUCUUUAAUGUUGAUUUGUUGGGCUGGACAAUUGUGUUUGAGCUGUUAGAUACAAUAUCAGGCUUUAGUCGUACAGAAAAGCCCACUAAGUAAUAUCUACUAUUGGGCUUUCUUCCAUAAAUAAUUACAUUGUGGGUCCAAUCCAUUGGCAUGAGAUUACCAGAAGUCCAUCAAGGAGAUAAUAGGCACAAACUCCAAAACUCAAUGGUCAACCUCAACCAGCUCUCUUAAAAAAAAAAUUGGCCCCAGCUACUAAUCAUGUUAGGGAAAAUUUUAUAACUAAAAGAUUAAUUAUGAUUCAUUUUAAAAUUAAGAGAUAAGAUUUAAAAUUUCAAAAAUAAGAUAUUAAUUAAAAUUUAUUUAUGAAAUAAUAAAUUAAGAAUAUAUUUUAUUAAGCCCCUGUUCGUUUGCCAUUUCUUCCUACAUUUUAGAAGAAAUCAAGCCGUCUAUGGGCCCCACCAAGCCGUAAAAUUUGAUUACGAAUUUCAAGAAGCCAACGGCUAGAAAAUGCAUUCCCAUUUGCUGAAAAUGGGAAACAAACGUAGGCUAAAUAAAAUAUACGAAUAUCACAAUUAUACAAUUUAUGGUCAAAAUUACGUACUUACAGGUUACAACUUAUUUUUUAGUCACAUAUCAUCAAUUUAAUUGGUCAAAAAUUAAAAAAUUUAUAGAUCAUAAUUUAUUUAUUGAUCACAAAUCAUAAAUUUUAUAAAUCACAAUUUAAAAGCAAUUAUAAGCUUUUCCUCGUGUACAACUUCUUGAAAUGCACCUUUUACGGUGCAUGGUCUUUAAUUUUAAAUUUACCUAACCUAGUUAAGAAGCCUUAAAUGACUAUUGGUUAGGUUGUCAAAUAAAAAUUGAUAGGGCUUGCUAUGAGCCAGCUCAUGACAACAACUUGAUAGACAUGAACAUGUACUCUCCUCACAUGGUAUCCUUCUUGCAAAAGGAAAAGCACUGGCCCUCUCUUUUCAUUAUGCGGAGAAAGACACUUUGGAUGAUUUCACAAUGCUGAUGUCAUAUUAGAUGUGUUUUCUUCAAGAUAAUUUUUUUUUUAAAAAAAAUAUUUAUUUAGUUUAUAUCUUUAGAUGAAAUAAGAGAAUAUAAAGAUCUUGAGUUUUAAUUUUAAAUAAUGAUAUAAAAUUAAGACCCAUUUGACAAGGUUUUUGCUUUUGUUUCUGAUUCUUUUAAAAAAAAAGAAGAAGAAGAAUUAUAUCCUUGUUUGAGCUCCAUUUUUGUGAAGAAAAUGAAUUUUUGAAUAGUGUAGUGAUGAGAAAUGUGUGGUUAAAAAAUAAGAAAAAGUUUUUAAUUUACGUUUAAUAUUAUUUUAUCGAAAAAUGUGUAGUUGAAAUAUGUCAAAUCACUGUUGAAGAAUGUAUUUUGGUUGAAAAAUGGGGCUCAAACAAGGAUUCACACCACAAUUUUUAUUUCUUACAACACAUUUUAAUUACAAUUAAGGUUCCUAAUCUUUGCUCAUUAUAACAUUUAUGCCCCUAAUAACUAUUUACGUCAUUCAUAUCCUCAAACUUUUCAUUAGUUAAUACAUUUUGUCCAAAAGUUUGAUGAAAUAGUGUAAAACAACUUAUUUUCCCAUCAUAUUGUAUUUGAUAACACUUUCCUCUAAAAGCUCUUUUAAUCGGACAAAAUUUUUUUAGAAAAUUAUUCAAAUAUAUUCAAAAGCAAUUUCUUAGUUAAGAAGUAGCUUUCCAAACACUCUACCAAGGAUCAUAAUUAUGUAUAAAUUCCUAUUCAAUACAAUGACAUGAUUCAUAUUGUAUCAACAUGGUACCAUAAUUUAUCCUUCUCUCUCUCCCAAGUCUAUUUCAUCUUGGUUAAUUAUCAACAGCGUCAACUUAUUUUUCUGAAUAUUAAAUCUACUCAUGGCUGAGAAGGUAUGAAUAUUUUUAAGCUCUGUGUUUAUUUCUACUUCUAUUAUAUGAACAUGGCUUUGGAUUUUUCUACACAAAAUAUUAUUCAUAUUUAAAUUUUGAAGCUACUGCUUUUGUCUUCCACAUACUAUCUUCAUCAUUUUUUUCCCAUCAGGUUACUGAGAUGGUGCUAAAGGUUGAUCUUGAUCUCCAAUGUCAUUCCUGCUACAAGAAAAUCAAAAAAAUUCUUUGCAAAAUUCCUCGUAAGUCUUUGAAUUCGUCCAUAUUAUGAUUGAACAAAAACAAACAUUAUUCAUUUUCGUGUUGUCGACUUGUUUGGAUAAGAACUGACUUAUUUUUUUGAUGUAAAACUUAAUGGGACGAAAGAAAUUAGGGGGCAGAUAUAUGAUGACAAGCAAAAUACAGUGACAAUCGAUGUAGUAUGCUGUAGCCCAGAAAAAAUUCGCGACAAAUUGUGCUGCAAAGGUGGAAAGGUUAUCAAGAGUAUUGAAAUAAAAGAGCCCAAAAAGAACAAGAAGCCCGACAAAAGUCCAGAGGAAAACCCCGGGGGCCCUACGAAGACCGAAGUGAGCAAACCACCUGAGCAACCGCCUCCACCACCCGUGAAUAAGCCCGAAUCAAUUCCACUUCAUCCACCAGCACGGACCUGUUGUGGACCAUGUUCAGAAGGUCAUGGUGGGGGUCCAUGCUACCGUGGGUACCCAUCUUUUCCACCGCGUUACGACGGUUGUUAUGGUUAUGGGUACUGGUGUAGGUGUGGAUGUGGGUGUGGGAGUUGGAGGGGGUGCCAGUGCCACCUGAGAAAGUGUAUUUGUGAUUGUUACAUAGAAGAAACCCCCUCUGCUGAAUGCAAGAUUAUGUAACAAGUAAUUUGGGAUAGUUUUCCAUUUUUUACCAUGAUUGGGUUGUCAGCAAAUUUUCAGUCAAUUUGAGGCAUUGGUCUAAAACCUAGAUGGUGACCGAUGUUGGUGUCUUGGUACUAUGUUUAUCAUGUGGGGUACCCAACUUUAAGAUGAGUUGUAUGAAUAUCACUUAUCUUCAAGUUAGUACAAUAAUGUCAUGUAACCCCCCCAUCAAAUUUAACGUCUAGUCAACUUAUUAUGUUAGUUGUGCAAGUAAAUCAAAACGAUUUAAUUGUACCAAAUUGACAGUGAAUAACAUGAAUGCAGCUUUGCUUAAAGUUGGGUGAAUGGCAACGCAUUUAACUUCUAUGCUUAUAGAUUUGUCAGUUUGUUAAUGAUUUAGAUUGAUUGUAUUUUUCAUAUAUUUAGCCCAUGUUUGGUAUAAAGUCAAUCACUUUUUAGUAUAUUUUAAUAAAAAUUGAUGGGUUGUGUGGUUGAAAAGUUGUAGAUCCCAUAAAAUAUAUGAUAAAAUCAAUUGUUAACUUCGGCUAAAAUUUUAAUCCAAUCAAAUUGGGGUUUUAUAUAGUUGUGUCACAAGUUGUGCCAUAUAUAUUAGGCCAUGUUUGGUCUAGAUUAGAAGUGGAUUAAAAUUUUAAGUCAAAAUCAUUAAUUAAUUUUAAGUUUUAACCACACACUUCAUAGGAUCAACAUGUUUUCAACCACACAUUUUAUCAACUAAAUUUACUAAAAAUUUGAUUUUAAACUGCACCAAACAAAGGCUAAUUUUACAUAGUGAUGUCAAAAAAGGUGAGAAAGUUUGGGUCCUGCCAAAUUUUCUUAAUGACUCGAUACUUUAUAGAUUUUGCUAAAAUAUUACAACCGAACAAACUGCAAUCUUUAACAAUAUAUUUCAUAGGAUUUACAACUUUUCAAUUACGAUUUCAUCAGUUUUUAUUAAAAUUUUCUAGAUUUUUAUCAAAAGCUUUAUCAAAUAGCAUCUUAAUCUUGUUUCUCAUGAAAAAUAUAUUCUAGAUGUUAGGUGCUUCAAGACUAUGUACUUGUUUGAUAGAAAUUUAAAAUCGAAUUUUUAGUGGAUCGAUUUUAAUAAAAUUUGAUGAAAUUUGUAGUUGAAAAAUUGUGAAUUUCAUACAAUAUAUGUUUAAAAUUAAUUAUUAAUUAAAAUCAAUAUUUUAAUCCCACCAAACAAGACAAAAUAUUUUCUUGACUCUUUUUUUUUUACAUACAAAUGAAGCCUUCCUAAUCUUUUAGUGACAAGUUUGUCUGUAGAGAUGAGGGUUAAUAUUGGACGAUAGAGAUGGUUUUGACAAGUGUGAUAGGUAGGUAUUUGACCACAACCGCAGCAAUGAUGGUAUUACCAACUAUUAUAACUACAUAUUCUGUAGUUAUAACUACAUAUUACAACUAUUAACUACCUAUCACACACACACACACAUAUUGGUUUGAGUUAAAAAAAUUGAUAAAAAUUUAAGUUAAAAUCAAUAAUUUAUUUUAAUUACACAUUUAAUGAGAUACAUUAUUUUUAUCAUCUUUUUAACAAUACAUUUCAUCAAAUUUUGUUAAGAUCUAUGAAAAAUCUGUUUUUUUAUCAAAAUGAAACGGGGGCUUAAAAUCAGUUAAGAAAAGUUCCUUUUUACCAUGUUUAAUUCAUUGAAAUAUUUACUGGAACUGAAUUUUUGGGGUUUACAGUUCAAUUUUACUUGUCUAUGUUUCCAAUUUUGUGAAAAUUAUUAAUAGAAUAUUAUUGAUUAUUAACGAGGCUCUAAAAAAGUUGAAAAAAUAAUAUUGAAAACAGAUGAGUAAUAUAAUUUUUAACUACGCCAUGUUAUGAUUACAAUGAAGGUCUUAAUUUUUGUUCAUUUUUGUGUUUAUAUCUCAAACUCCUUUUUCAUUGUAUUUAAUCUUAACUUUAUAUUAUUAGCACAUCUUGUUCUCGUUGAUGGUCAAAAAAUAUGUUAGGAGAAAGUAAAUUUACUCUCUGUACUUUUAAAUAAGCAAGAUCAAUAACAAAUACAAUAGUCUGACAAAAUACUUUCCUCACAUUAACAUGAUAUUUGGACAAAAAACGUUUUUGGAGAUAAAGUGUUUUAAUUAAUUGAAAUUAAACAUAAAAACACAUCAAAAAAGGUUGAAGAUAUAAUUGUAAAAAUAAGAAAAAUUUGAGGACCUUCAUUGCAAUUACAAUUCGAUGCAGUUAAAAAGUUGUGGUAUGAAUAUAAUUAUCAUUUUACUUAUAUCUAUAGGUUUUCUUCUUUUUUUUUUUAUUAAAUAAAGAAAUUGUUGUAAAGUCAGAAAAUCUUGUAUAUCUACAAAAGUAAGAUCCAAUGCAAAUAUGCAAUACAAAUGACACUGCUUCAAGUCAAAGUUAAAUAAUAUAAAUAUUCAAGUCUAUCAAACUUAGCCUCUAUUUGGUCCUCGUUAUUUCAAAUUAUACCUUUUGAAAUAGUAACGUGUGGUUAAAAAAAAAAUUCGAUUUACGGGUAAUAUUAUUUUAUAGAAGAUUGUAUGAUUGAAAAUAAGAAAGAGAAAAAUAUAUUUUUGGGAUAAUGAGAGCCAAAUGGGGACUUACUUGAAUAAAACCACAUACUGUGGAUUUACUUUGAGCGAAUAUACAAUAUCUUGUUCAUUUACCCAUAACUAGAAGAUUAAUAUCACGGUGGUUCGACAAAAUCUUCAUACAUUGACUUUUUCGGAAGUCACCUUGUUGAUAUCCUCCUACAACAAGGUAGGUCACUUGGUGGGGUUUCUUUGAGACAAAGAAACAAUAAUAAGGCUUUAUAUAUAUACACACACACACACAUAUACAUACAUACUUCAACAGGCUCUUUACAUUUAAUACUACCAAAAAUAUUUAUUAUUUGUCCUGUGUUUUAUUUUAACGAGCUUCCAUCCAAAUUAUUAUGUUGUUUUUCUCCAUUAAAAAUUGCAAUAUGUAAUAUCUCGAAUAUACAUACAAUAUAUUAUGAGGCAUAAAUGCAAGUUUCGAGAUUUUAGGGUAACUUAAUAUUUUUACCAUUUUCUAAGGACCUAGUGUUAAUAUUCUUAAUAAUUGGAUAUAUAUGAGUUUUACAUGAAUUUGAAUUUUAAUAUUAUUUUGGAUAUAUAUUGAAUUAUUAUUUAAUUAUCUGAUAUAAAAGUAUUUAGAUAAAACUUUAAAUUUGCAUAAAUCCACACUGGAAUCUUAUCCUCAUCUAGUUAGAAUUUUCUUAAAUUUGAAUUUCAUGAUAAAUUUGUUUGUUGAAAGGUCAAUUUAAAUUUGAAUUAAGAGUCCUAUUAGAAUUUUAAUUAAGUAACAAUCAUUAUCUAAUGACAUCUAUAAUUAUCCUCUUGUCGCACUUUAAUUCAGACAAAUUAAAGAAGGGAGAGAGAAAAGAAAAAGAAAAGGAGAGAGAGAGAAAGAAAGAACUAGAAAGGAAAGUGAGAGAGAAAAGAAAGGAAAAGAAAAGAAAAAGUUUUUUGGUGCGAUUCACUCGUAAGAAUUUUCACUCUUAAAUAGUUUAAGUAUAUGAGAAAUUUAACGAACAAGGUAUGGAUUUCUCUAAAUGCUAAAUGAUUUUGUGUUUUCAUUUUUUAAUGUUAUAAGAUAAGUAUUUUAUGUGCUAUUACGUUAUCAAAGUUAAAGAAAAAUAUUAUGGAUAAUACCAUGGGGUAUUAUUAUGUAGAUUUACACAAAAACUAGCCAUGGGACUACAUACCAUAAGUGGAGGUUGAGAAUGAGUAUGACUUAAAGUGAAAAUGAGACGAUCAUGUUUCUAUCCCAUUAGAAAAUUAUGUUAUGUACGUAUUUUACUCUUUUUUCAUAUAUAUAUCAAAUUGUGAAAAAUACUAAUAUGAAAUAUGUAAUGAGUGUAUCUAUAUGCGCAUUCCAUAUUAAAAAUAUUUUAAGAUACUUGAUUGAUCGAGGUUGGAGAACGAGACUGCUGACGAUAUUGAUGCCACUAGAUCAAGAAUUUUAUUUCCUUUCAAUAUUUAUUAUUUAGUUUAAAAUUAUUUAGCAAUCAGACAUUUAUUUUCAAAAUCAAUGGAUUUAUAUUUCAUUAGUGGAUUGUAUUUAUUUGACAUAUUACAAGGUAACAAUAAAACUUAUUUUAUUCUGCAAAGUUCUUCAAUUUUUUUGUAUUACAAUGUGUCAAUCAACUUUUAUAAUAACUAAAGGAAUUAUUUGAAUAACCUACAGAACAUAGGUUUCGGGCAUUAUAGUAUGGUAUCAGAACUCAGGCAAUUUUUCCUGCAUACGUUGUGAAAUUAAAAUUUUAUAUUUCUUUAUAUGUUAAAAUUUUAUAUAAGUUUUGAUCCACACAACAUUUGAAUCAGCAUUAUCAACUUCUAACCACGAUCUAAGGUAUGAAAUUACUUUAGUUUUAAAAUUAACAAGUGAUUGCUUGACCUUGAUAUAUUCUCUUUGUAAAAAGUUAAAUUGUCGUAUUUUAUAGAAACUUCAUGACUGUGCUAUUUGAUUUUACGGAAAAAAAUUCAUUUUUUGAGUUUUCUUUAUUUGCAUAUUUGUAGGAUUGAAAGACUUAGAAAAAAAGACCUAAAUUAUCUAAGGCAAGUUAGGGAUGUAGGUGAUGCACUAGUAACCCGUUCAUCACAUGAAAACCUUUUCAGUGGAACAUUAUUCAAAUCAAUAAGACGAAAAGUAAUAAUGAAACCCACUAUUUUAUUUUAUUUUUUUUAUGUAAAGCCCAUUUAGCAAAAUUUUAUUGGAAACAAUAAGAAUAUAUUGAACAAAAACAACACUAUUUAUACUCAAGUAUUCUUGUUGUCAACUAUAUCAGGUUAGUUGAAUUAACUUGAAUGACCUAUAAUAUACAAUCCCUAUAUUUAAGGUUUAGUUAACAAUUAAUUUAGCACGAGAAUUACUAACUGCUAUGCUAGGAAUGUCGUAGCAAGAACCACCUCAACAGCUUCGAGAUAGCCCUGGAUUGUCUUUGAUUAUAUAACAGUUUUACAAGAUGCACCCACUCGUGUUUGAAGGUGGCAUUGAUCCACUGGCUGCUGAAGAAUGGCGCUUCGCCAUUUUGAGCAUAUCUUCAGGUUUAUGGAAUGUACUGACGCACUAAAAAUUCUUUUUAUAGUAUUUACGAUGGAGAAAGGAGCAAGUCAUUGUUAGAAGAUGACUUCUGGAUCCCGUACCAAGGAGUAGCAGCGCAACUUUACAUGGGCACGAUUCAAACAGACAGUGCUUCAGAAGUACUUAGGGUUGGAUAUGGUCCGAUUCAAUUCAGUUCUCAAGAGAAUUGAAUUGAAUCGAAUCUGAAUUUUCUAUAUUUAGUAAGUGGAACCGUUCGGAUUUGGUUAUAUUAAUACCACACACAUAUACACCCUCUCUCUCUCUCUCUCUCUCUCUCUCUCUCUCUCUCUCUCUCUCUCUCUCUCUCACACACACACACACACACACAAACACUUGCACACACACUUUUUAAACAAUCAUUUAAAAUCUUUUUUUUUUAAAUUCUCGAUCAUUGUCCACCGUGAACAAUGACACGCACUAUUCACGUUUAAUUUUUUGUUUAACUUUAAAGUCUAAAUAAGCCUACAUAAAAUUUAUUGGUCUCUACUACCAAAUGUAACAACCCAAAUUUUAAUAUUUAAAUCAUUAUUAAAAGUUUCAUUUCAUAAUUAAAUAAACAUAUCAAAAAUCACAACAUGAAAAUUUUGGUUCCACCAAUAUUAAAUAAAACAUAUAGAAAAACAUAACCAAAUAAAACAUGUUCCAAAAUCUAAAUAACAAAAUCCACGUACUAAUAAAACUAAAAUAAAUGCUGAAAAUAAAAUUCAUAGUUAUGUUACACCGGAUUUUAUUUAUUAAGUCCAAUGAAUCCAAACACAAUGACCGCACCUUAUCGCCUGCAAACCAAUACUUGUUCUAACCUCUGAAAUACUUAAUAUGACAUAAAAAUAAUGGUGCAAUCUCGAAUAAAAAUAUUUGAUCACGCAUCAAAAAUAUCAUACUAUGAUCAUAAAUUUAGGGACCGAUAAUAACUCAAUACAUAUCACAUCUACGGUACUGAAUGACCAUAUCAUAUAUAUCAUAUCAUAUUUUUACCUUUCACAAGUAUAAUAAUUCGAUAACACGUAAAAACAAUUUAAACGGGAUAAAAACAAAUGCACCUCGUAAUCCUAACUCAUUAAAUCAAAUAACUUUUUUGCAAGAUAAAAUCCAAAAUCACGUUUCAAACUUUAUUUUCUGCCUCUGCUUCUAUGCUGUGCAUGUGUAUAUAUAUUUAUGUUGAAUUAAGCUUGGCGUACAGAUUUUACCUUACAGGUUCCCUACAGGUAAUUUAAAAAUGAUCAACUUGAUGGCCCACUUGUUGGUAAUAAAAAAAUGAGAAAAAUCAUAAUGGAGGGAAAGUAAAUGCAUCCCACGUGAAUACACUUUCAUUCCCCCCAAAAUAGCAAACAAUUGGUCUUGUGGUUCCCUUUUCCUUCCAACCUUGUAAUCCGGCAGAAACGACUGUAGCCACUACCGUCCGACCAGCAGAAAUAAGUUCCACCUCCGGCAGAUUUCGACUUCAUCUGAACGAGCGACAAAGGUCCAUCAUUGCACCCAUUUUCUCCACCUCAAACGAGCUACGUGAGCAAUUUCUGUAAAUCCACAAAUUGGGGAUGGGUGCCGGAAUAUCUUCUCCACCUCGAACUCUCUCUCACAUCCCUCAUGAGCUAAACUUCCAGCAGCGGUUCGAAAUGCCCAAAACCUUCCUGCCAUUUGCCCGUUUUCCACACAAGCCGUGAGUGACUUCUUGUCUUUGUGUUUGUCAUUUGCCCAUUUUCAUAUGAGAAUAUUAUUGAUAUUGUCAUUAAGUAUUAGCAAUGUGAAUAAAUUUUGUGAUAAAUUUGUUGUAACUUGGCAGCAAUGUUAAUAAACUUUGUGAUAAAUUUAUUGUAACUUGGCAGCAAGGUGAAUAAUUUUUGUGAUGAAUUUGAUGUAAUAUAAAUCUAUGAUGAAUUUGUUGUAAUAUAAAUUUGUGAUGACUUGGCAGCAAUGUGCAUAAUUUUUGUGAUGAAUUUGUUGUAAUAUAAAUCUGUUAUUACUUGACAGCAAUGUGUAGUGGGUGAAUAUGUAUAUAGAAACUGAAUUUAUUCAAAUGUGUUUAUUUACUAUAUUUGAUUUAUGUGACAUAACGUUACAAGUUAUAUUAUUGCUGACAGUAAAUUAUGAAAGACGUGGUCGAUAAUUCUUUGGCAGAAUCUGAAAAUGAGAAUGUUGUUGAAAAUACGAAUUUAGUGAAAAAAGAAGGUUUAGCAGAUGGGGACUCGAUUGUGCCGGAGAUGGGUAUGCAGUUCAACGAUGAAAAAGCAAUGUUUGAAUUCUACAAAAGAUAUGCAUACGAUGUAGGUUUUCCCAUUCGGAAGAGAAAUUCAAAAAAAGGAGAAGAUGGACUUUUAAGAUAUGUGACCUUUACAUGUAGUCGUGAAGGUCGAAGGAGUACAAAUGUUGUUGGUUCGUUGAAGCCUCAACCAACGACGUAGACGGAUUGUAAAGCUAGGAUCUCUGCUUCUUCAGAUGUUAAUGGAACUUGGAGAAUCAAUACAGUCAAUCUUGAGCACAAUCAUACAUGCAGCCCUUCAAAGUCCAGGUUUUAUCGUUGCAAUCGAAAAUUGCCUGCACAUGUGAAAAGGAAACUUGAAGUGAAUGACAUGGCAGGAAUAUCGUUGCAUAAAAGUUUCAACUCUGCAGUCGUUGAAGCUGGUGGAUAUGAGAAUUUGCCUUGUGUGGAAAAGGACUGUCGAAAUUAUAUUGAGCAAGUAAGAAGGUUGCGACUUGGAGAAGGUGAUACAGCCGCAAUACAAUCUUACUUUUCCAAAAUGCAAGCACAAUGUCCCGAAUUUUAUUUCAGUAUCGAUUUAGAUGAUGAGUCACAAUUGAAGAAUGUAUUUUGGGCUGAUAAUAAAUGCAGGCAGGCGUGUAGGAGUUCGGUGAUGUUGUCACCUUCGACACCACUUAUUUGACUAAUAAGUACGACAUGCCUUUCGCUCCUUUUGUUGAAGUUAACCAUCACGGUCAAUCUAGAUUGCUCGGUUGUGGUCUAUUGUCGAACGAGGACACAGAUACAUUUGUCUGGGUAUUUAAAACAUGGCUUGAGUGUAUGCAUGGUCAAGCACCCCAUGGAAUCAUUACAAACCAAGACAGGGCCAUGCAAAAUGCAAUUCAAAUUGUCUUUCCGAACACAAAGCAUAGAUGGUGUUUAUGGCACAUUUUGAAGAAAUUGUCGGAGAAGUUCGGGUACCAUGUUGACAAGAGAAACAUAUUUUCGACUAUACAUCGAUUGGUGUAUGAUUCGCAGACUGGUACAGAAUUUAAAGAAGGUUGGGGAUUGAUGAUUGAUGAGUAUGAGUUGCAUGAUAAUGACUGGUUGGCUGGACUGUAUAACAACAGAGCUCGUUGGGUUCCUUGCUUCUUAAAAACAACAUUCUGGGCUGCUAUGUCUACGACUCAGCGAAGUGAAAGUAUGAAUGCCUUCUUCGAUGGGUAUGUGCAUUCGAAGACCUCGCUUAAGCAGUUCGUUGAACAAUAUAAACAAGCACUAAGAAAUAAGGUUGAGAAGGAGUACCAAGCUGACUUCAAGUCAUACUCGCAAAUGGUACCAUGUGCGACAAAUUAUGAAAUGGAAAAAUAAUUUCAGUUGGUGUACACAAUGUCGAAGUUUCGGGAAGUACAGGAUGAGUUCACAGGGGAGGUAUAUUGUGAUCUCCUCGCUGCCUCGGAGGGAAGUUUGGGGACCACGUACGAAAUUUUAGAGGAUGUGCUGAUCGAACACAUACGGAAGAAAAAAAAGUGGUUCGUCUCUUUUCGGAGGGAUAGUAGUGAAAUUAUUUGUAGUUGCCACUCGUUCGAGUUCCGAGGGAUAAUGUGCAGGCAUGCAAUCGCAGUCUUGAUCUGUAACAAUGUGACAUCAAUGCCAGAAAGGUAUAUACUACGAAGGUGGAGAAAAGAUGUUAGUCGAGCGCACACAAGAGUAGCAGUGAACUAUGCUGACUUAGUUACUACUCAUGCACAGUUGAGAUAUGACGGUAUGUGUCAUGCUUUUUCGCAAUUGGCGGACCUCACUGCAGAUGACGAAGGGCGAUCACGUGCAAUAAUGGACUGGAUAAAAUACCAAUAUAAAGAGCUUACGAUGACCAAGUCGAGCAAUGGAAGUAAUGUUAUUUCGCAGCCUGCUGUUCACUUACCCUCCGAGAACAUUGAUUCUCAUAAAUCUGCAUGCAAGACUGUGAGGGAUCCUAUAUUGGUCAAGAGAAAGGGUGCACCGAAGAAACUUCGAACGAAAGGCCCGUUGGAGUCGAGGUCAAAGAAAAAAAAAGGUAUAUUUGUUUGUUGGCAUCGCAAUAGAAAUGGACCACAUUUUUGAAUUCUCAUUUAACUUUGAUAUAAAUGCAGGGAAAUUCGACUUCAAGCAAGGGAACACAUCGACGGACAUACCUACUAACAUCCUGGAGGUUGCACCCGAAGUUCAAGUAUCUCAACUAAACUAUUCCCUAUCGACCACGUUCUCCUAUUCACAAAUGUUGAUGGUUAGUAUUUUCAAUUCUCUAUUGCAAAGGAUGUUUACGUUUUAUUUACAUUAUUGCUGCAUAUAGGGUGAUGCCGAAAAUCAUUUAUUUACCCAACAAUGCCUAUCUUCGAAUGUUAUGCCACCAUCGUCACGUGAUAUUAUAUUUCAUUCACAAGGUAAAUAAAUGUUCAAAUUUCUUAAUAAUUCAUUCUUGUAUAAUUUCAUUACAAGUUUUAAUGUUCGUUGCAUACGGCAGGUCAUGGAAUGCCCUACUACUAUCCACAUUUACCAGAACAAGGUGGCAGCGGCUUGUGAAAAGGUUAAGCGUCCACCAUUGACUUCGCAUAUAGAAAUGGGAGAAUUUAACAUGAAUGACUUAGUUGUUACUUUUGUAGGGAGGGAAACAUCAUAUGUAGUGGCCGAAGGGAUCUCAACUAAGUUGUUAGAAGGAUUGACGGACCAUUUUCAUAGGAUAAUAAUGGCUGGACCGUAGGCCAUGUUUUUGUUUUUUGUAAAGCAUUUUGCUUGGCGGGCACUUUUUAUUUGGUGGCAAAGAUUCAGGAAUAGACUUUGGUAUCUAUUCUAUUAGGCAUUGAUGAGAGUAACUAUGUGAUAGUCAAGUCCGCUGGAAUACUAGUGGAAUAACUUUUAUAUUAUUUUGACAUCUGCUGCUUGGUGAGUUCUGUGGGCUUGUUAUUAUUGGGCAUGGGCAUUUAAAGCUGCGAAAGCAGUGUGUAAACAAAAGAUGUUUUAAUGUUGCGUUAAUCUAUCUUGGAGUUGAAUUUGAAAAAAAUUCUAUAUUAUGUGAUUUAUAUGUGAAUUAUAUUUUUUGGUUGUCUCAAUAAACAUAGCAAAGGAAGGCUCGACUUACUUUCUCCCAUGGUGCAAAACAACUGUAUGCUUAUUCCUAAGAUGGUUGUUGUUGCUACCUCAAAGUUGAAUAUGAAGUUCUUGGGAGUAUGUUGGAGGUUUUCAAAACCACAUUACAUAGAAGGCUACAGUAAUAAAAUUGAUAGACUGACGAGCCACAUUUUUCUUCAACCUCUGAUGAAUGAGCCACUAAAUAAAUUGAAGAAAAUUCUACCAUCAAUUUGAACCAUAAAAAUUAAUUAACAGAAACAAAAGCUAUUCCUAACUAUCAUGGUUAACCAUCAUUAUUUUCCUUGUGGUAUCAAAAUGAGUGGGACGGUCCAUUUACUGUUCGAAUUCACAACAAAAUAUAUACAAAUUAAAGGACAAAAACACUGAAUUAUCUGGGCUACAGCACUCAACAUACAAGUAGGCAUUUUUAUUUAUCUGGGCUACAGCUACAAUUGCUAACCAAACUACAGCAACGUAACAAAAUUACAACUUGCAGAGCGGUUGACAUAGAAGUAGACUGGGGUCACAUACUUCACAAGUCGCAAAACACUUAACAUAAUUGUGACCUAUUAUCACGAAGCUAAUAUAAAGUUCCCUCUUAGUAUUCUUACGUCAACAAACAUAACUCAACUUGACCCAUUCGAACAACGACGCCAAUUAAGCCAGCCUCUUCCCUUUUGCAUUCCCAGAUGCACCACAUUUUUCUUUACGGAUAGUCACGUUCACAGCAAUAUGGAGCUCUUCGUCAUCAUUUAACCGCACUUGAGAUUGGAACGUGCGGGUCAUAUCUUCAAUUGCUUCCAUUACCAUUGGGGUAGUCGAGGUAGCACUAACGCUACUACAUUCACCUCGUGCUUGACCUUCUUCGUACCAUAUCCAAAAUCCACAUUUCUGACUGCAACACUUGAAUAAUCUGCCUUUGUUACAAGUUUCUUUCUCCACCUCAAAGCACUUUUGAUAUCCAUGCUCACACAACGGACAGUGCACUUUGAUAGGGCAUUGGACAAAUAAGUGUGCCUUGCUUCUACAACUAUGGCACACACCUGAAUUCUUCCCUAGCAUUCUACUAUGCAAAUCAACCUGCCAUCACCAAUCAAUUGGCAAUAUGAAUUACAUUACAUAAAUAAUGUAUAAAUUACAAAAGACACACCGCCGCGACAUAACAAUAGGCCCAACCUCUUUGAACAUUAUAAACAACUACAUGCAGGGAAUAUUGGAUUUUUUACUUCACAUUUGCUCUUCCUAUUUGAAGACAAUUAAUUUACAUUCCAUAACAGGACUCCGAUAAGUCUAGAUUUUCAAGAACGUUAUCCAUCAGACGAGGCACAGCACGGUUACAUUAACAAUAACGACAGAGCACUGGGUAUAAUGCAUUCACAUUUCUCCCUUCCUAUUUUUGUUUGCUAUUUGUCUUUCAUGCCAAUCAAUUAGCACUUUUUCAGAAGAACCAUAUAAAUGACAACAGGAAGAUGAAAUUAAACUACUACCUGAAUGAGAGUAGAUGGUCGUCAUCGAACUUGUUCAACAACAGAGAGAGUUCAGGGGAUCGUCAACUUGUUCGAUGCCUUUCAAAGACUGGGAAAGUGCUUGGGGAUUAUAGGACAGAAACGAUUCUAAAGCCUGCAGCCUGUGAAGAAGAACACAGUGAUGGUGGCAAAUUCGGCUACAUCGAGGUCAUUCAACGCCGGCUUCUAAGAUGCAUUCUUCUGGGAGAAGACAACCUCAUGACCAAAAAACGUUGAUGGGCUGCCGGAGAUGGAGGCGAAUCAGCCGACGCUCACUUGUGGAUGUGAAGUGAAGAGGCGAGACAAUCGAGCUUGGUCAGGUGCGGUAUCGACCGCGCUUGGUGUAUAGGGUUUGAAAUUGGGGAUUAUAGGAGAGAGUGUGAAAGAAAAUGCUGAAUUAUUGACUGAUUUUUGCUCAUUUUCUCGUUCUUUUUUCUGGGAGAAUUUACUCACUUUCCACGCAAGCCUGUAAAACGCCUGUAGGAUCGACCCUGUACACCAAGCGCGUUCGAUGUAUGUUUGUGUCCCCUCCACCAUCAUGUUAUACAUAUAUAUGUACUUAGGCAAUAGUGACCUAGACCCUAGGGGGUUGGUGAUAGUGGGAAACGUGUAGGAUAAGGUAAUAAUUAAAAAUUUUAAAUUAAACUUUAUCAUGGUAGGAUUCAUACACGUUGAGGAAAUAGAAUAUUUAAAUUCAUAUUUAACUUAAUUAAUUACAAAUUAAGGUAAUAUCUUUCAAAUUCGAUAACUUGGGCUUCGCUUAUUCAAAUUAACUUUUUUCUCGAGCCUAAUAUACAUGAUUUAACACGAGCUAUCUAACGAGCCCAAUAUUGAUAUACUUAUCAUUGCUCUAUCAAAAUCUAAUUAUUUGACCAAAAAAAUUGAAUUUAAUACAUAUAUGAUUUUAGUCCCCCCAAUAUUCCAAAAUAUAAAAUGUAGCAUAUAGAAUAAUUAAAUUUUAUUCUGUGAAUUUGUUUAGAGCUUUACAUCUUCGAUAACCAAAGAAAAUUUCGAUGACGGAAUUUUAUUAAUAGGCGGAGGAUGUAAUACUCCAAACAUACUCACAAUAUAUUAAAAGGCAUAAAUGCAAGUUUUGAAAUUUUAGACUAGUUUAACAACUUUACAAUUUUCGGAACUUGUAUUAAUAUUCCUAAUAAUUUGAUGUGCACGAGUUUUACACAAAUUUAAAAUUUAAUAUUAUUUUGUAUAGCUGUUAAAUUAUUAUUGAAUUAUCUUAUAUAAAAGUAUUUAGAUAAAAAUUGAAAUUUGCAUAUAUCCACAUUGAAAUCUUAUCCUCAUGUAGUUAGAAUUUUCUUAAAUUCGAAUUUCAUGAUAAAUUUGUUUGUUGAAAGACCAGUCUAAAUUUAAAUUAAGAGUCCUAUUAGAAUCUAAUUGAGUAAUUAUCGUUAUCUAAUCACAUCUAUAAUUACCCUCCUGUUACACUUCAAUUCUCGCAAAUUUAGAGAGAAAAAGAACAUAAGAGAGAAAAGAAAGAAGAGAGAGAGAGAGAGAAAUUGUGAAAAACGGAGAAGAAGAACAAAAAGAGAAAGAAGAAAGAAAAUAAAAAGUUCGAGAUUUGUUCGCAAGAAUUUUCAGUCCUACCUAGCUCAAGUAUACAAGAAAUUUAAUGAAUAAGGUAUGAAUUUCUCUAAAUGCUAAGUGAUUGUGUUUUCACUUUUUAUUUUUUUAAGUUACGUAUUUUAUGUGUUAUUAUAUGAUCCAAAUUAAAUAAUGAUAUUGUGGAUAAUACCAUAAGGUAUUAUUUUUUAGAUCUAUACACAAACCAACCAUAAGGCUCAAUACUCUUAAGUGGAUAUUUGAGAUUGGAUAUGACUUAAGCAAGAAUGAUAUGGUCAAGUUUCUAUCCUACUAGAAAAUUAUGUUAUGUACAUAUUGUAUUUGCAUUUUAUAUUAAAUUGUAAAAAUACUAACAUGAAAUCUAUAUUGGGUAUAUUCAUAUGCUCAUACCAUUUAAAAUAUUUUCAAAUACUCCAUUCAUCGAAGUUGGAAGUUGAGACUUCUGAUAGAGUCCGUGCCACUGAAUCAAGAAUUUUAUUUUAGUUCAAUAUUUAGUAUUUUGAUUAAAAUUAUUUUGCAAUUAGACUUUUAUUUUCAAAAUUGAUGGAUUUAUAUUUCAUUAGUGGAUUGAAUUUAUUUGAUAUAUUAUGAGACAAUAAAAUGGUUUAUUAUUUUUUGAAUUACAAUGUGUCAAUCAAAUUUUAUAAUGGCUAAAUAAUUUAUCUGAGCAACUUUUGGGACAUAAGUUUCUGGGGGUUACAAAAUUUUUUGAAUGUAAUAUAGAGUGGAAUGACUUUUUAAAUUUAGAGUGUCAAACUCACUCUCUAUUUUAAAAGCAUCUUCAAGAAGCUCUUUAAAAAUAAGAUACUCUAUAUUUUAAAGAGUCAAUUUUUAAAAUUAUGAGCAUCUUCAAGAGACUAUUUAAAUGCAAGAUCAUCUCUAUUUUAAAGAGUCACCUUUUAAAAUUAUGCUCUAAGAAACUCUUUAAAUUAACAUUUUAAUUUAAAUAGUGAGUUUGACUCUCCAAAUUUGAGAUAUUUUCAAUGUAGGAAAAUUAUAUAAUAAUUUGAAGAGGAGCUAGUCAAAAUAAAUGAUAGAAAAAAUAAUAAAUAUUUGUUUGGAAUAGUAAAAUUUAAUGUUAAAUAUAAAGAGCACGUUGAAAUAUUUUAAAAAAUUUACUCUUUAAAUUUAUAAAUGCUUUCUAAAUUAUAGAAUAUACUUCUUAAAAAUAUAGAAUCUAUUGGAGAUACUAGAACUCUCCAAAUUUAAAAAGCUAAACUCACUUCAUAUAAUUAAAUGCAUUCAAAAUAUUUUAAUAUUCAAUGGAGAAAAAUAAUAUAAUAAUUUGGAGGAAAGUAAUGAAAACACAAGAAAUGGAAAAAUAAUAAAUAGUUUUUGGGAAUAAUAAAAAUAACUGUUAAAUAUAAAAAGCUUAUUGAAGUACUUAAAAUUUUACUCUCUAAAUUUAUAUAUACUCUUUAAAUUGCAAAAUAUACCCUUUAAAAAUAAAUGGUCUAUUGAAGAUGCUCUACAAUGUUUAAAAAAUUUCUAAGAAUAUAAUUUUAUGAGUUAACUCUUUAAAAUAGAGAGUAUUUUAUAUUUAAAUAGCCUUUUUAAAAAUGCUUUUACGAGGCCCAAAGGAAAAGGGUACUAGUAAGAGUUGUUGAUAGCCCAAGCUAACACCCUAAUGUCCAUCUUAGGAUUGGGUAAUAUUUCGCCGGACAGAUCUAUGCUCAUUUUUAUUUAUUUAUAAAUUAAUGAUUUUUAUACCCUUCUCAAAUGGAGGCUUAAUUAAAAAAUAAUAAAUAAACAAAAAAAAAAGAACAAAAAUGGAAAAUAAUAAAGCCACUUAUCUUCUCUACCUCUGCCCUUGUUGCCCAAAUGUCAUUGGCCACCACCAUCAUUACCUCCAAUCCCAAGUCAAGCUCGCAUACUCGACUCUUUCACCAUCUCCACAUCAACAACUGAUAAGUGCAUUUUAUGCACUUAUUUAGACCAUAUUAUUAAGUUUUUAUGUCAUGAAAGUGUUAAUUGUUACUUAACUUGAGUAAUUUUUCGUUUAUUUCAGUGAUGGACCAGUUCCUAAGCAAUUGGAAAAGAAAAAAGGGGGAAAUCCAAAGUAUGAGGACUAAAUUGCAACAUUUCAAUAGUUGAUUCGGAUCACAAAAUGAAGAUUAAAGAUGUUGUGGGUUCAAUUGGAUGCAAAUGAAAGUCAAAUAGUUGAAAUUGCAAGAGAAAGAGCUUGAAAGAAUUAAAAAUCGACUUCGGGGGCUAAAAUGCAACAUAUAGAAGAAAUUUUGCCUGGGCGACAGCCCAGUUAUAAAAACAGGGCGAUCGCCUCAUAUGUUUUUCUUAUUAUUGAGAAGCAAAUGUUAGCCUGGGCGACAGCCCGGGUUUUGCCUGAGCGACAGCCUAGGCCAACCGCGGCGAAAAUUUUCUGAUUUCUUUUUCUGAUUAAAACUCUUAUGAAAACAAAUCUUAGGAGUCUUUUAAAGCCCUAGGGACGUCCAAAAAUAGAGAGGACACAUUAUACAUUAUUUUGGGAGGAUCUGAAGAGGAAGAAGAAGGAAGAACAAGAAGAUUCAAUCCAAGAUUCAGUAUCUCACUUCAAGAAUUCAAUAGGGUGAUGUCUUUUCUUGAUUCUUGUUGUUAUGUUCUUCUUUCCAUUAUGUUAGGCUAGAAAAAUCUAUACUAGGAGAUCGAUGAACCUUGUAAUGUGAUAUUUAAUUCUUUGUUCCAUAUUUUGACACUAAAACAUAUAUUGAUUGGUUUGAAUGAUUUAUAUGCAUUUAAUUGCUUCCAUGAUUAUAGGUCCGUAAUUAUGUGAGUUUUGGUGGUUUGUUUCAUCUAUUCGAAAGAAGAGGAAUGAAUUCGACAAGGUAUAAAUCAUCAUAAGAUUCGAUAGAAGAUAGAAAUAUACCUCUAUGCUUUGCGUAUAUCUCUAAGUACUUACAAAACUACGUGCAUUCUCAUAUAUUUGCAUCCGUCAUAAAGAUAUAGGCUAGUGGUGUAUGAGAAUAGGUUCAAUUCAUCUCGAGAGAGAGUGUUGGAUAUAUUUAGGAGUAUUGAUUCUUCAAAAUGUCAUCAUGUUGUCAAAGUGUGGAAUUAAGGUUAAAUUGAGCAUUGCUUGGGGAUUCAUGAUCCUAGUGGGCUUUUAUAUCCAUCGAGUACACCAACUUGCAAUCAACACAUUUACUUCACAUUUUAGUUCAUUCAAAUUAUACAUAUUUGCAUAUUUAAUCCAAGUAAUGUUAAUUUAAGUCACUAAAAUUCACGUUUGACAAAUCAGUUUCGGUUAAGACCAAGUUAGGUAAAAUUAAACUAAUUAAUCUCUGUGGGAUGAUAUUCGGACUCAAUUGAUCCUCUUUAUUACUUGUUAAUGAACCAUACACUUGCGAUGAUUUAAAUCGAAAGAAAAUAUUUCGUGAACAAGUUUUUAGCGUCGUUGCUGGGGAUUGAGUUUUAGUUUGACUUCAUUUAUUUUGGCACUAAUUUGAACUUCUACUUGUAUUUUUGUAUUUUUUUUAGUUUCUUUUUUCGUUUAUUUUGUCUUUGUUUUAUUUUUGAAUUCGAUCUAUCUCUUUAGUGUCUAAGUGCUACUCUUAUUUUUUCUCUCAGAUUUGCAUGCUAAGAUUGACCGGAAGAGAAUUGAUUCCGGUCGAUCCUGAAAUUGAGCGCACUUUUCAUCGACUACAAAGAAAGAACCGAGAAGCAAAAUUGCAAAUGGCUAAUGAACUGAACAAUCCUAUUAUCCUAACCAAUGAAGGAGAGGCAGUGAACGAAGGAAAUGAGAUUUUGGGCAACUUCUUGACUCCUCAAGUGAUUCAAAACCAGUCCAGUAUUGUGUAUCCACCAUUUGGACGACCCAACUUUCAAUUAAAGACGAAUGUGAUACAACUAUUCCAGAAUAGGCAUCAAUUUUAUGGCAGAGCCGAAGAAAAUCCACAUACACACAUAUCUCGAUUCUUGGAUGUGUGUCAACACUUUAGAUAUCAAGGAAUCUCGGACAAUGCUAUUAGGCUAAGGUGUUUUUCACACACCUUGUGGGACAAGGCACUUGAAUGGUUGGAUUUGCUUCUUAUUACAAGCAUCACUACUUGGAACGACCUGGCUCACAAAUUUUGCACGAAGUGCUUCUCACCAGCCAAGAUAACUAAAAUGAGACACGAAAUAUCCAUUUUUAGCCAUUGAAAAUUCGAAUCAUUUGAAGAAGCCUGGAACAGAUUCAAGAAUAUGCUCCGGAAGUGCCCUCAACAUGGGUAUGACAAAAGGACCCAAAUUCGAUUUUUUAUGCGGGGUUACUUCCGUACCACAAAAGCAUGAUGGACUCGGCAUCAGAUGGCUCAAUAUCCACACGAACAGUUGAUCGGGCACUAGAAUUAUUUGAGAAAAUGACAACUACUUCAGUGAUGUGGGCAUCUGAGCUGGUAACUCAGAAGAAACCUCCGGGUGUUUAUAAGGUCGAUACUUAUUCAACCAUAUCUGCGACUCAUUGUUUCACAAGGUAGAAAGCAUAUCACAAACAACACAAAAUAAGAAGAUUAGAUGUGAAGAAUUCGGAGCUGAGCAUAAAAUAUCAGAGUGUCCAAUUUUAAUGCAAGGAGUUGAGCAGGCAGGUUUUGCACAAUGGAGGCAACCCCAAUAGAACAAUCAAUAUGGGGAAACAUACAAUAAUAGUUGGAAGAAGCAUCCCAAUUUCUCUUGGAGCAACCAGAAUUAGAAUAGGCCGCAGGGUCAAUUUCAACAGCAAGAGAAAAAGCCUCAAUUGGAAUACAUGUUCGGGAAAUUCAUGGAGAGGACCAAUCAAUACAUGGAGAAAAUUGAAAUCACUCUGCAAAACUAGAAUGCUGCCAUCAAAAACUUGGAAACUCAAAUGGGACAGAUGACCAUUGCUUUUACUGGAAGAACACAGGGAAAUUUGCCAAGUAACACGAAAAUCAACCCAAAAGAGCAUGCCAAGGCCAUCACAACUCAAAGUGGAGUGUAGCUACCUGAUAUAUAUGUCAAAAAGCCUAUCAAGAACAAAGAGAAUACACCUUCUGUAGAAGAAGAAACUGUGGAGCAGGAUGAACAACCAAACACAUCUACCGCAAAGGAAAGCUUAGAAAAAGCUAGGAAUAAAGCAACAGUUACAGUAAACCCAUAUGAACCUUCAAUUCCAUUUCCACAAAGGUUGAAGAAACACAAAAGGGAGCAACAGUACAAGAAAUUUCUGGAAGUCUUCAAGAAGCUCCACAUCAACAUCCCGUUCCCCAAUACAUUAGUCCAGAUGCCCAGCUAUGCUAAAUUCCCAAAGGAUGUCCUAUCUAAUAAAUGCAAGCUGGAGGAACAUGAGACGGUAAUAUUGAUAGAAGAUUGCAGCGUAAGAAUUCAGAAAAAGCUUCCACCAAAAUUGAAAGAUCCAGGGAGUUUCACAGUCCCUUAUACUAUUGGUGAAGUUUAUUUUGAUAAAGCUUUAUGUGACCUUGGUGCAAGUAUUAAUCUUAUGCCUUUAUCUGUUUCUAGGAAACUCGAUUUGGGUGAGGCUAAGGCAACUACUAUGACGCUGUAAUUGGCUGACAGGUCAUUGACGCAUAUCAGAGGAAUAAUAGAGGACAUGCUUAUCAAGGCUGAAAAUUCAUCUUUCCUGCUGAUUUCCUCAUCUUGGACAUGGAAGAAGACAAAGACAUUCCGUUGAUAUUAGACAGACCAUUCUUGGCUACGGACAGUGCUUUAAUUGACGUUCAAAGGGGGCAGCUAAUUUUGAGACUUGGAGAAGAACAUAUCUCAUUUAAAGUCUUCAAGGCUAUGAAACUUCCUACAGAGUCAGAUAGUUGCUUCCAAAUUGAUGUGGUCGACAAGGUGCUUCAAGACACGUUUCGACUUCAACGUUCAAAAGAUGCUUAUGAGGCAUGCAUUGCACAGUCUUAAUCAAUUCACACAGAUUUUGUAGAGAUUGAAACAUGUGCAAGCUUCUUGGAGACUAAUUCGCCCUACACAAGGAAAAGGCACUUUGAGGAACUUGGAGUUGGAUCCAAAAAACCACUACCAUCCAUUCAGCAUCCACCUCUAUUGGAACUAAAGCAAUUGGCGCCACAUCUUCGAUACGCAUAUUUGGGGGACUCUUGUACACUCCCAGUGUUUAUCUCGAACGCCGUCAGUGAAGUGGAGGAAGAAAAAUUGCUUAGAGUGCUUCGGGAAAACAAGACGGCGAUUGGUUGGACCAUAGCAGAUAUCAAAGGGAUCAGUCAUUCACUCUGUAUGCACAAGAUUCUCAUGGAGGAUAAUUUUCGAUCGAAUAUUGAAGGUCAAAGAAGGUUGAAUCCGAACAUGAAAGAAGUGGUCAAGGUAGAGGUACUUAAAUUACUGGAUGCAGGAAUUAUAUACCCAAUCUCAAAUAGUACAUAGAUUAGCCUAGUUCAAUUUGUGUCGAAGAAGGGUAGAAUCACAGUGGUGUCUAACGAGAAGAAUGAGCUAAUUCCCACCAAAACAGUGACAGGAUGGAGGGUUUGCAUCGAUUAUUGCAAACUCAAUGCAACUAUAAGGAAGGAUCAUUUUUCACUCCCGUUUAUUGAUCAGAUGCUAGAGAGACUGGCGGGGCAUUCACAUUACUGUUUCUUUGAUGAAUAUUCAGGGUACAAUCAGAUACCAGUUACACCAGAUGAUCAAGAAAAGAUCACCUUCACUUGUCCCUAUGGUACUUUUGCAUACCGUAGGAUACCUUUUGGUAUUUGCAACGCUCCUACAACAUUCCAGCGAUGCAUGAUGGCGAUAUUCUCCGAUAUGGUGGAAAAAUUCAUUGAGAUAUUCAUGGAUGACUUCUCAGUUUUCGGAUCGUCAUUUGAUGAGUGCUUGAAGCACUUGAAUUUGGUAUUACAGAGAUGUAGGGGGACUAAUCUGGUUUUGAAUUGGGAGAAAUGCCACUUUAUGGUCUAGGAAGGGAUUGUACUUGGGCAUCGAGUGUCAUCGAAGGGAAUUAAGGUGGACAAAGUGAAGAUUCAAGUUAUUGAAAAUCUACCGCCACCAAUGGGGUUCGUAGUUUCUUGGGACAUGCUGGGUUUUAGAGGAGAUUCAUCAAAGACUUCUCGAAAAUCACUAAACCACUAUGCAAUAUGUUGAUAAAAGACAUACCGUUUGAGUUUAAUGAGGAGUGCCUAACAACUUUCAAUACAUUGAAGGCGAAACUUACAACAACACCGAUAAUUGUAGCACCGGAUUGAGAACUGUCAUUUAAGCUAAUGUGUGAUGCCAACGAUCAUGCCAUAGGAGCUGUUUUGGGGCAGUGACGAAAUAAGGUUUUUCACGUGAUUUACUAUGCAAGCAGAACCUUAAAUGAUGCACAAAUCAACUAUGCCACCAUUGAGAAGGAGCUCUUGGCCGUGGUUUUUGCAUUCAACAAAUUCAGAUCAUAUCUCGUGGGGUCUAAAGUUGUAGUGUACACAGAUCAUGCCGCACUGAAGUAUUUGAUGACAAAGAAGGAUGCAAAGUUAAGACUGAUCCACUGGGUAUUACUCUUGCAAGAAUUUGACAUCGAAAUCAAGACAAAAAAGGGAGUGAUAAUGUGGUGACUGAUCACUUGUCUUGAUUGGAGUUCGAAGAAUCGAAGGAAUCAGUGGACAUCAACGAGAUUUUUCCCGAUGAGUAAAUAUUCAGUAUUGAAGAAGCACCUUGGUAUGCCGAUAUUGUAAACUAUUUGGCCAAAUCCAUUCCACCACUAGAUUAUUCAAGUCAUCAGAGGAAAAAGUUCUUCUCGGAGUUAAAAUACUACUUCUGGGAAGAUCGUAUUCUCUACAGGCACAGGGCAAAUCAGAUUGUUAAGAAAUGUGUACCUGAAGAAGUACCGAAGAUUCUUGAGCAUUGCCAUUCAUCCUCAUAUGCGGGACACUUUGGAGCUUCAAAGACUGCUGCGAAGAUUCUACAGUCGGGGUUUUACUAGUCUACAUUAUUCAGAGACACCUUUGAAUUUGUAAAGAUGUGUGAUAGGUACCAGUGCAUUGGGAAUAUCUCGCGGCGAAAUGAAAUGCCAUUAAACAAUAUAUUGGAGGUUGAGAUAUUUGAUGUUUGGGAGGAUCGACUUCAUGGGGCCGUUUCUCCCAUCGUUCUCCAAUGAAUACAUACUGGUGGCUGUUGAUUACAUAUCGAAGUGGGUGGAAGCCGUUGCAUUGCCUACCAAUGAUGCGAAGGUGAUAAUUGAUUUCCUGAAGAAGUACAUUUUCAUUCGCUUUGGCACACGGAGAGCUAUAAUCAGUGAUGGGGACAAACACUUCUGCAAUCGUCAAUUUGAACAGUUGUUGAGUAAAUAUGGCGUAAAACAUCGUGUAGCUACUCCAUAUCACCCUCAGACUAGCGGAAAAGUUGAAGUGUCCAAUAGGCAAUUGAAGAGGAUACUUGAGGUAACAGUGAAUUCAUCUUGAAAUGAUUGGUCUAAAAAGCUGGAUGACGCAUUGUGGGCUUAUAGGACAUUCAAGACACUGAUAGGUAUGUCUCUGUAUCUCCUGGUUUUUGAAAAAGCGUGCCACCUGCCACUAGAGAUAGAACAUUGGGCAUAUUGGGCUAUGAAACAAUUGAACAUGGAUUUGAAGGCAGUCGGUGAAAAGCGUUUACUGCAGCUUAAUGAAUUAGAUGAAUUCAAGAUGGAAGCAUAUGAAAACUCAAGGCUCUACAAAGAACGAACCAAAAAGUGGCAUGAUUUGCACAUUUAGAGGCGAGAAUUUAAAGUGGGGCAGAAAGUGUUAUUGUACAACUCGAGACUAAAGCUCUUCACGGGAAAAUUAAGGACAUGGUGGUCGGGUCCUUAUACUGUCACAAAGGUUUUACCAUAUGGAGCUAUAGAAGUCAGCCAUGAAACUAAGGGUACCUUCACAGUAAAUGGGCAAAGGCUAAAACACUACUGGAGAGGUGACUUCCCCAAGUAAAAGUCCAAUGUUCAACUCGGGACACCAGAAUAAAGCAGCUAUGGGAAAGUUGAGCUAUCGACUAUAAACUAGCGCUGUGUGGGAGGCAACCCACUGUAUCCUUUUAACUUAUUUCGUUUUAUUUUUGCUUUAGCUUAGGAGCCUUUCAAUUUCACGUUCACAUUUUCUUUUUGUUUUUUUAUAGUUAGGUCAUCGAUCAUCCAUGCAUGUCAAAAUAGUCUAAACACUACCCCCACAAGAUGCCCUAUGCAUCGAGCAUGAGUUGUGAUUGAUUUGAGUGUUUUGGGUAUGAUAAUCACGCAUUUCGAGGCAUAAUGUUGUUUUUCAAAAAAAAUUCAGGGUUAUGGUGUGAUUUCAAUUCAAAAACUGAUUUUGGCACUAAGUCUAUGGCCGGCACAUACCCCAAGUUGAGUACCAUAUUUUCAAAAUUUUUAGGGUAUGUGAGAGGCCAGAUUAAUUCUCCAAUCGAAAACCACCUUUUGGGACAUAUUUGAUUAAAGUCGUGUGUGUGGAAUCAAAUGUAUUUAAAAAAAAAAAAAGGGAGGGGGGCUCCGCGAGGCUAGAUGAGUGCUCAGCUUUAUAAGCCGGGUGCUCGCCCGGCUGCGUUAAAGGCCAACAGGCCAUUAACUGCAGCCGCCCAGUUCAAAAAAAUACAGUUUUUAUAAAAACUCACGCACACACAAACACGAAAUUCGCAACUCACGGCAUAAGAUCGACACUACACACACAAGAACUCAUCUAACACACAAGAUUGGUUGGACAAUUCAAUCCAUUGCAUUCAACUCCUUCAAGGUAUGCACUCUUCUCCUAUCUCUUCUCUUCACAUUUUGAGCCGACAAUUUCAUUUGGAUUUCCUAGGCAUAUUAAGGAGUUUGUGAUGAAAUCAAUAGUGGUUUAAUAGGUUUGUGUUGUGAUGAAGACAAAAAGCAAAUGGGGCUUUGAUUCAAACAUUACUCUCUUGCAACCUUAGAAAAAUUAAGUGCCUUCAAGUUAUUUGAUAAAUUGCCUAAUAAGAGAUUAUUGGGUGAGUAGGGAGAGUCUAGUAAUUGGAAGCAAUGAUACAUGUUGUAGAUUGUUUUUGGUGUUGAGAUUCACAGAAUUGCAUUAGAAAACGCCAAAAUUUUGAAUUGCAUACCCUAAGCACCAUGGAUACACAUCAACAACCUUACGAUACAAACUUUUUGUUUAGGGAAUUUGAGAUGUAUUAUAUUCAUUUAUUUUAUACAUAUCCUAUUUAAUGACAUUUUCUCACGCAUGGCACAUGUUGUUACAUUUUGGCACAUGAUAAUUGGCAUAGUUUGGGGGUAUUCUCCACUUCACCUUACUCAUUUGUUUGUUACCUAUAUACUUACAUUUUCUAUAUUCAUAUGUACGUAUAGAAUGCCACCAAAAAGGAAGGCCACAACUCAUGAGAAAGGAAAGUCUAAAGUUGGCAAAACCUCAACCCGAUGCCAACGGGCAACAUAAAAUCUAGUUGACAGGGAUAUUCCACGGUUUGUGACUGUUAAGACUCGUGAAAAUUUUAACACAAAGUGGAAAGAUAAGAAAUUUUAUCGAGAACGGCGGGUCAUACUUAGCGAUUUUGGAGGAACGUUACUGGAGAGAAUCAUACACCAUUGUGGGUAGGACAAAGUUAUUGAUACACCUCACGCGGCAUUUCCUACAUUGGUAAAGGAAUUUUUCACCAAUUACAAUGCUGAUAUUGAUAACCCAAAAUCUCCUCAUAGAAGUCAAACAUGGGUUAGAGGAAAAUGGAUUCGGUUCAGCCCAACAACAAUUGACAGGUACUAUAGGUUGAAUCACACUCAUGUAGAGCCAUUACUAGAGGAACAAGACAUGGCACUGGUAGCACAUUUUCUGUAUGUUAGGGAAGUUGAUUGGCCACUUAAUUCAUUUCAUUUCCUGCAUAACGAACUAACUCUAGAGCUCAAACUCUUGCACAUCAUCUUCUGCACAAACAUUUACCCUACAUCCCAACAGACGAGAUUCAAUGAAGAAAGGGCAAGGUUACUUUAUCAUAUGGCAAGAGUGCGUAAGUUUGACCUGGGAGCCUAUAUAUAUACCUUCAUACGAGAGUUUACCUCUUCCAUAGAUAUUCAGCGAGGUAUUAUGUUUCCUCGCUUGAUCAGUGGGAUUUCUCUAGCAGCCGGGGUACCAUUGUUGCCAAGAGAAGAGAGUGUAGCUCCAGAUGCAUUAAGUAGAAGAGUAAUUGAAAAUUCAAAGGCUAGAUUGAGAGGAGCAGAGAGAGUACAUCGUCUCGAACUGGGUCCUAAUGAACCCCAGCAAGUCCUAGAUGCUGAUAUAGUCCUUCUCAGUAGACAGUUGUCACAGAUGCAGGCAACUGAAGUGGAGCUGGGUAGAUCUGUUGGCACCAUGACAAAUGCUUUGGAGGCAAUGCAGCGAAUGCAGCUAGAUAUGCAGAGGGAGUUACAAAGAGUAAGUGUACAAGUGUGAGGGUUCCAGCUAAGUGAUGACCGGACACGUUAUGAUCAAAGAACACUCACUUAUGCUUAUGGUCAAGUGAAUGAGCAGAUGAUGCGUUUUGGGAGUCAACUGGAGACAAUUGAUUGUAAUGUACACCAAAUAGCAAGAACCGUCGAAUCUCUUCGAACCACGAGUUCAUCUAGCCAGGCAGACCAACCUGACAACUCUACUCAUCCGCAUCCACCCUCGGGGAGUAUUUGAUCCUUUACUCUUUAUUUUUGCGUACUUUUGCUUUUUCAUUGGGGACAAUAUAAUAUUUUGUUUGAGGGUGGGGUAAAUGCUAGGACACAUAUGCUACUCAUUUUGACGAGUCCUUAAAUUGCUAAUUGGGUUUGUAUAACUAUUUAAGAAAAAAAAUAUUAUUUACUAUUGCCCAGUAUAGCGUUGAAUGACUUACUGCCUAUGAUGAUAUUAGUUCAAAUUAAGUAUGCCUUUAGCUAGGUUACUGGAGAACACGAUAACACGUGCAAUUAUUUGAGUACUUAUCCAUGUUAGAUUGAAUUAUUUAAGUGCAUAACCAUUUUGACUUAUCAUUUGCAUUAGGGGCAUAAUUUGAUCGAGUGAAUUUAAUUGUUGAUGUUGUUGAUCUAGUUUCGAAUAAAAUUCCCAAAACCUUUAUAUAGAAACCAAACUGGGUGAGAUGGUUAGUGCUUGUCGUCAUAGAAAUGUGAUGGUUUGGAGUUCCAGGAUCCCAACUAUAGUUAAAGGAGUUUGAGUUAAAAAGUCUAAAAUGGGUACUAAUCAUAUAAAAUAAAAAAAUAUAAAUAAAAAAAUAAAAAAAUCAAAUGUCAUACAUCUUCUACUUCUCUUUGUAGCAUUUUUGACUCGAGUGAUUAAGCCUGUAAGGGUAUUUUAAAACCUGGUGCCCUAAAGUCAGUUGACUUAGGAGUCAUCGGCCUAAAACUCGCUACAAGAGUCGUUUAGAAAGCUUAAUGGAGAGAGGUAUUGCAUGGGAGAUGUUUAAAAAAAAUAGAUUCUCUUAAAAAAUUGAUACAUCUUCUAACUUUCUUCGAAGCCUUUAUAACUCGAGCAAGUAAGCAUGUAAGGGUGUUUUAAAACCUGAUGCCCUAAAAUCAGCUGGCUUGGGAGUCAUUGGUCUAAAGCUCGCUAAAGAAGUUAUUUAGAAAGCUUAAUGGAGAAUAGUAUUGCACAGGAGAUGUUAGAAAAAGAAAAGUGCCCAAUCAGGACUUUAAGAUUUGAACUCUAGAGACUGGCGGUGUGAUUUUGAGAAAACUUACCACCUCAAUUCUAGGUUGGCAAGUAUCUAACUUUGAUCACUUUGUGGGGGAAAAAUGAAGGAUAAUAAUUUUAGAAAUCCCCAUGUGCUAAAAAUACCUCGGGAUUGGAGAGAAAAGCAUAAGGAGUGAUUCUACACGAGAGGUGUAAGGAAAAAUGACCACAAGAGGGUUGGGAUUGCAAAAUAAAUCAAUGACACUUGAUUGAUUAUGUUCUAGUAUGAGUGUGAGUUCAAGGUUGGCCAAUCGCACCCACACUAAGUUCAGCAUCGUAUAAGUAAAAAUUUAUUUUAAAUGUUGUUUGAAACUUUCUAAAGUGUAACUUAAAUUCGAACCUGAGGCAUGCGAUAAGCUGUUCAUUAUUGAGUCCAACAUUUGUGACCUAUGUGCAACUAGUAAUAUGAUCUAUGCUUGAGUUUUGUUUUGUUCGGGGACGAACAAAGGUUUUAGUUUGGGGGUGUUUGAUAAGUGCAUUUUGUGCACUUAUUUAGACCAUAUUAUUAAGUUUUUAUGUCAUGAAAGUGUUAUUUGACACUUAACUUGAGUAAUUUUUCGUUUAUUUUAGUGAUGGACCGUUUCCUAAGCAAUUGGAAAAGGAAAAAAGGGGGGGAAUUCAAAGUAUGAGGACUAAAUUGCAACAUUUCAAUAGUUGAUUCAGAUCACAAAAUGAAAAUUAAAGAUGUUGUGGGUUCAAUUGGAUGCAAAUGAAAGUCAAAGAGUUGAAAUUGCAAGAGAAAGAGCUUGAAAGAAUAAAAAAUCGACUUCGGGGGCUAAAAUACAACAUAUGAAAGAAAUUUUGCCUAGGCGACAGCCUACUUAUAAAAAUCGGGCGAUCGCCCCAUAUGUUUUUCUUAUUAUUGAGAAGAAAAUGUUGGCCUGGGUGAUAGCUUGGGUUUUGCGUGAGCAACAGCCCAGGCCAAUUGCAGCAAGAAUUUUCUGGUUUCCUUUUCUGAUUAAAACUCUUAUGGAAACAAAUCUUAGGAACCUUUUAAAGCCCUAGGGACGUCCAAAAAUAGAAAGGACGAAUUAUACAUUAUUUUGGGAGGAUUUGAAGAGAAGGAAGAAGGAAGAACAAAAAGAUUCAAGGUCUCACUUCAAGAAUUCAAUAGGGCGAUGUCUUUUUUUAAUUCUUGUUGUUAUGUUCUUCUUCCCAUUAUGCUAGGCUAGAAAAAUCUAUACCAGGAGAUCGAUGAACCUCGUAAUGUGAUAUUUAAUUCUUUGUUCCGCAUUUUGACACUAAAACACGUAUUGAUUGUUUUGAAUGAUUUAUAUGCAUUUAAUUGCUUCCAUGAUUAUGGGCCGGUAAUUGUGUGAGUUUUGGUGGUUUGUUUUAUCUAUUUAAAAGAAGAGGAAUGAAUUCAACAAGGUAUAAAUCAUCGUAGGGCCUGAUAGGGGAUAUAAAUAUACCCCUAUGCUUUGUGUGAAUCUCUAAGUACUCACAAAACUAUAUGCAUUCUCAUAUAUUUGCAUUCAUCAUAGAGAUAUAGGCUGGUAGCGUAUGAGAAUAGGUUCAGUUCAUCUCGAGAGAGUGUGUUAGAUAGAUUAAGGAGAUCAUGUUGUCAAAGUGUGGAAUUAAAGUUAAAUUGAGCAUUGUUUGGGAAUUCGUGAUCCUAAUGCACUUUUAUAUUUAUUGAGUACACCAACUUGCAAUCAACAUAUUCACUUCGCAUUUUAGUUCAUUCAAAUAAUACAUAUUUGCAUAUUUAAUCCAAGUAAGGUUAAUUUAAGUCACUACAAUUCACGUUUGACAAAUCAGUUUUGGUUAAGGUCAAGUUAGGUAAAAUUAAACUAAUUAGUCUCUUUGGGAUGAUGUUCGGACUCAAUUGAUCUACUUUAUUACUUGUUAACGAAUCGUACACUUGCAGUGAUUUAAAUCGAAAGAAAAUAUUUCGUGAACAACAACCAUAUACCGACACAAAGAAAAUACCAUCUCUAAUUCAACAUGGACGAGAGCACCAUCUCUUCAAGAUCCUCGAGGCUCGCCAAUUUAGACGAACAAAUAUGGAUGAUAUUAUAAGUGAGGUAUCAUGUAGAGUAGCCAUGCUUUCUGUUACAUCUUGUCAUUUUAACAAUAAAGUUGGGGUUUAAUUACCUCAUCAUUGUGGCUGAAGACCAAUCUGUAACUUGAUCAUAGAUUGGGGACUAAGCAAUAUUAGAAAAAACAUUUAGAUAAUCAAAACAUUCCACAGGAUAAGGCCCAUGCCCGCCAUCCUCCCUUAACCCCUCAACCCUCUGCCACCGGCAAAACCCAGGAAAAACACAUAUCGAAAAACUAGUGUAAAUUAAUUAAUGGUCACUAUACUUUGCUAAAGGUUACUACUUGAUCAUCAAAAUUUAAAAGGUUAUUCUUUGUUUACUCUAAUUUGAACAAAAUUUUCCAUCAAUCACUCGUAUCAUUUCCAUUAUUGUUAUUUAUAUCAAAGUUUAGUGAGGAACUAAUAACCUUAGCUAAAUUUAUGUUAGCAACAAGUAACAUUUUAAAUUCAGUGAGCAAGUAUUAACUCAUAGCAAAGUUCAAUGAGCAACGAGUAUGACCUCGUUUGAUACACAUUAAUGUAAAAAUAAGAAUGAAAAAUAUAGCCGUUAUGGAUCACACACAAGAGAUAGAAAUUCAAAUUUGGUGGCUUAAUGUGAUGGAUAAUGAUCAUAUUUUUCAUUUUAAUGAAGAAAAAAUGGGAAACAAAAAAGGGCUAACUUUUAAAAGAUCGUUGAGCAAGUAGUAACAUAUAACAAAGUUCAAUGACCAUUGUUAUCUAUUAAAUCUUGUCAUUUUAACAAUAAAGUUAGGGUUUGUUUACCUCAUUUUUGUGGUUGAGGACCAAUCUGUAACUUGAUCAUAGAUUGGGGACUAACAAAAAUUAAAAGAAACAUUUAGGGUCGUUUAAUUGUAAGGAUGAAAUUUGGAUGAAAAGAAAAUGAAUUUCAAGGAAUUGAAUUGCUUAGAAUUUGUUUUAUUGGAGAUUGACAAUUAAAUGUGUUUGAUUUGUAUAAUUUUCCACCUGAAAAAUGUCGAAAUGUUUUAUCUUUUGAUGUUCAUUUGACUUUAUUUUUUUAUUAAAAUUGUCAACUAAAAGGACAAAAUUUGUUACAAUUGAGAAUAGAAUUUGUUCCAAUUGUAAAAAAAUUUAAAAAAAAAAAAGGAAAAGAAAAAAAAGUGCCUGCAAAUCCAAACGAUUUUCCACAAAACUAUGAAAUUGGCACAUGUGUGGAGAGAAGUUGGGAAACAAAUUCCAUGAAAAUUUUUAACAAUCAAACAAUACAAAUUAAAUGAAAAUGAAAAUGAAAAAUCAAGGCUAUCAAACAUGACCUUGCACAAGGCCCCGUGCCCGCCCUCGUCCCUUUACCUCUCAGCUCUCGGUGAUCGGCAAAACCCAUGAAAACAUACACACCGAAAAACUAUAGCGAGUGAAAAGAGCAACAAUGGCUUACAAUCUCAGUGCUUCACCAUUUACUUCACUUUCUCAUGGCACCAAUCUCUUUUGCAACUCAAUGUCUCCUCCACACCUCCUUCAACUCAGUCUCAGACCGUAAAAAACCCGUCGAUUUUCGCCUCAAAUUUCGUCCCCGGAAACCCCCUUUUCAUAUUUCCAAUGUCUCUUUACAAGAACGAGAGCACGCCGCAAUUUCAGAAGAUUCACA